RNAcentral lists this long non-coding RNA (176699 nucleotides) under Triticum aestivum (bread wheat). RNAcentral's name for it is "long non-coding RNA (TAES_LNC024457)". Lineage: Eukaryota; Viridiplantae; Streptophyta; Magnoliopsida; Poales; Poaceae. The record is from RNAcentral.
UUUUGGGUUCUUUGAAAUAAUUUUGAUGUGUACAUAUUUUAUCGCUUUUUAUUUUGUUGUCACUAGAUAAGUAAUACUCUUCCUCUCUUUUUUGCGGAUGAUCUCCUUAUUCUUUCAGAUGUAUUCUAUUACUUGAUGGGUUGAUGCAUUUCUUUGGUUUUGUUUUGUCCUGCCAUUUUAUUUAUUUGUGUAAUAUUUGUUUCCCACUCAUGCACUGUAUGCUUCUAAGUUAUAGGUAUUCUUUCUUGUUCACAAAAAAGCAAUGUGGCGAUGUUUUAGCUGUAAUGUAACGGCCAACAUUAUUAUAACAUUUUGGAAGUAUUUCCCCAAGAAAAAUAUAUGCAUAUUACUUUGAAAUUUCCAACCUAAGUAUUUUAGUUAAUAACCAUAGCCAAGUUUCCAAAGUUUCACGACCUAAACAGUCAUUUUUUAUGAACCGGAGGAGAAUCAAAGGGAGACACAUUGUUCUUUUUUCUUUAUUAUACCACAUGUGCUACAGGACAUGCAAUGGUCUCGACAAACGCGUCAGUUCUAAAAGAUGAUUCUUUUGCUUGGGUGCAUGUGCUGGCAACCCAAUGGUUACAGAUUUGAUUGUGCCCAGUUAAAAUCAAUCUAGUAUACCAUUUUCAUAAUCCAUGUGAAUAUGAUUACAUGUUCAUAUUUACUCCCUCCAUUUCGCAAUAUAAGUCUUUUUAAAGAUUUCAACAACACACACACAUCUGUAUAUUGUAGUUCAUUUAAAACCUUUAAAAAGACUUAUAUUUAGAAACGGAUGCCAGUAUAACGGAGCCAGCAAACAUGCACGACAAGGGGCUAUAUGCAGACACGGAGCCAAAGCAAGGGAGACGCACAUUGUCCGGCCGGACCACGAGUCCAGCAUGUGGCAAGUGAGAUCGCGACCCUGCGGGUAAACCACGAACGCAUCUGCGUCAUCGUUAAAGAACAACAUGCCAAAAUAUUUGCAAGAACGUCCACAACAACACGCACGGCUAGGUCAAUUGACCUCUUUGUUUGAAUCCUCAACGUUGGUUCCCAUGUUUAUUUUGUGAGUUUUGGAGUUGGUGAAGCUAAAGUAAUCGAGCCAUCGCUGGGUAACCAUUGACGAGCAUUUUCCUCGAGCCUUUAACUGUUUCAUGACGCCGACGUAGGGCAUUUUACGAACCAAGUCAGUAUUCGUUGAGAGGAAUGUGCUGCUAGUUAAGUACCACAAGCUAGGCUUUGUCGUUUUUUCAUUUGCUCGGCUAAAACACAAACAGUAUGUAAUCACCAAUUAUUAUGUUCUGCGAGUUCGUUGCCUGCAGAAAAAUAUGGUCUUUUGCGAGUUCGUUGCCCGCAGAAAAACAAUGCUGGCCAAUUAAAUACGGACUUUGCUAGUUCAUUAUUUCCCGGGAAGUCUUUUGGUGGUUCGUUGCCCAAUAAUACAUAUGGUCUUCUCAAUGCCUCAAUUUAGACAGAACGACCAGAGUAGACCGUGCCAUUACUACGGGGCUAAUAAUAUGUGUACAUUGGUCAGCGGCAGUAGGUUAUUGCCAAGUGACACGUACGGUGACUUUUUCUUCGGUCGGUCGGCGGGACUGCGGUGUCUCUAUUUGCUCCGGCCGACGCGACGGAAUGUGCGUCGGUCUGUGGAGCAAAAGGACCGGUCCAGUCUCCCAUGGGAACAAGCUGCAUGGGUGCACGGUGCACGGUAGGAAGCACUACCUACUGUCCAUCCUCUAUCAUCAGCUGAUGCAAUGCAAGCCGUCACCCAUUUGCACACGAGGCCUUGGUCCGUCACCUUCCAAUCAUCGUCCAUCCUAUGGCCUGCCUUGUGUUGUGGAGACACUGGAUUAAUUUGGAAGGUCGCCUCAGGCUCGUUUCUUAGAAACACAAACGCACACACUCACAUCAUUACACACACGCAAUCACACAAUGCCUACUGAAGGUCAAAGUUGCAGAGCUGAAAGAUUGAUGAAGAGCGAUGCAAAAGAAAAAUGAAAAAAAAAAAGAUUGACGAAGAACUUGCUAUUAACGAAAACGUCAUCCCCACUGCAAGAAUAAUCCGCAAUAGUGAGACAUCAAAGCGUCAAAUCUAGGAUUUGAUUUUUAGUGGGCUAGGGAAACUACUGUUCUGUAAUCAUCCAACCACUGAUCGCGUAGGCUGUAGGAGGCGGGACUCCCUUGGUGUACUUCUACGGGUGAAUUAAGCUCUUCAGUGAAGAAAAAGGGCGUACGACCUUGUCCCUGUCAGGCCAGAGAGUAAAUUGUGGUAGAGCAUGCCUAUCUGAAAAAAAACAUAAUACAAACAUAGACGUUCACAAAAUAUGAGUGUACACUCAUUUUUAUAAACAUACUCAGUAUCCUAUGGGCACCAUCAAGACAGAGAUGACAAAUCAGAUUGGUGAUAUCACUCCAAAUGUCUCAUAGUCUACGGGGACGUUAUCUCCCGCUGAACAAACAUCAACGAAAAGCCUAAAAUAAUCUAGAAAAUGCAAGCGUCCAUGCAAAGUCUAAGACUUGAAUCUGGAUAGGCUGGUUGAUUGGCAAAACACAUUUAUAGAUGAUGUUGCAACGCAAAGUUACAACUCUUAAGAGCAUCUCCAACAGCCGCGCUAAAUAAGCGCCGCGCUGCAAAUUUGUCCUUUUUAGCGAGCGCGCAAUCGAUAAUUGGUUUCCAGCGGACGCGCAAUAAGCGCGCGCGUGGCAUAUAGAGUACAUCGCGCGGUCCGAAUCGCCAUCGCGCGCUGUGUAUUUGGUGCGCCCGCUUCCGCGCGUCGCACACUCGAGCGCUCGCGCCGCGCCACCUUCGCCCCGCCCCGCGCAGCCGCCGGCGAAUUGACCUGAUGGACGCCCGCGCCGGCACCCCCCUCACCCCUUCCUACACCCGCGAUCCCUCCGCCACUGCAAACCCAAGCGCGGGGAGUCUCCGCCGGUGCUCCUCCAAGCACCGGUAUCGCGCGCGGCCUUUUCAUGCCGCCACGGAUGACCUUGGCGGCGGGUGGCGUCUCGCCGGCGCCCGCCGUGAAGCCACGUGACCCCCUCUCGAAGCUCCCAAAUGCGGCGCGGCCGAAGAAGGGCAAGGUAUCCGCGAAGAAGAACAAGGCGGCGGACAUCUGCGGCUCCUCUAAGCCGUCGAGGAAGAAGCUUGCAGGGCGUGCGACGGACACGGUGGCCAACGAAGCGCCAGCGAGCUCACUUGUUGAGCCGGCAACCGAUGCGCAUAAGGUGUUCGAGGAAAUGCCCCAAAGGUAUAAAAUUCCGCCAACUUUUUGUUGUUGUUAUUUUUGCAUACAUAUAGAUAGCUUAUUUGCUUCGUUGUAUAUACUUUGUAGUUUCAACGAUGAGGCAUAUAUGUCAACUAUGGGGGUUGGCUCCAACAAUUCUCAUUGGUCUCAAACCAAUGACAUGCAUUUCGAUGACCAUGAGUUCGAGGUGGACGAGGAUGGUGAGGGCAUUGUCGACACAACGAAAGGAAGAGGAGGCAACUACACCAAUGAUGAAGACGUCUUGCUAUGCAAUACUUGGUUGCAAGUGUCUAGAGAUCCAUCCGUUGGAGGUGAUCAAAGUAGAGAUGCAUAGUGGAACCGGAUGAAGGAGCACUUUGAUCUACACAACAAGAGUGGAGUUGACUACUCGGAUCGAUCUCUUCGCUCCCGGUGGUCGAGAAUCAACCGAGAUUGUCAAAAGUGGGCGGCCACACAAAAGGCGGUUGACAAGCUGAACCCAAGUGGCACUAAUGAUAUAGAUAGGGUAAGUGCCAUUUCAUCCAUGUUCAUCAUGCUUUUCCUUGGUGUUUGUAGUGCUAACUUGUUCUGUUUUUUUGUAGUUCAAUAUUGCACAAAACUUGUUCAAAGGAGAGGAGAAGAAGAGCAAGAAAGGGAAGAUCAAGAAAGGGAGACCAUUUACCUUGCCUCAUUGCUAUGAAGCAUUGAAGGAUGAUGAGAAAUGGAAGAAGCGUGAUGAUAUCAAUGAUGUUGAUGAGAGCAACAAACGCAAGCGAACAAUUGAGUUGGAUGAUGAUGAUGAGGAGGCAUCAAGUGAUGACGGCAAGAGAAGCCCUACACCAAACUCGGUUUCAUACUUGAAGCCAGAACGACCAGAUGGGUGCAAGAAAGACGCAGAAGAAAAGAAGAAGAGGAAAGGAGAUGAUGAGCUAAAAAAUUCUAUGGAAGCUAUUGUGAAGGCAAGAAAAGAAGCGAACAAGGUGAGGAAGAUGGCAAGGAACCAAGAUGCCACGGCUGAGGAGAGGAGGUUGGCGGCCGAGGAGAGGAGGGUGGCGACCGAGGAGAGGAAGGUGGCAUUGAAGGAUAGGAAGGUGGGCAUGGAGGAGCGAUCUAGGUUAUUGGAUUGGGAGAAGUACUUGUUCUUCAUGGACACAUCUAUCCUCAAUGAGGCACAAAAGGAGUAUGUCAAUCUUUCCCAUGAAGAAGUCUUGAUCCAAAAAAGAGCCAUGAUUCGCGGCAUGGGUAGCGGUGGCAUUGGCGGCAUGGGAGGCAUCGGUGGCUUCGGAGCUACCAUGGGCGGCAUGGGUGCCAUGGGUGGCUUUGGAGCUACCAUGGAGACCAUGGGAGGCAUGGGUGGCUUCGGAGCACCUCCGGGCGGCAUGGGCGGCAUGGGAGGCAUGAGUUUUGCGUCUCUCAUGGGAGGCAUGGGAGCACCUCCGGGUGGCAUGGGUGGAAUGUCUUAUGGUGUGCCUCACACACCUUCGCAUGAUGCCGUUGAAGAUUUUGCCAACACCUUCCGAGCUUCACAUGAUGAUGCGGCGCGCGACAAUGAAGAGGAGAAGGAAGAAUUGUCUUCGGAUGAUGAAUCGGAGGAAGAGGAAGAUGAAGACGAGGACGAGGCUUGAUUGUUGAUGGGCCAUUCGUUGGUGUGAACUUUUGUGUCAUGAACUUGGUUCAGAUUUUGAACUUGGUUGGAUGAUCUUGUGGGCAUGAAUUUGAACUUGUGGGCAUGAACUUGUUUGUGUGAUUUAAAUUAUGCCAUGUCUUUGUUUUGAUGUUUGAAAUUCUUUUCGUGUCCAAAAUGCUACAUAUGGCAACGCCGGCUGCUCGCGCGCGCUGCAUUUUGCGCGCGUGCUGGAGCUACGUGUGCGCGCUAAAGUUUACAGCGGACGCUGGAGCCAGCGCUCCCCAUCGCGCCGAAACAGGUGAUCGGCGCGCUGCAAAUGCAUUUUUAGCGCGCCGCAUGUUGGGCGGCUGUUGGAGAUGCUCUCAGCAUCACCGAGCAAAUUUACAAAUAUCUUAGGCACUUCUUCUAUAUGGUAUUUGGGCAAGAAAAUAAAGGAACUGCUUUUUGCUUAGCAUAAAGUAUGUAGGCCAAAAUCCCAAGGUGGAUUAUGCAUUCAUGAUGUGGCUCUCCGAAAUAAAACUCUCUGGAAAUAAAACCUUCACAAAAUUUUCAACAAGGAGGAUCUUCCAUGGGUGAUACUUACUUGAGAAGCCUAUUAUAACAAAUUAUCUUCCAACUGACAGACUGGAAUGGUCUUACUUGUGGAGAACUCAUCUCAAACUAUUAAGUGAAUUUAAAAAGCAAGAACUUGUAGUAUUGUGUCGGGGGAUUCAAUCAUGUUUUGGUAUGAUCAAUGGUAGGAGAAACCUCUCUCAUAGAAAUAUCCUGAGAUACUCUUUGGUUGAUGUGAACAAUUGAAUUGUCUUGGUUGAGCACUUUCAUACACCAUAAUCUAUUCAGGCUUAUAGCUACUUUAAUGAAAUUAAGAAGAAGUUUCAAUAUAUCACCCCCUCCACACAUCUUGAUAAAUGGACAUAUAAAUGGAAGGGUCAUGGCUACUCUUCAAUGGAGAUGUACAAAAUGGAUGGUUGGCAAUGAGAAAGCCCACAUUGUUUUCCAAAUGCAUCGGGAAAUGUGGUGCUAGAUAAAGCACAAGACUUUCGUUUGUCUCCUUUUGCAUGAUAGAAUCAACACAAGGAACCUCUCAAAAGGAAAUCAAUGCACAUUAAUUGGUAUACAUUGUGUCUUUUGCCAUGAAAACUCUAAAGAGACAACCUUACAUCUUUUCUGGGAUUUUACAUUAGUUCAAAAAAUUUGGGACUCUAUUCUCCCCAACUAUCAGAAAGGUAUUUCCAUUGCUGGAUUUCAAAGAGACCCCUUAGAAAAUUUCUUUGGAUGUCAUAACUCUGGGGUGUUGGAAUUUUUGGAGUAAAAGAAAUGGCAAGAUAUUCAGAAUGGAAGUGCCUACACUUAGUACCCGAAAAUAUCUUUUAAAGCAGAAUCUUCUCCACCUUCAACAUGGAAUCAAAAGGAAGAAUGUUGAUUGCUUAUAGAGAUGGAUUGUCACUCAUCUUGAAUAAGGUUGUCAUAGUACAGAUGCAUCCUUAUUAUUGAUCAUGUUUUCCAAAACUGGAAUAGGAUAAUUGUCUCCUUUUAUUAUCGGUUCCUCCUUUCUAAUUAUUUUCGUACAUAUUCAUAUUAUGUUUUUAAGCUUCAAAAAAAGGAGGCAAGAGAAAAAUAUGCUUGGACAAUGAUGUUGUAUUGCUUAUCACUAUUCAUUAUUGAAUUUUCUUUUUGCAUACCACCCAAAUGAAAAAAGAAUUGAUUUUCAAUUUAAAGUUUACAUGUUUGUAGAAUAUCCUCUUCAACAUAUCAUAUUUUCCCCCAAAAAAACAAAAACAUAGUUUUCAUGGGCCUUCCACCUAAUAUCCACUCUGAUGUGUAGAUACGUUUUCAUCGAGGUGAUAGAACUUUUGCGCAUGUAAAAAUGCAAAACCCUAGUAACCUUAUUCUUUUCUUAUACCCCUAGCAAUAAAUUGUGUCUUAAUGCUCAUUGCAUUGUGAAAAGGUGCUCCCGUGACCAAAUUGAUUAUGCUCCGCUAUUAGGCUUGCGACACAAAUUAACUCUUGUGAGUUCUAUUGACUACGUUUACAUAGCUAAAGAAGAGUUUGAUUGCUUUCAUUAAGUUUUCAUUUUCUCCUUUAAAUAUACCAUGAUAUUAAGGGAUUUUUGAGAGAUAAAUAUACUAUAAAGUGUAGAAACGGAAGUAAAUGCUCACAUCCAUGCAUGCACACUCACCCCAUGUGUAUGAGAGAAUAACGUUAUAAAGUCAGAAUAAAUCAAUAAAAAUAUAAGCAGCCAUGUCAAGUCUAGUAAUUGAAGGAAAGUUCAACCACAAGAAGCUUAGCCAGCUGAGCUAUGCAUAGUUUUUUUAGAUGGAGCUAUGCUCACCAUGCUAUCAUAAGAGUGUUAGGGCAUCUCCAAAGCGGACCCUCAAAUCUUCACUAUAUGUCCGGAUCGUUGUGUCCGGAUCACUUUUCCCAUCCAAUGAGAACCCUUAGAGCAUCUCCAAUACAAGAUGCAAAUUUGGAGAUGUAAAAAUUUACAUCUCCAAAAAGAGGCAACUCCACAAAUGAUGUAUAUUGAAGAUGUAAAAUAGGAACUCCAAUAGAAGAUGCAAACUGGUGAUGUAAAAAUCAACCGACGGCCGCGCGACUGUUGUUCAACUAUUGUACAGCCGUUGUUCAACCGCACAAAAUGAAAUAAAACAUCCGAAAAUCAAAGGAAAAAUUUCACAUGUCCACAAUAUCAAUUUAUAACAUAAUUCAUCAAAUUCACAAGAUCAAAUGGAACACAAAUAUAACAUAGUUUUGCACAAUACAACAUACAAAUAAUGAAACUAGGCGGCUCUUUCACCAUGCCAUUUCCAAUACUCCUCCAUCAAAUCCUUCUGAAGUUGAUCGGGCACAUCGGAGUCUGUAAUUUCAUUGUACACCUUCAUGAAACGUUUGAUUCGCUCCUCUUUUCUCAUUAGUCUAACCCGUAUGCCUGAUACGUCUGCAACGUAUCUAUAAUUUUCUCAUUCUUGGAUGUUUUACAUUCAUUUUAUAGAAAAUCUAUAUCAUUGUUUGGGACUAACCUAUUGACAUCGUGCCCAGUGCCAGUUGCUGUUUUUUUGCUUGUUUUUUACAUCGCAGUAUAUCAGUACCAAACGAAGUCCAAAUGCCAUGAAACUUUUUGAGAUUUUUUCUGCCUAGAAGACAACUUGGGAGCCAAGGAAGCACCAGAGAGGAGGCUUGUGGGGCCCACCACCCACCUGGGCGCGCCAGAGGCCCCUAGCGCGCCCUGAUGGGUGGUGGGGCCCAUAGAGGUCCUCUCCACUGCCUCUGAGCUCUAUAAAUACUCAAAUAUUCCAGAAACUCUAAGGGAGUCGACAAAACACAAUUCCAGUCGCCGCAAGUUCCAGAACCACAAGAUCCAAUCCAGAGCCCUAUUCCGGGACUUUGCGAGAGGGGAACACGAUACAGAGGGGUUCAUCAUCCUCAUUGGUGCUCCUCCAAUGAUGCGUGAGUAGUUCACAACAGACCUACGAGUCCGUAGGCAGUAGCUAGUGUUGGGAAACGUUGCAUGGAAAACAAAAAAAAUUCUACGCACACGCAAGAUCUAUCCAUGGAUAUGCAUAGUAACGAGAGGGGGAGAGUGUGUCUACGUACCCUCGUAGACCGUAAGCGGAAGUGUUUAGUAACACGGUUGAUGUAGUCGAACUUCUUCAUGCUACAACCAAUCAAGUACCAAACAUACAACACCUCUGAGUUCUGCACACGUUCAGCUCGGUGACGUCCUCCGCCUUCUUGAUCCAGCAAGACGGCGGGGUAGUGGAUGAGUUCCGACAGCACGAUGGCGUGGUGACGGUGAUGGUGAAGUGUUCUCCGCAAGGUUUCGCCUAAGCACUACGAAAAUAUGACCGAGGGACAAAUAUGGAGAGGGGUGCCGCACACGGCUAGAAUAAUGGUGUGAGUUGUGUGGCGCCCCCUCCCUCAUAUAUAUAUAUAGGUGGGGGGGGGGAGAGGUAGCCCCUAGGAUGCCCCAAGUGGCCGGCGGCUGCCCUAGGGCACCUGCCUAGCUGCGCUCCCUUUCCUUAUUUGAACAUGAGGGGGAAAGGAAAGGGAGAUGGCUGCCUUAGGGCGCCUCCCCUUUCCUUCCCUCCCUCCUUUGGUGCGUGGGAGGGGGUAGAGGGGCGCACAAGCCCCUUGUGGGCUGGUGUGCUCUUCACCUUUUGGCCCAUAAGGCCCAAUAACCUACCGGGGCUGCCCGGAAACCCCUUCCGGUGACCCGAUAAGUACCCGGUACCACCCGAAACACUACCGGUGUCCAAAUACCAUCGUCCUAUAUAUCAAUCUUUACCUCUCGACCAUUUCGAAACUCCUCGUCAUGUCCGUGAUCUCAUCCGGGACUCUGAAAAACAUUCGGUCACCAAAUCACAUAACUCAUAUAAUACUAUAUCGUCAUCAAACGUUAAGCAUGCGGACCCUACGGGUUCGAGAACUAUGUAGACAUGACCGAGACACCUCUUCGGUCAAUAACCAAUAGCGGAACCUGGAUGCCCAUAUUGGCUCCUACAUAUUCUACGAAGAUCUUUAUCGAUCGAACCGUUAUGACAACAUAUGUAAUUCCCUUUGUCCAUCGGUAUGUUACUUGCCCGAGAUUCAAUCGUCGGUAUCUCUAUACCUAGUUCAAUCUCGUUACCGGAAAGUCUCUUUACUCGUUCUGUAAUACAACAUCUCGUAACUAAAUCAUUUGUCAUUUUCUUGCAAGGCUUCUUAUGAUGUGUAUUACCGAGAGGGCCUAGAGAUACCUCUCCGAUACUCGGAGUGACAAAUCCUAAUCUUGAUCGAUGCCAACUCAGAAAACACCUUCGGAGAUACAUGUAGAGCAUCUUUAUGAUCACCCAGUUACGUUGUGAUGUUUCAUAGCACACAAGGCAUUCCUCCGAUAUUCGGGAGUUGCAUAAUCUCAUAGUCGAAUGAAUAUGUAUUUGAGAUGAAGAAAGCAAUAGCAAUAAACUGAACGAUCAUUAUGCUAAGCUAACAGAUGGGUCUUGUCCAUAAAAUGAUUCUCCUAAUGAUGUGAUCCCGUCAUCAAAUGACAACACAUGUCUAUGCUUAGGAAACCUUAACCAUCUAGGAGAGGCUUACUAGGGACAUGGUAUUUGUUUAUGUAUUCACACAUGUAUUUAAGUUUCCGAUCAAUACAAUUCUAGCAUGAAUAAUAAACCUUUAUCAUGAUUAAGGAAAUAUAAUAAUAACCAUUUUAUUAUUGCCUGUAGGGCAUAUUUCCAUCAGCUAGAUGGCUUCUUCUCUCUUUUUGAUUCUCAAUACAAUGUUCUCCUUGAUGUUCUUAGAGAUCUAUUUGAUGUAAUGACUUUUUGCGGAGUGUUUGUUGGGAUCCGAUGAAUUGUGAGUUUAUGAUUAGUUCUAUCCAUGAAUAUUAUUUGAUUCUUCUUUGAUCUCUUAUAUGCAUGAUUAUUAUAGCCUCGUAUUUCUUCUCCGAAAGUUUGGUUUGGUUUGGCCAACUAGAUUGAUUUUUCUUGCAAUGGGAAGGGGUGCUUUGACGGGUUCGAUCUUGCGAUGUCCUCACCCAGUGAUAGAAGGGGUAGCAAGGCCCACAUGUAUCAUUGCUAUUUAGGAUAAAAAGAUGGGGUCUAUUCCUACAUGAAUAGAUCUUGUCUACAUCAUGUCAUCGUUCUUAUUGCAUUACUCCGUUUCUCCAUGAACUUAAUACACUAGAUGCAUGCUAGAUAGCGGUCGAUGUGUGGAGUAAUAGUAGUAGAUGCAGGCAGGAGUAGGUCUACUAAUCUUGGUUGUGAUGCAUAUAUACAUGAUCAUUGCCUUGGAUAUCUGCAUAAUAUUUGCUCUUCUAUCAAUUUCCAAACAGUAAUUUGUUUACCCACCGUAUGCUAUUUUCUCGAGAGAAGCCACUAGUGAAAUCUACGGCUCCUGGAUCUAUUUUCUAUCAUAUUGUUUUCAGAUCUAUUAUUCCAAAAACCCCAAAAUACCUUGCUGCACUUUUUCCUUAUUUAUUUUAUUUUGUGUUUUUGUAAGAUCUAUUUAUCCAAUCGCACACAAUUUUAUCUAUCUCAAUACCGAGGAGGGAUUGACAACCCCUCUUACGCGUUGGGUUGCAAGUAUUUGUUGUUUGUGUGCAGGAUCCGUUUACAUAGUGUUGCUUGGUUCUCCUACUGGAUUGAUAAACGUGGUUUCGUAACUGAGGGAAAUACUUACCAUUGUUGUGCUGCAUCAUCCUCUCCUCUUCGAGGAAAUACCAAUGUAGAUACAAGCAAUCAUGAAGAAUUUCUAGCGCCGUUGCCGGGGAGACAUCAUCAUCUAUCAGGUUCCUAAUCACAAAUCUCAUCUCCUUGCAAUUUACAUUAUUUGCCAUUUGCCUCUCGUUUUCAUCUUCCCCACUUCUAAAACGUUUUUGCGAAAAGCACAAAACAAUUUGCCUUUUUAUUUUCCUUCUUUUUGUUUUUUUGCUCGUUUGAUAUCUUUGCUUGCGUGCCAUGUGCCUUCUAGUUGCUCGCAUCUUACCUUGCUCAAAAUUUAUUGAUAUGGAUCCUCAUCCACUUGCUAAUCUUUUCAAAAGAUCUGAUUAUGUUGAACCAAUUGCUAGUGAGUUGAGUGCUCUUGAUUUUCUUUAUGAAGUUUUUCUUGAAAUUCGUGAAUCUGAAAAUUGUGAUAAGUGUUAAAAGAAGAAAUUUAUAAGGUGAUUCACAAUAGCUCCUCGAAUGAAAAACAUGAUUGCAAUGAUAUUAUUAUAAAUUCUAUUAAUGUCAAUCGUGUUAGUGAUAUGCAAAACCCCAAGCUUGGGGAUGAUAAUUUUGUUAUGUCUACUACUUAUUGCAAUGAUCAUGAUAGGGGUGAUAAUAUUUCUUAUGAUCUUGAAAAUUUAUUUAAGCCUCAUGAUGAAUAUGAUAUUGAUAGUAAUGUUUGCAAUAAUAUUGAAGGUGGGUUUGGAAGAGUGUCAACUCUAGGUAAUAAUGGUCCCACUACUUUGGAGAUUGAUCAAUCUUAUGAAAUUUUUGAUAAAAGUUGGCUUGGAGAGGUCAUGACUUUAUUUGAUGAUAAUCCCACUAUUUUGGAAGAGUGUCAACUUUGCAUGCAUGUGGAUCAUGAAGAGAAUAUUUUAUGUGAUAGUUAUACUGUUGAAUUUGAUUAUGAUUCUACAUGCAAUUAUUAUGAGAGAGGAAAAUAUGGUCGUAGAAAUUUUCAUGUUACUAAAUCACCUCUUGUUAUGUAGAUCGUCAAUGUUUUAUUCCUCUCCCUUGCAUAUGCUAGAUAUUUUUUGUCUUGAUAAUUUGUUUGCCUAUAAAAUGCCUAUGCAUAGGAAGUAUAUUAGGCUUAAACUUGUUUUUCACAUGCUACAUGAUGCUCUCUUCAUGCUUCAAUUACUAUCCUUGAUGUGAGCAUCAUUGAAAUUUUAAGCCUAUCUUAAUGGCUAUAACGAUAGCGCUUGUUGGGAGGCAACCCUAUGAAUAAAAUGUAUUUUGUCUUUUUAUUUCUGUUCUUGAGUGUUUGCACAAUUAUGCUACUGUUAUGAUUGUGUUUUUAUGUUUUAAUUAGUGUUUGUGAUGAGUAAAUACUUUCGGAUCAUGUUGGGUGAUAGUUGAUUUGAUCUUGUUGGAAAAAAUAAACUUUUGCGUCCAGUAGAAGAAUUGUUAAAAUUCACAGAAGCUACUAAAGCUUCUGAUUUUUUACACAAGAUUGAUGUACAAAUUUCCUAUGUUGUCCUAAUUUUUCAGAAUUUUUGGAGUUACAUAAGUAUGAGUAAAAUUCGCGUCUUUACAGACUGUUAUGUUUUUGACAGAUUCUGCUUUCUUUGCAAUGUGUGCUUAUUUUGAUGAUUCUAUGGAUUGUAUCAGGGGGUAUAAGCCAUGGUAAAGUUAGAAUAAAGUUGGUAUAAUGCAAUAAGAAAAUAUGAAUGGGUUUGCGACAGUACUUAUUGUAGAGAUUGGUUUUCUUAUACUAACGGAUCUCACAAAGGUUUUGUUGAGGUUUGUGUGAUUGAAGUUUUCAAGUUUUGGGUGAGAUCACGAUGGAUGAAGGAAUAAGGAGUGUCAAGAGCCUAAGCUUGGGGAUGCCCCAUGGCACCCCAAGGUAAUAUUCAAGGAGAAAGAAGCAACUAAGCUUGGGGAUGCCCCGGAAGGCAUCCCCUCUUUCUUCUAGCGACCAUCGGUAAAUUUACUUGGAGCUACAUUUUUAUUCGUCACAUAUCAUGAGUUUUGCUUGGAGUGUCUUGUAUUAUAUGAGUCUUUGCUGGAUUUGAUUUUUAGUUUAUCGCAAUCAUCCUUGCUGGAUACACCUUUUGAGAAAGCCAUAAUGAUGCUAUGAUUUUUUAGAAUUGCUCUAUGUGCUUCACUUAAUUUUUUUGAGCUAUGGAAUUGCUCUAGUGCUUCACUUAUAUCUUUUUGAGCACGGUGGUGCUUUAAUUUUUGAAGGAAUAUUCUCUCAUGAUUCACUUAGAUUAAUUUGAGAGUUAGUAAAAUUUUGAAGAAAUUCUCGCAUGCUUCACUUAUAUUAUUUUGAGAGAUGAUGAAAAAUUAUUUAUGGUCAGGUUCUUCACUUAAAUUUGUUUGAGAGCUUGUUAUAAGCAAUGGUAAUAUAUGAAACUAUUCCCGAAGUGAUAGAAUAUCCAAGAGGGAUAUAAUAAAAACUUUCAUGAAAGAUCAUUGGACAAAAUAAACUUGAUUCUUUGUAAUAGUUUUGAGAUAUGUUGAUAGUAAUAUGCGAGUCAUGUUGGUGAGUAAUUAUGCUUUAGUAAGCAUAUUGUUAUUAAGGUUUGUGAUUCCCUAUGCAAGAACGAAAGUCAAUAGUUAUGCAAUGAAAUUACAUCCUACUUGUGGUGCAUUAUUCGGUGUUAGUUAUGCUUAAUGCUCGUUUUUGAGAAUUUUUGUUUCUUGGUUGGUUGCUUCUCAAUCUAUUUGCUAGCCUCCAUUCGUACAAUGUGGAAAUACUACUUGUGCAUCCAAAUUCCUUAAACCCACUUAUGCCAUAUGAGUCCACCACACCUACCUAUAUGCAGUAUUUCCGUGCCGUUCCAAGUAAAUUUGUAUGUGCCAACUCUAAUUUUCAAAAUGAAUUACAUUUUUGUGUGCCCGUACCACUUAUGCUUUGUCUUCUGCUUGAUUGGAUGCUAUGUAUUUGGUUGUCUUGCAAGUACAUUCAAUGUACUGACCUGGCGUGUCAUGCCAGUUUUGUAGGUCAUACCCGAAUCGUUCGCUUGAUCCGUCGUGCUAGGCUGUAACCUUGCCAGUCCUGUGAGUUGUCGAGCCCAGCCAGAGUUGAUGAGCCGCCAAACCAAGACUUCCGCCGCCAUUUUAAUAGACUUCCGCUGUCAUUUAAUAGCCUUAGGGCUAUGCCAGAUAAUUGUAUUCAUCAAUGAUGUAAUUUCAUAUACAUGUAUUUGAUGAAUAUUUUUGUACCUGGAAUCCUGUAUUAUGGACCUGUCGUGCGUCAGGUGUUAUCCUGGGCUGACGUGCGAAGGCCCCCUGCUCCAUGCGGAUCGGGGUGCCACAGGGCAUGGCCCUAAGGGAUUUGACCCAUCCCUGCAUACGGCAUGGCCACUGUUAAUCAACAGGUGGCGCAGUCGGGACCGACACGUACUCACCCCGCUGUCCCCGCCUAGUUAUCCGUGGAACAAAUAGCAACCAUAUCCUUUCUGGUCGGCCACACCGCUCACCCUUCGCCAUUAAGGGAAAGGGGCCACACCAUGCGGGCAUGUCUCGCAUAGCUGCCUAUAAAAGCCCCCUUUCCGCUCGCCGUACCGCUCACCCCUCAGUCAACCAUGUCCCUGCAGAGAAGCCUAGCUAGUAGCACUCCAUCCAUGACUGGCACCUUCAAAGCUCCCAAGUUUCACACCCGCACCGGUGCCGUCAACCACCCCGGCUUUCCACCCCUUCUUGCUGAGAUGCUCACCAAAGCCUUUGGCUGUAAGGCUAGCCCCGAUUACCUGGUGUUCCAAUCAUCACCCGUCCCUCACCUUCAUCGCUUCGAUGCAAGAGUGUGCAUCAGCCUAGCAGCGGAUGGCCAACCGUUGGUUUUUCAGGGUAGAGCUGUGCCUACCUCUGAUUUAGCCAUUCAGGCCGCUGCUGUGGAGGCUAUGCUUCACCUCCGAACCAGGUACCCGCAUAUGGCAGCAAGGUGUGAUUUCUGCUUCUACCCUAUUGUGGCAGAGGUAGGAAUGCAGCCUUCUCCCACUACCCAAGGAGAUGACCCUGCAAUCGCUCGCCUGGUGCAAUAUAUUACCGUCCAGGGGAUGAUGAUUGCCAAGAUGCUUGCCGAGUUUAGAACUCUGGACAACGAUGCGGUGCGAGUCGUCAAGGAAGCUUACCGUGAGGCUCGUAAAUUCGCGUCUCAAGUCAUUUGUCCAACGCCAUCCGAACCAGUGCUACCCUCUCAGCCUGUGUUCUGGCCUAGCCCAACAUUGUCACCCUCAACAAGGCUCUUUUACAGAUCCACCAGCAGCAUUUGCCCGAAUCAAUUUCAGCCACACCCCCAGCAGCCGAACCCCAACCCAUAGUAGAGUCGGAUGAUGAAGAUGGAGAUUGGCUCAGUCUUCGUCCUCCCGGAGAGCCCCAGUAAGGCAAAUCCUCUGCAUGACCUCAGUCAAGCAGUAAGAUGAUCAGUCUGUCGGUUCAUCCUCGAUAUGAGGGUAGCACUAUGUAUCCCUAGAUGAGUUGCUUCGUUUAGCGUGUAGCGCGUUCGUGUUCUGUUGUCUGCUGGUACUGUUGUAGUCCGUAUGCUGUGUUCUAUGUAUGUUUUUGUGCUUUUGUUUCUGUGUUGUUUUUGCUUGUCUCUCUGUCAAGCAGAAAUGUUUGACAGGGUUGACACUGUGUUGCUAACAAGAUUUUAAUUAGUAGAUCACAUACACUAAAUUAACCCUAACUCGUCUCGAGUCCAUAAUAAAAUGCGCGCUGGUGUAGGUAUAUGUAUACCAGGAGUACAUAUACCCACUAGCAUUAAAACACCGUAGAAUGAUUUGCCUGGUGUGUUUCUCCGUUGCAUGUUAUUGCAUCUGUCUGUUUGCUAGUUAAGAUUAUUCUGCAUACUGCACGCAUACCCGGUUCACCCACGAGUACAUUCGGGCAGUACACGGGGGAAUGCAAAGUCACAUAUCCCUAUCUAUCUGAGCAUACACCGUGUGCCGGAUUUUUCAAAUCCAGAGCCUCGCAGAGGCAGUUCCGUCUGGUAAUUCCUCGUCCCUAAUCCUUUUUCCCGAUUUCAUUUCCGGAGGAACACUGCCAAUUUUAUUUCACUCGAUCCAGUACAUCUACCCCGAUACAGGUUUCACCCUUGAUUCUACCUCGACACCUACGUUUCGUGGAGGAAUCUGUGAUUUUUUUUUCUCGGUGCCCCCAACUCGUUUGAAUUUAACCAAAGGGUUAAAAAUUAACCCCGAGGUUUUUCUCCGGAGUUGUUAUUCUUUCAUUUGUGUUGUAACCCUAGGAAUCUCGAGGACGAGAUUUCUUUUUAAGGGGGGAAGAGUUGUAACAGCCCCAAAAUUGGGUUAUCAAUUUUUGUGCUAUUAUUCUCUCCUGGCACUCAUUUUCAAAAUUUUCUCCUGAGUUUGCUGGAUGACCCUGAGAAAUUUUUGUCAUUUCCAACCUUUCAAAAUCCUGCUCAUGUCUUUUUCAGUGGGCAAGACCUCAUUUGCAUCAGCUCAAUUCCUCUUAAACCCUAAUUCCAAAUUUUUGGAAUUUGGAUAUGCCCUUGUGAUUACAAAGGAGCCACCAUUUUCCUUGUUCUGUUGAUCCUCCCAAUUGAUCCCAGAGAUCAUCCUAUCUUUCUUAACCUUGGAUAUGCAAAAAUAUUGCUAAGUCCAAUGCAAUAUUUUUGAAUUAUGAUUUAUUCCUUUUCUUGCCUUUUUGAGGAAUAAAAUCCAAAGGCAUAGCUAGACAUCUCCUAAAUUCAUGAGAAUUGGUGGAGUUGAUACUUAUGCCUAAUCCAAGCUCUGGCAAGUAUAUUGGCCAUAAUUAAAUAAGGAAAAUUGCCUUUUCCUAUUUAAUGCCAAUAUUGCAUUUCUGCCAAUUUCCAAAGGAACUACUAUUUUUAUAGUAGAGAAAAUUCCCACAUAAAUUGUGGAGCUUGUCCUUGCUAUAUAAUCACUAGUUCCAUCCUAAUAUCAUGAUUCCACAGUUCAAAAUUUGGCACAUGAUCCAAUGCAAGUUUCUGCCUUCUCUGAAAUUUUGCAAAGGAAGUGCUUUAUUGCUAAGUCCAAUUAAGCUGCAAUUUGGCAGGGUGUUUAACAUUGUUAAAUAACCCAUGUAUACCAAAUAUGAGCUCAAUCCAUUGACCCUAGCUCCCUAUGCAAUUUUCCAAAUUUUUUGACCAGAACACAAGUUUGUGAAGGAAGUACCUUCAUAGUGUUUCCAAAUGGGAUGAAACUUUUCCAUCCUCUCUAGUAUCUCAAAUCAUUAUCCUCCACCCAAAUUCAGUUCAUUUCAUUUAACUAUGUGAGCACAGGAGCAAUUCUUGUUUUUUGUCCAAAUUUUCAGUUUGUGAAGCAAGUGUAUUCUAUCUUGCUCCAUUAUGGCUGAUAAUGUUUCCAGGCCUUCUCCUACUCAUAUAACCUAUCUCCACAAGAUUGUGGCUCAUUUCACUUGACCAAUUGCCCUGAGGAUUUUUCCUGAAGUUUUUGGACAGAAAUGAUAACUGUGAAGGAAGUACCAUUUUGGUUAGUCCAUUUGGUAUGAACUUUUUACAGCAUCAUGGUAUGUUCAAAUCAUCAGGCUUUGACAAGUUAUAGCCCAAUCCAUCACCCCUAGUGAGUGUUUCAUCAUGAUUAAGUUUCUUGGUCAGUUUUGGUGGUUGUACAACAACUAUGGUAAAUAGUUCUCCAUUUUACCUCAAAACUCCCAGGACCGUAGUCCUUUCUACCCCAAGCCUCCCGGACAUCAAUUUUACCAUUUACCCUCUCUGGUUUAAUCUCUAGGAUGUUGCUAAGGUUGCAACAGCAAACUUGUGGAGCUUGUUUCACUCAUCUCCAUUUGUCUCUGCCCGAUCUUUCACCACGGUAACACUCCACGCUGGAAGGACUACGCGGUAGACAUGAAUUUACACCAGUUAAAACCCCAGAGCGCGCCAUGCCAGUGGUGACUAUGAAGGCAGCCGGCCAAAACGGUGGUCUAGCCACUGUUCUCGUCGGCAGCGCUGCUCCGACCGUCUCUGGUCUCGCCAUUAAUGCCCACCAGUUCCCCCUCGGCGUCCUCUUCCGUCUGGACCUCUGGCCCCCUUCGUUUUCUUCUCCGGCGAGCCGUGCCAACGCUCGAACAGUGCGAGCCCGUGAGCUCGUCCUCUUCCUCGCCGGUGUCCGCUUCCUCCUCUUGUCCUCGAGCCUUGCUCGUCUCCGUGAGCCUCUGCUGCUCGUCUUGAUCCUCCCCGUCGUCUUCCCAUGGGCCUUGGCCGCGCCUGCCGACACUGCGCCGUCGCCGACGCGCGGACACGUCGCCCUCCGUGUGCCACCUCCUCCCCUCCCCCUCGAGCCCUCCCGCGGCUAUUUAAGCACGCCCCGAGCAUCCUCGCGGUCCACAACCCCCUCCCCGAGCCUCUCCCCGAGCUCAGAGCCCCUCUCUGACCCCAUCACCACCGUGGCCGCCUCCUCGGGCCUCCAUCGAUUCCGGCACUCUCGAGCCCUCCUCGCCGUUCCUCCACCACCAUUGCAACCUAUAGAUCCCACCAAGUCUUCCCGUAGCCUCGGCCCUUUCUCUCCCCUACCGGAGCACCUUGCUCCACCGGUGGCCGAAACUCCUCUCCGCCGCAGGCCUUGCUGCUCUCUCUGCAUCGCCUCUCGCCGUCAACGAAGACCACCUCUGGAUGCGCCUCCCUCCCCUGGUCAUCUGGGUAGGUCGCACGACCGCACCGUGGCCGGAAUCGCCGGCAGUCGCCGUCGGGGUGUCCUCCUCCCUCGGCCCGGCGCGUGCCCAAGCGUGAGGAAGAAGAAGCCAGGCCAGGCAGGCCCCCUUCCCGCGCGGCCCCACCUGUCGGCGAUCGUAGGGCGUGGCCCCGCUUGCCACGUCGGAUAAGUGGCGGCGCCACGCCGCGAAGUCGUUUUCCCCGCGCGAAAGCGCAUUUCUGGAAAGUGCGCUUUCAAUCUCAGAAAGCGUAUUUUUCCUCUCCUUCGGCCGGGAAUACGUUUCCCCCUCUGGAAGACGUAUUUUUAGAAAAGACACGUUCUGUUUAGACUACCAGGGACCUGUUUGUAGAAGUAUUUUUACAGACUAGUCCUUGAGUUUUAAACGUCCGUAUCUUUUUACCCGUAGCUCCGAAUCAGGUGAUUCCAAAGCCCACGUAUUUGUUUCGUCGAGCCCAUUCUGUUGAUAUCAUUUUCAUAAUAUUUUCACGUAGUGAAAAUGACCAUUUUGCCCUUGCCCGUAAACAGCCUCCUCCGAGAGAGAACUGUUUUCGGCAAAUCUUUCCGCGAUCGUUUCGCACUUCUUCCCGGAGUAUUUGCCGACCCCCAGGCAAGCCAACCUCUUAUCAUGAGCCCCGAACUUGCAUGUUGACUUUGCUUGCACCUUGUGUGUGUGUGUAGUUGCAGUUGUUUUAUAUCGUUUUCAUCGGCAGUUAUUUCUUUAUGCCUAUCUUGCAUGCUUGUGUUUCAUGAUACCUUUGCCAUGUUAAUUAGAAUGUUAUUAUUAAUAAUGCCAUGCCACUACUCUACUUUAUUUGCAUGUCAUCGUUAUAAACUGUUAUGAGGAUUGUAAUGCACCGUUGAUAUACUAUUGUCGUGUCCUUUAUGUUAUAGUUGUGCACUUGAGGAGUUCAAUAUUUUGUUCGUGCAUUUGUAUGCGGCAUGUUGCACUCAUGUUAAAUAUGUUCAUGAUGAUGGAGAAGGAAAUAAAAUGACUUAAUAAUAACAAACCUCCUCCGUCAUCGAUGGGAUCGAGUCAUAGUGCCGCCAAACCGAACUUUUUCAGUGCAGCCACAUUUGCCUUUUUGGGAAGGCCUUAAUGCGAUCUAUUAUCGUGCCUCUCGUCGGUGCCUCCAACUAGGGAAGGUUAUGGGCGUGCUUACCCUGAUCAGGUAAGCGGACAUAACCUUGUGUGCUAGUUUUUGAGAUUUUUGGUACCAGUCCCCGAGUGGGAGUGUCCCCGAGUGGGAGUUGACCACGACGGUGGUCGGGGUGUAUUUGGUAGACACGGGGCCACCCAGGUCCAGCCCGUUGGGGAUUGGGUCGGAGCGGCCGGGAGAGCGUCAUGGCAGUAGGUUGGUUUCGUCGGAAUGCCGUUGGUCCACCCGAAUGGGAUGACGAGGCCAUGGGUUCCGUGGUGUGGGUACAGUGUGCUACCUCUGCAGAGUGUAUAAAGUCUAUCGAUAGCAACAGUUCGUAGUAGGUCCCACUAUCAGGUCUUGAUCGAAAUGGAGGAUAAACCUGAAAUAAUUAAAUUGGUAAAUAAAUAUGUGAUAACAAAAAUAUGGUGACUUGGACUAUGAGAUAGUCCUGAGAAGUCACGACGAUGUUUUGAUAUGAUCAUGAGACGAGGUCUGGAUAAGUGUUGGUCAUGGUUGUGAUCGCCGGAAAGAUCACCGCUCGGUUGCGAGGCAACACGUUGGUAAGAGAGUCCGAGGGACUCGGUGCACAAGUUUGGUUGCAUUGCAUGAGUAAUAUGUUGCAUUUAAAAACCAAGGCAGAACAUAAGAUGGUUGCAUAAAGUUAACAUGCUAUGUCUGCAUUGGAUAUAUAUUCGGUAGUUUAUUUUCAGCAUAGUUUCAUGAUGCCAUGCCAUGCUUCGAUUGACAUGUUAAAUUAUGCCAUGAUUGAGAUGAUAUGCUUUGCCAUUGCCAUGUUAGAAGCAUGAUCUGAUAUGCCAUGUCAUUACCAAGUUAGUAGAUGUUAUGAUUUGGUUCAUGCUUAGUUGAAUUUUUAUCAUGCCAUGUUUAGUAAUUGAUAUGAGAUAGGUUGUUGCAUGCGCUUGGUUCUUGCUUUGUCUUCUGCUUGUUUGGAUGCUAUGUAUUUGGUUGUCUUGCAAAUACAUUCAAUGUACUGACCUGGCGUGUCAUGCCAAUUUUGUAGGUCAUACCCGAAUCGUUCGCUUGAUCCGUCGUGCUAGGCCGUAACCUUGCCAGUCCUGUGAGUUGUGGAGCCCAGCCAGAGUUGAUGAGCCGCCAAACCAAGACUUCCGCCGCCAUUUUAAUAGACUUUCGCUGUCAUUUAAUAGCCUUAGUGCUAUGCCAGAUAAUUGUAUUCAUCAAUGAUGUAAUCUCAUAUACAUGUAUUUGAUGAAUAUUUUUGUACCUGGAAUGCUGUAUUAUGGACCUGUCGUGCGUCAGGUGUUAUCCUGGGCUGACGUGCGAAGGCCCCCUGCUCCAUGCGGAUCGGGGUGCCACAUAGGGGGUGGCCAAUAUUUUUCCAUGCUAGAUGUGUUAUUCUCAAGAUGAGUGUUUAUUCACUUGUAAUUGCACGAGAGUCUGGCAGUAGUAGGGAUGCCCUGUCCCGAAAUGAAAAAGAAAAUUACUUUAUGUUGCUAAAUAGUAAAUUCCUUGGAAAGUGUUGGUAUGGAAGGCACCCGUGGAUACGGCUAGCCAUGGAUUGUGAAAGAAUGGUGGAAAAAGGAAUAAACUUUAUUUUAUGUUGGGGAACCGCCUAUGAUGUAUCUAGCAUGGAAAGUAUUGGGAAUUACUCGGUCGUUUUCGUUGACGGGAAAAGCAUGCCUCUCAGCUUUGAGCUCUGGCACCUCUACAAAUCUCGGCUUGCCUCUACGAAGGGCCUAUCUAUUUAUUUUAUGCAACUUUUAUUUUUAUUUGAGUCUCCAUCUUCUCUUAUAAAGCACCAACUAGGGAGCACUAUGAUUAUACUUUUGCAUUGGAUGUAGCUAAUAUUCGAGUGUGUUUCAUGAAUGGAUCAAUGAUUGAGUAUGAUGGGCUAGGGAUAACUUUCUUUAGUGUUGAUAUUGUUAAAGACAUGAUUGCUUGUUGAUAUGAUUGAGUAUUGAAGUCUUCAUGUCGAAUAUAUACUAUUGAUUUGAAUUAUCUAAAAGUCCAAAUGUCCAUGCUACAAGAGAAAAGAAUAUGUGAUGAACAUGUUAGGCAGCAUUCCAAAUCAAAAAAUUUGUUUUUGUCAUUUACCUACUCGAGGCGGAGCAGGAAUUAAGCUUGGAGAUGCUGAUACUUCUCCAACGUAUCUAUAAUUUUUUAUUGUUCCAUGAUGUUAUAUUUUCAUUCUUUGAUGUUUUACAUUCAUUGGAAAAGCAACUCUUAUCAUUUUUUGGGACUAACCUCUUGACAUAGUGCCCAGUGCCAGUUGCUGUUUUUUGCUUGUUUUUUACUUCACAGAAUAUCAGUACCAAACGAAGUCCAAAUGCCAUGAAACUUUUUGGAGAUUUUUUUUCUUCCCAUAAGACAACUUGGGAGCCAAGGAAGCACCAGAGGGGAGGCCCGCGGGGCCCACCACCCACCUUGGCGCGCCAGAGGCCCCCGGCGCGCCCUGAUGGGUGGUGGGCCCUAUGGAGGUCCUCUCCACCGCCUCUCAGCUCUAUAAAUACCCAAAUAUUCCAGAAACCCUAAGGGAGUCAACAAAACACAAUUCCAGCCGCCACAAGUUCUAGAACCACGAGAUCCAAUCUAGAGCCCUAUUCCGGCAUCUUGCCGGAGGGGAACACGAUCACGGAGGAGCUCAUCCUGCCCAUUGGUGCUCCUCCGAUGAUGUGUGAGUAGUUCACCAUAGACCUACGGGUCUGUAGGCUGUAGCUAGAUGUCUUCUUCUCUCUUUUUGAUUCUCAAUACAAUGUUCUCCUCGAUGUUCUUGGAGAUCUAUUUGAUGUAAUGACUUUUUGCGGUGUGUUUGUUGGGAUCCGAUGAAUUGUGAGUUUAUGAUCAGUUCUAUCCAUGAAUAUUAUUUGAGUCUUCUUUGAUAUCUUAUAUGCAUGAUUAUUAUAGCCUCGUAUUUCUUCUCCGAAACUUUGGUUUUGUUUGGUUGUGCCAACUAGAAUGUUUUUUCUUGCAAUGGGAAGAGGUGCUUUGUGAUGGGUUCGAUCUUGCGGUGUCGUCACCCAGUGACAGGAGGGGUAGCGAGGCACGCAUGUAUCAUUGCUAUUAAGAAUAAAAAGAUGGGGUCUAUUCCUACCUGAAUAGAUCUUGUCUACACCAUGUCAUCGUUCUUAUUGCAUUACUCCAUUUCUCCACGAACUUAAUACACUAGAUGCAUGCUGGAUAGCGGUCGAUGUGUGGAAUAAUAGUAGUAGAUGCAGGCAGGAGUUGGUCUACUAAUCUUGGACGUGAUGCCUAUAUACAUGAUCAUUGCCUUGGAUAUCGUCAUAAUUAUUUGCUCUUCUAUCAAUUGCCCAAUAGUAAUUUGUUUACUCAGCGUAUGCUAUUUUCUCGAGAGAAGCCACUAGUGAAAUCUACGGCCCCUGGGUCUAUUUUCUAUCAUAUUGUUUUCAUAUCUAUUAUUCCAAAAACCCAAAAAUACCUUGCUGCACUUUUUCUUUAUUUAUUUUAUUUUAUGUUUUUGUAAGAUCUAUUUAUCCAAUCUCAUACAAUUUUAUCUAUCUCAAUACCGAGGAGGGAUUGACAACCCCUCUUACGCGUUGGGUUGCAAGUAGUUUUUAUUUGUGUGCAAGAUACGUUUAUAAAGUGUUGCUUGGUUCUCCUAUUUGAUUGAUAACCUUGGUUUCAUAACUGAGGGAAAUAGUUACCGUUGUUCUGGUGCAUCAUCCUCUCCUAUUCGGGGAAAUACAAACGCAUAUACAAGCAAUCAAUGCCCAUCAAAUGAUAGAAUGUGUAACCUAAAUUUUGUCCACGCUCAUUGCUAAUUCUUGAGGUUGCGUUGGCUUUUCCCUUGAAGAGGAAAGGGUGAUGCAGCAAAGUAGAGAUAAGUAUUUCCCUCAGUUGAGAAUCAAGGUAUCAAUCCAGUAGGAGAUACUAGCAAGUCUCCAAUCUAUGCACCUGCACAAACAAUCAAACACUUGCACCCAACGCGAUAAAGGGGUUGUCAACCCCUUCACAGUCACUUGCAAAGGUGAGAUCUGAUAGAGAUAGAUAUAAAAGAUUACUAAAAUGUAAAACAAAAUAAAAGUAAAUAAAUUGCAACAAGGUAUUUUUUGGGUUUUUUGGUUUAUAGAUCUGAAAAUAUAUGAUGGAAAAUAGACCCGGGGACCAUAGGUUUCACUAGAGGCUUCUCUCUUGAAGGAAAAUAAUACAAUGGGUGAACAAAUUACUGUCGAGCAAUUGAUUGAAAAGCGCGAAGUUAUGAUGAUAUCCAAAUCAAUGGUUAUGCAUAUAGGCAUCACGUCUGUGUCAAGUAGACCGACUCCUGCCUGCAUCUACUACUAUUACUCCACACAUCGACCGCUAUCCAGCAUGCAUCUAGAGUACUAAGUUUAUAAAGAACAGAGUAAUGCCUUAAGUAAGAUGACAUGAUGUAGAGGGAUAAACUCAAGCAAUAUGAUGAAAACCCCAUCUUUUUACCCUUGAUGGCAACAAUACAAUACGUGUCUUUCUACCCCUACUUUGUCAUAGGGUGAAAUCACGCAAGAUUGAACCCAAAACAAAGCACCUCUCCCAUUGCAAGAGAAACCAAUCUAGUUGGCCAAACCAAACCAAUAAUUCGAAGAGAAAUACAAAGAUAUCAAAUCAUCCAUAUAAGAAUUCAGAGAAGAUUCAAAUAAUAUUCAUAAAAAAUCUGAUCAUAAAUCUAUUCAUCGGAUCUCGACAAACAAACCGCAAAAGAAGAUUACAUCGGAUAGAUCUCCAAGAACAUCGCGGAGAACAUUGAUUUGAAGAUCAAAGAGAGAGAAGAAGCCAUCUAGUUACUAGCUAUGGACCCGUAGGUCUGUGAUAAACUACUCAUGCUUCAUUGGAAGGCCAAUAGAGUUGAUGUACAGGCCCUCCGUGAUUGAAUCCCCCUCCGGCAAGAUGCCGGAAAAGGCCCCAAGAUGGGAUCUCAUCGGCACUGAAGGUUACGGCGGCGGAAAAGUAUUUUGGUGGGCGUUGUUGAUGGUUUUGGAAUAUUUGAGGAUUUAUAGAGCUGAGAGGGAGGUCGGUGGACUCCCAAGGGGCCCACAAGCCAGGGGUGCGCCCUCGAGGCUUGUGGAGUCCUCGGGACUCUUCUGACUUGGCCUCCAAGUUCCGUGGAUGUCUUCUGGUCUAAGAAAAAUCACCGCGAAAGUUAUAUUCCGUUUGGACUCUGUUUGAUAUUCCUUUUCUGUAAAACUCAAAAACAAGGAAAAAACAGAAACUGAUACUGGGAUCUAGGUUAAUAGGUUAGUCCCAAAAAUAAUAUAAAAUACCAUAUUAAUGCAUAUAAAACAUCCAAAACAGAUAAUAUAAUAGCAUGGAACAAUAAAAAAUUAUAGAUACGUUGGAGACGUAUCAAGCAUCCCCAAGCUUAAUUCUUACUCGUCCUCGAGUAGGUAAAUGAUGAAAACAAAUUUUUUGAUGUGGAAUGCUACCUAACAUAUUUAUCCAAGUAAUUUUCUUUAUUGUGGCAUGAAUAUUCAGAUCCAUAAGAUUCAAAACAGAAGUUUAAUAUUGACAUAAAAACAAUAAUACUUCAAGCAUACUAAUAAAACAAUCGUGUCUUCUCAAAAUAAUAUGGUCAAAGAAAGUUAUCCCUAUGAAAUCAUAUAGUCUGGCUAUGCUUCAUCUUCAUCACAUAAAGUUUUAUGUCAUGCACAACCCUAAUUACAAGCCAAGCAAUUGUUUCAUACUUUUGAUGUUCUCAAACUUUUUCAACUUUCACGCAAUACAUGAGCGUGAGCCAUGGAUAUAGCACUAUAGGUGGAAUAGAGUAUGGUGGUUGUGGAGAAGACAAAAAGGAGGAGAUAGUCUCACAUCAACUAGGCAUACCAACAGGCUAUGGAGAUGCCUAUCAAUAGAUAUCAUUGUGAGUGAGUAGGGAUUGCCAUACAACGGAUGCACUUUAGAGCUAUAAGUUUAUGAAAGCUCAAAAAGAAACUAAGUGGGUGUGCAUCCAACUCGCUUGCUCAUGAAGACCUAGGGAAAUUUUGAGGAAGCCCAUCAUUGGAGUAUACAAGCCAAGUUCUAUAAUGAAAAAUUCCCAAUAGUAUAUGAAAGUGAUAACAUAUGAGACUCUCUAUCAUGAAGAUCAUGGUGCUACUUUGAAGCACAAGUGUGGAAAAGGAUAGUAACAUUGUCCCUUCUCUCUUUUCUCUCAAUUUUUUUAAUCUUUGGGCACUUUGUCCUCUUUUUUUCUAUUUUUUAUAUGGGCAUAUUUGGCCUCUUUUAUUUUGUAAAGUCCGGAGACUCAUCCCAAUUUGUGAGGGAAUCAUAGCUUCCAUCAUCCUUUCCUCACAUGGGACAAUGCUCUAAUAAUGAUGAUCAUGACAGUUUUAUUUACUUACAACUCAAGAAUUACAACUCAAAACUUAGAACAAAACCGAACGGUGGAGGUUGCAUGGCAAUAUAUCUCUGAAUGGCUAUGGAAAUGCCAUAAUAGGUAGGUAUGGUGGCUGUUUUGAGGAAGGGUACAUGGUGGGUGUUGUGCACCGGCGAAAGUUGCGCGGUACUAUAGAGGCUAGCAAUGGUGGAAGGGUGAGAGUGCGUAUAAUCCAUGGACUCAACAUUAGUCAUAAAGAACUCACAUACUUAUUGUAAAACUCUAUUAGUCAUCAAAACAAAGUACUACAUGCAUGCUCCUAGGGGGAUAGAUUGGUAGGAAAAGACCAUCGCUCGCCCCCGACCGCCACUGAUUAGAAAGACAAUCAAUAAAUAAAUCAUGCUCCGACUUCAUAACAUAACGGUUCACCAUACGUGCAUGCUACAAGAAUCACAAACUUUAACACAAGUAUUUCUACCAAUCCACAGUUACUCACUAGCAUGACUCUAAUAUCACCAUCUUUAUAUCUCAAAACAAUAAUAAGGAAUCAAACUUCUCAUAGUAUUCAAUGCUCUUUAUAUGAAAGUUUUUAUUUUAUCCCUCUUGGAUGCCCAUCAUAUUAGGAUUAAAUCCAUAAGUAGUCCUCAUAAUAGAUUCAUAAGGCAACUUAAUUUUCUUUCUUGGGAAGUGUUCCAUGCCCUUCCUUAAAGAAAAUUGAAAUCUAAUGUUUCCUUCUUUCGUAUCAAUAAUUGCACCAGUCGUUCUAAGGAAAGGUCUACCAAGAAUAAUAGGGCAAAUAGGAUUGCAAUCUAUAUCAAGCACAAUAAAAUAUAUGGGCACAUAAUUCCUAUUUGCAACAAUAAUAACAUCAUUAAUUCUUCCCAUAGGUUUCUUAAUAUUAGAACCUGCGAGAUGCAAAUUUAAAGAACAAUCAUCAAAUUCACGAAAACCUAGCACAUCAUAUAAAGUUUUUAGAAUCGUGGAAACGCUAGCACCCAAAUCAAACAAAGCAUGGCACUCAUAAUCUUUAAUUUUAAUCGUAAUAGUAGGUUCCCACUCAUCAGAAAGCUUUCAAGGGAUAGAAACUUCCAACUCAAGUUUUUCUUCAAAAGAUUUCAUCAUAGCAUCAACAAUAUGUUUAGUAAAAGCUUUAUUUUGAUUAUAAGCAUGAGGAGAAUUCAACAUGGAUUACAACAAGGAAAUACAAUCUAUCAAAGAACAAUUAUCAUAAUUAAAUUUCUUGAAAUCCAAAAGAGUGGGUUCAUCGCUACUUAAAGUUUUGUCCCCUCCAAUCCCACUUUUAUCAAUUUUUGAUUCAAGAUCUAUAAACUCCGAAUCAUUGGGACGCCUUUUAACUCAAGUUGACUCAUAUUCAGUCCCAUAUUUAUCAACAUUUAUAUUAGAAAAAAUAUAUUCAAUAGUCACUUCAAUCACUUUAAGAUCUUCAUCAUUAUUUUCACGAACACUAGAAGAACACGCUUUUACAAACCAAUCUUGCUUCACGCACAUCCUAGCGGUUCUUUCUUUGCACUCAUCAAUAGAAAUUUUAGUAGAUUUUAGAAAUUCAUUAAUAUCAUGCUUGUAUGGAAUAGAUCUGAUUUUUGAAGAAUCACUCUCAAGAGAAAUUAUAUCCACGUCCUAGCCAAAUCAUCAAUCUUAAGCAAAUUUUCUUCAACCAUAGCAUUGAAAUUCUUUUGAGAACUAAUGAAAUCUUUAAUAUUGUUCUCAAGAUCAGAGUGCAUCUUAUUAUAAUUUCCAUAAGAAUUGUUGUAAGAACUACCAUAAUUAUUAUAGGAAUUACUAGGAAACGGCCUAGGAUUAAAAUUACCUAUAUACGUGUUAUUAUCAAAAUUGUUCCUACCAACAAAAUUCACAUCCAUAGAUUCAUUAUUAUUCUCAAUCAAAGUAGACAAAGGCAUAUCAUUAGGAUCAAUAGGAGGACUCUUACUAGCAAAAAAUUUCAUAAGUUCAUCCAUCUUUCCACUCAAAACAUUGAUUUCUUCAAUCACAUGCACAUUUUUUACUAGUAGAGGAUCUAUUGGUAUGCCAUUGAGAGUAAUUAGCCAUGAUAUUAUCUUGGAGUUUAGUAGCUUCUCCUAAUGUGAUUUCCAUAAAAGCACCUCCCUCCGCCGAAUCUAAAAGAUUUCUAGAAGCAAAAUUCAAUCCGGCAUAAAAAUUUUGUAUGAUCAUCCAUAAACUUAAACCAUGAGUAGGGCAAUUUCGUACCAUCAAUUUCAUCCUCUCCCAAGAUUGUGCAACAUGUUCAUGAUCAAGUUGUUUAAAAUUCAUUAUAUCAUUCCUAAGGGAGAUAAUCUUAGCGGGAGGAAAAUACUUGGAAAUAAAAGCAUCUUUACACUUAUUCCAUGAAUCAAUACUAUUUUUAGGCAAAGAUGAAAGCCAAGUUUUAGCACUGUCUCGUAGUGAGAACGGAAAUAGCUUCAAUUUAACAAUAUCAUUAUCCACGUCUUUCUUCUUUUUCAUAUCACACAACUCAACAAAAGUAUUUAGAUGGGAUGCGACAUCUUCGCCUAGGAAGGUCUGAAAAUUGAUCUUUCAUAACAAGAUUCAGCAAAGAAGUAUUAAUUUCAUUAGAUUCCGCACUAGUGGCGGGAGCAAUCGGAGUACUAAUAAAAUCAUUAUUAUUAGUAUUGGAAAAGUCACACAACUUGGUAUUGUCUUGAGACAUCGUGACAAAGAAAGCAAUCUAACACACGAGCAGCCAAAAAGCAAACGAAAAGACGAACGGAUGAAGGGCGAAUAAAAAGGCAAAUCUUUUUAUAUUUUCCUGAAAGCAUUUUAGAAGUGGGGGAGAGGUAAACGAGAGGCAACUGGAAAAUAAUGAAAUAUAAGAGAUGAGAGUUUAUGGUGGGUACUUGGCAGGCUUGAUGUAGAUCUCCCCGGCAAGGGCGCCAGAAAUUCUUCCUGCUACUUACUGAGCUUGCGUUGGUUUUUCCCUUGAAGAGGAAAGGGUGAUGCAGCAAAGUAGAGAUAAGUAUUUCCCUCAGUUGAGAACCAAGGUAUCAAUCCAGUAGGAGAUAGAAGCAAGUCUCCAAUCUAUGCACCUGCACAAACAAUCAAACACUUGCACCCAACGCGAUAAAGAGGUUGUCAAUCCCUUCACGGUCACUUGCAAAGGUGAGAUCUGAUAGAGAUAGAUAUAAAAGAUUAAUAAACGUAUAACAAAAUAAAAGUAAAUAAAUUGCAGCAAGGUAUUUUUGUGUUUUUUCAUUUAUAGAUCUGAAAAUAUAUGAUGGAAAAUAUGCCCGGGGCCAUAGGUUUCACUAGAGGUUUCUCUCUUGAAGGAGAAUAAUACGGUGGGUGAACAAAUUACUGUCGAGCAAUUGAUAGAAAGCGCAAAUUUGUGACAAUAUCCAAGGCAAUGAUUAUGCAUAUAUGCAUCACGUCCGCGUCAAGUAGACUGACUCCUGCCUGCAUCUACUACUAUUACUCCAAACAUCGACCGCUAUCCAGCAUGCAUCUAGAGUACUAAGUUCACAAAGAACGGAGUAACGCCUUAAGUAAGAUGACAUGAUGUGGAGGGAUAAACUCAAGCAAUAUGAUGAAAACCCCAUCUUUUUACCCUUGAUGGCAACAAUACAAUACGUGUCUCGCUAGCCCUACUUUGUCACUGGGUAAAAUCACGCAAGAUUGAACCCAAAACUAAGCACCUCUCCCAUUGCAAGAAAUACCAAUCUAGUUGGCCAAACCAAACCGAUAAUUCGAAGAGAAAUACAACGGUAUCAAACCAUCCAUAUAAUAAUUUAGAGAAGAUUCAAAUAACAUUCAUAGAUAAUCUGAUCAUAAAUCCACAAUUCAUCAGAUCUCGACAAACACACCGCAAAAGAAGAUUACAUCAGAUAGAUCUCCAAGAACAUCGAGGAGAACAUUGUACUGAAGAUCAAAGAGAGAGAAGAAGCCAUCUAGCUACUAGCUAUGGACCCAUAGGUCUGUGGUAAACUACUCACGCUUCAUGGAAGGGCAAUAGAGUUGAUGUAGAAGCCCUCCGUGAUCGAAUCCCCCUCCGGCAGGACGCCGGAAAACGCCCCAAGAUGGGAUCUCAUGUGAACAGAAGGUUACGGUGGCGGAAAAGUAUUUUGGUGGACGCUUCUGGUUGUUUUGGAAUAUUUGAGGAUUUAUAGAGUUGAGAGGGAGGUCGGUGGACCCCCGAGGGCCCGCAAGCCAAGGGCGCCCUCCCUGGGUCGUGCCCUGGAGGCUUGUGGAGUCCUCGAGACUCUUCUGACUUAGCCUCCAAGUUCCGUGGAUGUCUUCUUUCCCAAGAAAAAUCAUCAUGAAAGUUUUAUUCCAUUUUGACUCUGUUUGAUAUUCCUUUUCUGUAAAACUCAAAAACAAGGAAAAGACAGAAACUGGCACUGGGCUCUAGGUUAAUUGGUUAGUCCUAAAAAUAAUAUAGAAUAGCAUAUUAAUGCAUAAACAUCCAAAACAGAUAAUAUAAUAGCAUGGAACAAUAAAAAAUUAUAGAUACAUUGGAGACGUAUCACUCAUUCUCAAUGAUCAUGUUAAGCAUGAUCACACAAGCGGUCAUGAUAUACCAAAGGGUUUUUUGAUCCCAGAAUCUAGAAGGUCAUCACACAAUAGAAAAUUGGGAUUGCAAAAUCUAGAAACCCUCUCAACAUCUUUCCUAGCUGCCUCUUAUGCAUUGUGAAAUAUGAGUUCUUUCUUACCUUGGGGUUUUUCAAUUGGCUUGACAAAAGUACUCUUCCUCGAGUAGAUCCCAUCGCAAGAUAGUACCCAUAGUUGUAUGUGUGGCCAUUUGCUCCGAAGGUCACUGGUGGUGCUUCUCCAUUUGCUAAGUUGGCAAAAAGAGGUGACCAGCCGAGCACAUUGAUGUCAUUGCAAGAUCCAGGCAUCCCAAUGAAAUGUCAAAAUCAUUUUUCUUGAUCGGCAACGGCCUCAAGAUUGAUAGUGGCAUCCUUCCCAUGACCCUUGAACUAUCCAUGCUAUGCUUUGGGGCAAUUCUUCCAUUUCCAAUGCAUGCAAUCGACGGAUCAUAGCAUACCUGAAAAACCAUGAGCUUUGUUCAUAUCUAAAAGCCUUUGAUUAUCCUGAGCAUUGGGUGCUCUCAAGUACUCUGCACCAAACACUUCUACCAUAGUCUUUGCAAAUUGUUUAACAUAGAAGAUCGAAGUGCUCUCUGCCAUCGCCAAGUUGUCAUUAAUGUUGAAAGAACAUGUGGUGCCCCCAUGUUUGGUUUUGGUAAUUGAUGACAAUCUCUAUGGACUAAUAGUUGCUUUGAGUUUUAUUUCAAGGAUUUUUCCAUAGGCAUUUCUUGAAAUUCAUGUGUUGGUUUCAAGGAGUUUAUGUGAUGACCAAGGUGGUAUUCAAGGAUUUAUCCAAAGAUUGAUCAUGUGAGUGUUGACCUUAUUGCAAGCAUCUCUUGAAGGAGAAGAUUGUGGGAACAUUCAUGUUUACCUUCAAGACAUCAUCUUUAUGAUGAGAGAAGAUAAGAUAUAAGGUUGAUCAAGACUAAAUACAAAGAGUGAUUCUAGUUGAUCAACACGCAAAGCAUAGAAGAGUACCAAGUGGGAUCAAGUGAUCCCAUGGUAUGGUAAGUAUUGUCCAUUAUGCUUUGUGUACUAACCAAUGGUCUUUGUGAGGUUUCCAUGUGGGGUUAGGUAUCUUUCCAUGGGCUUGCAUCAAGAUGAAGAUCCCAUACAACCCAUGGAGGAUGACAUCAAGUGGUGAUCGUCAUCAAGGUUGCGGUGUGCAAGUUCAAGUGAAGCAUCACGAAGAGCUCACAUGCUUGAAGCUUGCCAUCCAUUAUGGUGAUAAUGGACAUGUGAAGAUGUGCCGAAGAGAGGCUCACCCAUAGUGGAGUAUGGGGGAAUAAUCUACUAGUCUUCAUUGAGCAAGCACAAUCAAGAAAGGUGGUCCAUCUUGAGGAGGACAACAUCGUGUUCACGUAGCUCAAGUGGACUAUGUGCAAGGAAAAUGUUUGACCUUGAUAGUGUUUUCUAUUUUGCCGGUCCCAUGGUGGUAGUUGGGAGACUGGGUUAUAGGAUCGAUAGCCGUACUAUGAAGGGGGCUCUCAAGUGAGUAGCUUGAUCGUAUCGUUCGGUGAGAGCUCAAACCAUUGCAUUCUUGGCAUCAUCAUAUUUCUUGGUUCUUGUUUGGCUUUUCACUUUGUGAGUUUAGGAGCUUUUUGUCUUCGUCGUGAUAAGCUCAAGCUCAUAGAAAACGGAUUUCGUAUGCAUCAUAUUUGUGUUUUCGGUGUUGGAGAUUUUGCCGGAUAUUAGUUGGGAAGGUCAUCUUCCAUAUCCUAGUGGCAUUUAUUCUCCAUUGCUUGUUCUUAAUUUAUCCAAUCGUUGUUGGAUAGCUCUUGUCAUCCUCUAUCCGACAAGCUUGAGUUUGCUCAUUUCGGAGCUCGUAUGCCAAAGUUAUGGCUGUUUUGAUCUUACAUGUUUUACAUAGACAGGUUGUACCAGUUCUUACACCAGUUGUACUGGUUGACCGGUACUACCUGUGUUUGGGGUGGUUGUACUGCUCCAGACUUGGUCCGACGAUUGUACCGGCCCUGUACCGCUCUACCACCGGACUGGGAUCUGUUGUGGAGUGGUUCCUGGGCGGUUGUGGGCCGGUUGUACCGGUUAGUUCUAGUUUAACCGGUACUACCGGUGCCCCAGGCGGUUGUACCGCUUAGUGCUUUUUCGACAGGUAGGUUUUUUCUGCUUUUACCGGUUAUACCGGUACUUACACCAGUUGUACCGGUCCUAUAGUUUCUGCACAUAACGGGCAGAUUCAUGGGGACCUAUAAAAGGGGGUAUUCUUCCCGUUAGACCCUAUCCUUUGAGCUCGUGUUCUCCCCCAUUCUUGACCUUCUUCGAGCUUGCUAACUCUCAAUCCCUCCAAUGAUUCUUGCUCCUUUUUGAGGGAAAAGAGAGAGGACAUCUAGAUCCACAUUUCCACCAAUCACUUUCUUCUCUAUGUGUGGGGAACCCCUUGGAUCUAGAUCUUGGAGUUCUUGGUGUUCUCCUUCUUGUUCUUCCUCUCAUUUUCCUCCAUAGAUUUCGUUGUUUUGGUGGGAUUUGGGAGUGAGGGACUUGGGCACUCCGUGUGCCCUUGCUAUUGCAUUAGUAGCAUCGGUUUGAGUUCUCCACGGUGAUACGUAGAAGUGAAAAUUUGAGAAGCUUAUUACUCUUGGGUGCUUGGUACCCUAGAGCUUGUUCCUCUUGGGUGCUUGGGCGCCCUAGACAGUUGGUGGUGCUUCGAAGCUCAAUCAUUGUGGUGUAAAGCUUCGGGCAAGCGUUAGGGUCUCCAAUUAGGUUGUGGAGACUGCCCCGAGCAAUUUGUACGGGUUCCGGUGACAGCCCCAAGCACUACAAAAAAAGACACAUCCUUGACAUUUUGGGCCGAAUGAAUUUUUUUCUGUCAUGCUUAUGACACUUCUAUGACGAUAAUUGUGACAAAACCCGGUAUCAUCAUAGAUGUGGUGGGCUCCUACUUCUAUGACAAAAAAUCAUGACAAAAAAUGGGCUUUUCGUCUUGGGCGGGCCGGAGACGGAGCUGCAUGACAUUCUUUGGGUCGUCCAUGACGGAAAAAAACCGUGGUAGAAGCAUGGGCGAGGAAAAUAUCGGGGAGUUCCCGGUUGCGGUGGGUGGUCGGGGGCCGAGCGAUGCACAUUCUCGUACGUAGGCGCGUGUGUGCGAGGCGUUGCGCUCUAACUGAACCCGAGUGAGGCGUUGGGCUCUAACUGAACCCGAGCGAUUGCACUGCAGGCUACGCAUUGCUGAACCCGAGCGAUCGAUCGAUCCCUUGCUCCUAAAUGAAGCCGAUCGAUGCUGCCUCUGGAUGAACAGUGAGUGUUGUUGGGGGGGUUGGAUGAAUAGUUCCUGGUGGGGGGUAGGAUGAACAGGACCCCGUGGUAGUAGAGGCCGUUGUCGCUGGAUGAACAGGACCCCGAUCGAGCCGGUUGGGCGUGGAUGAACAGCACCCCGUGGAGGGCUGGUUCAACAGUAGCUGGUGGAGGGCUGGAUGAAUAGUAGCUCGUGGAGGGGUGGUUGAACAGGACCCCGUGGAGAGGGAUGGUUAAACAGUAUCCGGUGGAGGAGCGCGCGGUGGAGGCUGGAUGAACAGGAGCCCGUGGAUGAACAGUCGCAGGUGGAGGCUGGAGGAGGUCGACGGUGGAAGAACAGUAGCCCGUGGUGGCUGGAGGCAGUCGACGGUGGAGAUGAACAGUAUCCCGUGGAGUCCCGUUUUGCGGUACGCAACACCCCUCCAGAUGAACAGGACCCCUGUUUCGACCGUAGCGCUCCAACACAAGUCUGUUUCCUCCUUUUUGCGGUACGCCACACCCCUCCCAAUCAACAGGACCCCGUUUCGACCAUGAGAAGUCUGUUUCCUCCGUUUUGCAGUACGCCAGACCCCUCCCGAUGAACAGCAUCCCGUUUCGACCGUGGCCGGUCGAACACGUUUCCUCCGUUCUGCGGUACGCUAGGCCUCAUUUCCAUCGGCUGUUCCGUCCAAGCCGGUUGGCUCCCGAUGAACAACACGCGUUUCGUUGCCUCCCGAUGAACACGAUGCAUUCCGUUGCCUCCCCAUGAACACGACGCCGACGCAGUUUCUCCGUUCCGAACCAGCCAUGUACACGAGCCCUGGCCGUACGUAUGUGUGAGUAGGCGUUCGAGACCCCACCCGUAUGUAUGCACGUGGCCGUAUUUUCUUUCUUCCACCCUGGCCGCUGUACGUACAUGUACAUGCUACAUGCACACCUCUACUACGACACGUGCGUGCCUCUACAUCGACCGGUAUGUACGUACACGUUCGUGACCAGAAUGACAACGCUAAGUACGCUUCAACCAGGUGGGUCCCGACUGUCAGGCACUUCCUUGCGUUGCGAAGAUGGCUAGUGGGCCCCAGCAGUCAGUGGGGAAACGCUUUUUCCACGAAAUAUGGUGGCCCGUCUGGUGGGUCCCUGCUGUCAGGUGGAGGAAUCAUUAUUUUCCACGUAAUAAGGAGGCACUUCCUUGCUGCGGUUGUGGACCCAGUUGUCAGCCUCUCCACAUACAGUACCCUUCCGAUUGAAGUCGUUCCUUAACCACGUUGACCACGCCGCGCCGAGAGCACCAGGGCGAUGGACGACGGCGAGGCCUAGGAAGGGGACGACGCAGAGCCGGGGAAGACGCGGCAGUGGAUGCCCAUGCGGAGGGGAGUACGUGGGUUGACUGCUUCGACUGCGGUGUGAGGCUGUCGUCGCCGGAGAAUAACAGGAGGUGUGGGUGAGUACAGAGGGAUGGCAUGGCUAGCGGUGGCAGCACAGUCGGAUACGGGAGGCAGGAGCAGGCGGCACGGCCGACGCUUGUUUGGGCGGCUGGAGCAAGAAGACCAGAGGUUAAAGAAGCACUACGGUCGUUGGAUGGACAUCAUACGGUCACAGGAGCUAGAAUCGUUCAUAUUGACUAAGUUGACAAAGCCCUCCGACCCCAUCAUCUUAGUAGCCCCACAAGUCAGCCUCCCACUAUGGUGGGUCCCAGCUAGCAGGUGGAGUAUUCAUUUUUUUGUGCGUAAUAACGAGGCACUUCCUUGCAUGCGAAGAUAUAGCUGGUGGGUCCGACCUGUCAGCGGGGGAACAUUUUUUUCCGAAAUACAGAGGCCCUUCCGGUGGGUCCCAGUUGUCAGGUGGAGGAAUCAUUAUUUUGCACGUAACAAGGAGGCAUUUCCUUGCGUGCGGCCGUGGACCCAGCUGUCAACCUCUCCACAUACAGUCCACUUCAGAUGCAUGUCGUUCGUUGACCACGCCGCGCCGAGAGCACCAGGGCGGUGGACGACGGCAAGGCCUAGGAAGGGAACGACACGGAGCCAGGGAAGACUUGGCAGUUGUUUCCCACGCGGAGGGGAGCACGAGGGUUUACUGGUUUGUCUCCCGUCUUCGGAGAAUAACAGCAGGUGUCGGUGAGUAGAGGGAUGGCUAGGCCUGCGAUGGGAGUACGAUGGGGCGGUGAGGCCUGCGCGGCAGCACAGCUGGCCGCGGGAGGAGGGAGCAGGCAGUCUCGCCGGCGCUUGUUUGAGCGGCUGGAGCAGGAAGAGAAGAGAUUGAAGAAGCACGAUGGCCGUUAGAUGGACAUCCAACAGUCACUGCUUGUGCGUCAACCUUUUUUUAGGAAAGCCUUAAAUCUAUGGAAAACAGCAUACGGCACAUCUGCCAUUAUUUCUAAUAAUUUACAGCCCAUUUGCUAAUUCUUAAGGUUUUUUUUGAAUCCCAUAUUCUUUUUGUGAGCAUUCCAACCCAUAUUGUGGCCACGGUUAAAAAAUUAUACGAAAUUUUGCAUAUUUCAGUGCGGUCCGAACUGUUUUUAAUCCCAAAAUUUCGAGUCACAUUCAAACUGAUUUAAAAAAUAAAUGUAGAUCAAUAUAAAAUCCAACAAAUUGUCCGCGCAUAAAAAGCAAUGCAAUUUAAAAUCUCGAAAUGAAAAAAAAGAAAUUUGAAACUAAUUGCCGGUUUGAUGUGUUUUAAAAAUGUACAACCAAUUUCACAUGACUGAAAGGACAUUUUCUCGGCCAGCUGAAUGAAGCUCUACUCGUCUUGAAAAUAUUUGCAGCCCAACAGGCCUGACAAAGCGACUUACUUGACAAACCACAAAAAAAGCUGGGCUAGCCAUUUUCAGAAAGAAAAAAAACUACUGGGCUGGUCUGUGGUACACAUAAAAGAAAAGGCUGUCUAGACAGGCUAGAGUGCCCCGCACAGCCCAGUUGACACCCUGCUUCCGUCUCAAAAACAAAUUAGAUAAAAAUGCCACUCCAAUUAUGGUGAUUCAUAAAAAUGCCACUGCAAUUUCCAAACUUUGAAAAAUGCCACUGCAAUUUUUGCAAACUUUGAAAAAUGCCACUGUAAUUUUUGCAAACUUUCAAAAAUGCCACUCCAGACUUCGAAAAAUGCCACUGGAAAGGGCAUGAAAUGGCAUUUUUUAAAGUUUGGAAAUUGCAGUGGCAUUUCUCGGAAUCACCAGAUUUGGAGUGGCAUUUAUCAAAUUAACCCAAAACAAAAAUAACUGGACAAGCUGCUGGGUCCCUGGUGUCAGCCGCUCGUUUUGCAAUUCUCUCGUUUAUUGACUACGUUGAUAAUGGCAUGGGACCCAGAUGUCAGAAAUCCAUUAGGAGGAGCCAUUUUCUAUUGGCUUGAAAUAAGGAGGCACUUGCUUGCGUACUACCAUGACCUUGGUGGGUCCCUGCUGUCAUCCUCUCCACGUACAAUCAUCUAUUGAUUGUGUACGCGUCAACCUGGCAGGCCCACAAGUCAGCCUCUAAACCCGUGGCGGACUAAUACAACCCAUUUUAAAAAAUAACAACCCAUUCCAUACGUUCAAACGGAAAGUUCAACAUUCAGAGCAAAGCAACAGGUUUGAUUAUGAUAUAGAGUACUGAACUUCCACGUUGACAACCAUGAUAGCCAAGUUAACUAUCUACUCCGAGUAAUACUCUAGUAGUGUACAAGUACUAACUUACUCUUAGCUAACUAGACGAUGCCGGCCGCCAUCUGCGGUACACGCUAAACGCCAGCACCGUCGUCCUCCGCCUCGCCUCGGACUUGCCAGAGGUGCGAUAGGGCACGUUGCUCGCGCGCGUUCGCCAUUUCCAUGCCGGCGUGGUCCACCGAAGCUUCGGCUUCCAAGCGGGAAACCCACUUGACGAGAUGGUAGUAAAAUUCAGCGUCGCGAACGCGUGCGUUCCCGACAGCCUCCAGGACUAUUUGCCGGGCACCGACCUCCAUGUAGUCGGCCCAGUUGCGGGCGCUCUGCUCGCGACAGAGAGUGUCCGUGCGCUACUGCUCCAUGUCCCGCUGGCAGUGCAAAUCAGCGAUACGUUGUUCCUCCGCCAGGCAAUCGCGCUCCACAAAUCCUCAUACUCCGCAUUUCCAUCUAAAGACCGAUAGAAUGCCUCCUCCCCCCGUCUGCCUUCCUGUGAAAAACCAAACACUAGUUCCAGCGGUGACCGCCUCCGACGUCGCCUAUCGCGGAUGGGUGGGGGCAUGGUGGACGUGGCGAGAGCGAGGAUAAGUGGCGUGUGACGUCGGGCCGGUGGGGGCUUAUGAGGACAGGGGAGUUGGGUGAUGGUGCCACCAGAGAAGGACGGGAAACAGUAAUUAUAGGCGGAAGGUAGGCGAACCAGCGUGUCGCGGGAAACACGAUGGUCAUCGUGGUCAUCGGAAUUCAAUGCAUAAGCAGGCAUGGCUUAGCGCACUAGCUUGCCGUGGAAAACUAGAAAAACUGAAAUUAUGACUGUGCCAUCCCGUCCUGUCAGUGGUGCAUCCCGUCCGUGCUGGGUCGCAUGCCGGCAUGACGGUCAAACGAGGGCACUCGGAUCAUUCAGAUGAGGUACUCCCUCCUUGUCAAAAAUGAUUCCACCACUGAUCAUCUACCUUGGUUAGUGAGAUUUUUGAAUUAAGCCUUUCAAGCUGGAAAGGAGGUAGUACGUGUGUGUUCCGCUAUUUAUUCGUGUAGGAUCGAGUAGGUCAUUUUUUGAAUUGAGCCCUACAAACCGGAAAGGAGGUAGUACGUGUGUGAUCCGCUAUUUAUCCGUGUUGGAUCGAGUAGGUAGGAUAGUGUAUGUGUAGGAUCGAGUAGGUCAGAUCGUGUACGUGUAGGAUCGCAUUAGCUGAUGAAUGUUUGCUGGGAGAUAAGGCAUUUGCGAAUGUUUUUGCUGGCAGUUUCUUCAAAUUCGCAUGGCAUUUUCUUCAGAGCAGCUUGUCAGUUUUUCAGAGGUAGGCAUUUUUAUUCAAAAAACUGCCACUUCGGAUCUUGCAUCGCAACUAAAACUGCCAGGAGCACAUUAGUAGGCUAGCUAGUGAUCGAUCAGUAACUUGUAAACACUGAGCGAACAGAAAUAAGGAACUGUUACUAACUUGUAAACAUUGAGAACACACAAAUAAGGAUCAUGCUGUGCACAGCCGUAAGAGCCGAUCCGUUCGAAAUGUUCACACGAGACUCAAAGGCCUGGCAUUGUAAUAUGUUCACAUUAGUAGCCCAAAUUCAAAACCAACUAGUAUGAUUCUCAUACAUAAGAUCAACAUGUUAAUGCACCUCAAUGAUUCACAAAUCAUAUACAAAUAUGUAGUUCCAAAAGCAAAGAUCUAGAAAAAACAUCUGUUCUUCCUACUAACAUGGAUGAUUCUCUUGGCCAACAUUUAGUACAGAGUGAAAGACAAAUUUGUUUGUGAAGUCUACAAUUCCUCUUGCAAACGUAAGUGGUUUCACCAAUAGCUGGAACCAUGAGAAUGAACCACACAUGAUGGAGGAACAUCCACUGCAAUAUGAUUUGGUCUUCUCUUGAUCACACGGCGAGACUAUUUUCGGAAUACAAACUUUAACUUAGGAAAAAUGAUGCCCAUUGUAUAAUCAGACCAGAGCAAUGAAGCACCUAGUGUUGGCCAAUAAAUAGUACAGUACUACUUUUCUGCAAUCCAUGAAGUGACUAUCCAAUCUUUCUGUGUCUAUUUUCAAAUGGCACUGCAUGUAGUGACUAUACUAUUCUCUUGUGCAGUUCAACCAAAAUUUAGGUCACUUUGUUUGUUUGCCAAUAACAACGGGCAGACAUCUCUUUCUGCACAAAUAUCAAGCAGCUAGUAAACAUAUACCCCACCUUGUAUUUUCGGUUUAAACACGUCUGUUCCGCUUAGCAUCUAUCAUGUUUUGCACUGGACAAUUUGAUACAGUCAUGUUUUGCCCUGGACAAUUUCAUACUAAAUUGAUUUGCUGGUUCAGCGCAGAAAUAUAGCUCCUAUUCUUCAUCAGACCAAGGAUAUCCAUGUUCGCAGUGAUGGAAGAGGUGAAAUCGAUACAACCGAAAUUGAGCAUCCAAUCAUUGAAUCUUGUCCUGCACCUCCAAUGUAGGUCCACCCUACCAAUAAAUUCACAUGCAAACCACUAGUAUCACUAUCUAAUGAUAGUACAAAAAGAGUAGCAAGAUAGUGGCAAACCAUGUACCUUCGUAAUGAACAUCUCAUAGUGCCACCAAUUGGAUAUAAAGGUUUGGAAGAAAACAUGCUCCUAAUGUUGAACCAUUUGGACUUUUUGUGCAGUUCCACUAAGAUCGAGCAUCCAUGUUUGCAUAGAUAUUGAAAGUGUGAUUACUACAAAGUGGCACUAGUUGAAGCAUAGAAUCAAAUAUAAGCAUUCCAAUUUCUUAAUGGGAAAAGGUAGCAAGACUGUUUCUAACCACCUGUUUGAAGGAAUAAAUAAGGCAACAGCGGAUGAUGUCUGGAAGGCAUACAUAGUUUUUUUCUUGAAAAAUUGAGCCAUUCCUGACCUUUCCUCUUCUUUUAAGCAUAUUUUGUGCAGUUCAACUAAAAUAAAAUGUCAUCACCGCCUUGAGAAUUCAGUGACACUAUACAAAAGGAAAUGACUUAGCAUUACUUCAUGAUGUCAGGUAUGUAGUCGACAGGCAUUAGAGACAAACAUACAGACCUCCUCCGAUAACAUAAUGAACAUUAAUUUUAACAAAGGUGUGACUAGCUUUACCGGGAUAAGAGCAUCUCCAAUAGCAAGUGUAUAUUUGGAUGUCUAUAUAUUUAUAUAGACAAUGGUCUAAAAAGAUUCCCUUAUAUACACGUCCAGUUUUGGAUCAGAACGUCUAUAUACAGGGACCAUGACAGGUGGGCCGUCGUUGGGGAGAGGAAGAAAUCAUGACUGCAGCUGAGUUUAGACAACGCCUUCACAAUGUCCCGGCGUGGACAUUGUCGAGGUCGAUUUGGAGGAUGUGUAUAUUUGGAAGACCAUAUAGACAAGCUGUUGGACGCCUGUUUUGGGCUCACGUCAUGGAAAACGAGUAUAGACAUCCAUAUAGACAAGCUAUUGGAGAUGCUCUAAUUUGAGUGAACUCUACACCCUUUGUUCCUUAAUAUAAGACGUUUUCGCAGUUCAAUUUAAAGUACCCAAACGUCUAGUAUUUAGAAAAACAGGUAGUAGUUUUCUUGAGCACAUAUCUGGGAAAGCUUGCCACACUUUAUAUAUGUCCAUACGUUAAUGCAACACCAUUCGAAUAGUACAAAUAUACUAAUCCAGUGGCUACUGCAAUAGUAGAGUAGUUAUUUUAUUACAGGGUACAGUAAAAUGGUUUUACUAAAGAAAUUUCCAUAAGCUCUAGCACUGGAAGAUUUCUAUAAGAAUUAAAAAUACAAAAUGUAAAGGUAACAAGUUUCAGCAUUGGUUUACACUGGUACAACGACGUGCUAAACAAACGGUUUUUAACCCUUUCCUCGACGGCAUUUGGAACCGCCGCCAAGUGAGUGUGGGCGAUAGGGGGGUCCUUCCCACAUGACCCAGAAAUCGUCGGGGAUAGGCCCUCCUGGGACCCAGGCUGGGGCCGUCUGCGAUCGGGCGAGGCAUCAAAACCCAAUCAUUUCCGUAGGUAUGUACAUCCCACAUGGUGAAUCCCAGAAAAUCAUUUCCGUAGGUAUGUACAUCCCACACGGUGAAUCCUAGAAAAUCAUUUCCGUAGGUACGUACAUCCCACAUGGUGAAUCGUAGAAAAACAUUUACGUAGGUAUGUAUAUCACACACAGUUCUUUAUGUGGAAACAUUUGUGCAAGGUGGCCUAACGCAAACAGUUCGCUGUCGGAAGCCGUGUGUGAUUGUUAGUUGAUCGAACACGCCUACUUUCUAGAAACCAUGCAGGUUGUUUGAGUUCACCGCCCACGGUGCUGUCUGAGUAACCAUCUGCAAUAGAAAACCCCAAUAAGCAAGGGUAAUUAGCCUAUUAUUGAUAAUCCAUGUACUAAUCAAACUGAUAUUUCUUAUAAAACACGUCAGAUAUUUCAUAUCCAUAUAAAAGCAACUAGGAUUUCAUAAUCGAAUUACAUCAGAUAGCUUCAGCACUCAGUUACACCAUUACACAACAGCACCAAGUUUCACAUGCAGCAUGAAAAACCUUUGGAAAGUAGCAUCAUACACGGUGAAUAGAUAGAUGAAUCUCAUCUGGGAAACUGUAGAAGCGGAAGGCAAAUAUUGAGCCUUCAGUGAUGCUGAAUGUCCUUGCAACUUUAGGCCAGUGGCUAUGGAUAAUUGCCUGCCCAACCUUCGUCCUCUUCAGCAAGACUUCAAUAUUGUAGCGUGGGUGUUGAAUGAAUACCUUCCUCGCCUCUUGACCAUGCAGGUGGUUCGAGAGGUAAUCAUCGGUGAACUGCUUUGAAAAGUACUGAAAACAAAGCUAUGCAUAAAACGUUGUUGUAAAUUUUGAAAUGGCGCAAGGGGUAAAAACAAGGUAAAAGAGUUGGUACCAUCCUAUAGUUGACUGAUGUCUUCUUCACUAUGCAAACAAAGAUCUUGCUGUUAUUCGUCACAAGUUUCUUCAUCCUAACAAUCUUUCUGAGUUUCUUGACUUGACUGAUAUUCAUGGACAUCUCAUUUCCCCAUAUGCAAAAUGGGUCGAAUAGUGGGUCUAAUUAAGCCUCUGACAGCAGGACCUACAUGUGCAAGACCAAAUUAUAAGAAACCUAAAUAUUAGAAUGAUUCCUGCAACUGCACAAUAAUGUGCUAUUAGCCAAAGGACCCUGCUUGAACAAACCUCGAUGGUAAACCGCAGUGUGUCCCAUUGUUUCCCUGCAACACACAUAAGGAAGAUCUGAUCAGGUUAACUGAGAGUUGCCAUAAUAUCAGUAGAAUAUGUAUUGAGUACAGCCAAAUUCGAUUGGUGUCACAUGCAUAACAAUACAAAAUUGUACCCACAACAAAUGAAAAUCAAAUUGCAGAACUGGACCAAACAGUUAAAUGGACAACAGACCAAAUGAACCAAAAUAGUUAACUGAGCACGACAUUGCAGAAUAGAAACAUGUUCUAGAAGAUAAGACAGUUAACAAAACAAAGAAAGCUUGAGAACAGUACUACGAAAUGUGGCAAUUGUUGGACCAAAGUGUUAACUGAAAAUGACAUUUCAGAGGACCAAACUGUUAACUGAACAUUAGAUUGCAUAUUAACAUUACAGAGGACAAAUCACUAGAAGGCACUGGCGGUGGCCUCGAGAAAACAUCACGAACUGUAUUUUAAAGUAGACAACUGCGUGGCUGUGUCGACGGUGGCCUCAAAGACGUGGUGCUCCUCCAAGAUCUAGCGGUCGACACGCAUGGCAGCCAUAGCGACCUCGUUCGCGCGUGCGGCCGCAUGCUACUGAGCUCCACAUUGUACUGCGUGCAAAAUGGCUGUGGGCGGUGCUUAAUUGGAGGAGGAGGGCAGUGAUUUCGGUGGAUGGUGUAGCUCCGUCGGUCGGGGCAUGUGGGACGGGAAAGGAGGUGGAUGGUGUGGGUGGGGCGUGGAUUACCUGACCAUGUCAAUGAGGCCGCACAGCAAGAAGAAGGGUUGGCGGCAAGGAGGUCCCGCAGCAAGAAGAAGGGUCGCCGGCGAUGAGGCAGCGCUGCAAGAAGAAGGGUCGCCGGCGAGGAGGCGGCGCUGCAAGAAGAAGGGUAGCCGGUGAGGAGGCGGCGCUGCAAGAAGAACGGUCGCCGGCGAGGAGGCUGAGCUGCCAGUAAGCAGCAGUGAAGGUUUGAACUUGGAAAGCAAGGAGGAGCAGUGGAAAUGUGGCUUUUGGUAGGAGGGAGGGGCGGGGAGAUAGAUAUUUCCGCGGUGGCAAAAAAAUUUCGCUCGGUGCCGCGAGAAACUGGCGCGCAAGUGUGGUUCAAGCGGGGGAGGUGGACUGUAGACGAGGAAGCUUCCUGCCUAAGCCAGACAAGACGGUGCGUUAAGAUAUUUUAUAUCACAUCCCACACGAUUACUUCUAGUAAACUGUUUGUGGUAUACCUGAUUUUUGAUUAUGUUUUGAAAGACAAAAUGGUGUUACGGAGGGAAAGGAUGGUGUUUGAAUUGCUAGAACAUGAGUGUCGUGUUUAAAUUUGGAAUUAUUCUGGGUUCGUUUGGCAUUUUUAUGCAUUAAUUGAGUUUUUGGGCAUUUAAUGUGCAUAAUUCAAAUUUGAACUACAAGCACAUGCUCCAAUACACCAAAGUUUGAUGAAAAAUCACAUGUGUGUCUUUGGGUGAAUUUAUAGGUCCCAUGGAAGAUAUAUGAAUGAUUCAAACAUCUGGGCGUCGUGGCUCGGCUGGAAUGAUUGAGAAACAUUGUUUCUUAAUUCCCAUAAAUCCAAAACACGGCUGAAAAUCAUGAAACUUGGCAUGGUGUCAUGACAUGGCACCAAGAUGCUGCAGUAAAUUUUUUGAACGAAUUGGGACAAGCUUUGGUGUAAGCUUCUUGCAAACCGGAGCUUCCCUCAAGAAGGCUCUUGGCUCCGAGAGGGAACGUGUCACCUCCGUGUGCGAAACGACAUAUGUACACUUCCUUCUCCCGCCUUAAUUUUUGUACACUAGCAGAUUAGACCAAAUAGAAGUAUCGUGCUAAAUUUUGGAAUUAUUCCGGGUUCGUUUGGCCUUUUUUAUACAUUAAUUGAGUUUCUGGGCAUUUAAUGUGCAUAAUUCAAAUUUGAACUACAAGCACAUGCUUCAGUGCACCAAAGUUGGUUGAAAAUCACAUGUGUGUCUUUGGGUGAAUUUAUAGGUCCCAUGCAAGAAAUGGGAAUGAAAUUCAAACAUCUGGGCGUCGUGGCUAGGCCGGAAAGAUUGAGAAACUUGGUUUUUUAAUUCCUGUAAGUCCAAAACAUGCCUGAAAAUCAUGAAACUUGGCAUGGUGUCAUGACAUGGCACCUACAUGCUGCGGUAAUUUUUUUGGCCGAAUUGGGACAAGCUUUGGUGUAAGGUUCUUGCAAACCGGGGCUUCCCUCAAGAAGGCUCGUGGUUCCGAGAGGGAACGUGUCAUCUCCGCGUGCGAAACGACAUACGCACACUGCCUUCUCCCGCCUUAAUUUUUCUACACUGGCAGAUUAGACCAAAUAGAAGUAUCGUGCUAAAUUUUGGAAUUAUGCCGGGUUCGUUUGGCUUGUUUUAUACAUUAAUUGAGUUUUUGGGCAUUUAAUGUACAUAAUUCAAAUUUGAACUACAAGCACAUGCUAUGCUUCCCUGCCGUGGCUAUCACAACAUGGGUCAUGAAAUAGGCUGCUUCAGCCUGGAUGAUUAGUCAUGCAUUGGUCUCGAGAUUGACAGUAGCUGGCCCUUCCGAGAGAAACUCUUCUGGUUCAAAGCAAGCGUUUCCAACGCCGAGGAAUGGUUGAGCUGAAGUUCAUUUCAUUGCUUGUUAUUUGUUGCGUGAUGAAAACUUUAGUAUUUACUAGAAUGUUGUGUUGGAACUAAUCUAUAAUCCAACAUGUAUCCUCGUUGUCGUUGUGUGUUGAUGACUUGUUGUAUGUAAUGAGUGGUACAUUUGCAUAUGCAUGUCAUAAACUCAAUUUAUAAAUGGCUUUCGACUCACUUCUUGGAGUGUUAGUGCCGUAGUAGUAUAGCCAGCAUCCGUAGUAGUAUGAAGUUUCCACAUCACAUAGAGCCAACCAAUAGUUAGUUCUAGUUAGAUCAACUAGAGCUAGGUGUCACACGGAGGCCGAGAAAUAUGGUGAUAGCGUGACUGUGUGAGGUGGGCUUGUACAUAGUAUGAUGUAGGCACAAGGCUUGCCGUGUUUCCUACUCCUCCGGUCUAAAUGUGGAGAAGAUUUGGUUGAGUUCUUCCUCCUUUUGCCGACACAUGGGACAUCCAGUAUCCAGGUCGUGUCAUGCAAGAAAAUGGAGUGGUAGUUGAAGCCACGUGAUGUGCAUCUUGGGUUAAACUGUAAAUAGAAUCUUACUACUCUUGAGUAACUCCAAAAGUGGCCAUCGAAGAUCUUUAUUGGAUUUUUUCAUCACCAACACGUCGAGGUGAAAGAUGUGCAGGUUUAGUGGGUCCUCUUUCGUUUUCACUGACAUGUGGGACUGCAUGUGAGCGAACGGACGAUGGGCUCCGCACGUCUGCUGGCUGGAUGAGAAGAGAGAUAGAGGAGGGCUGAGCACGGACUCCAGGAAAUUUGUUCUACGUAACCAGCACCUCGAUAUAGGCUCCAUAUAGUAGGGUGGCAUGGGCCAUAAGUAGCAUUCACGUCUAACAGUACGGCACACGCCACCCACACGAGUCCCAUCCGACACCAAUUUCGUGCUGUGCUACAGCCAUCUCUUCUCCCUCCUGUUUUGUCAGCCAUCACGCGGUGGGUGGGGUGAGGGUUUGUCGAUAGUCGGUUUGGUCAACUGCGGUCCCACUUGUAAGUGAAAAUGCAACACAUCACGCAUUCCCCCUUGAGCGGCGUGCCGGACCAACCGUGUGGGGGUGCGACGCGAACACGGCAGGCUUUUCCUUUUGAACUUGUAACUUGUAAAAUUUGGUUCUGCUCCAUGGCGCGACCGAUAGAUAGAAAUAAUGAUUUUCCCUAGAGUAAUGAGAGGUUUGGUUCUGUCGCGGUUCAUGCAUGGAGUACGUAUGAAAAUUAUGAAUUUGAUGUGAAAGGUAAGACAAUUACUAGUAGUACCAUAUACUACUACAUGGAUUUGACGGAAAGAUAAAGAUACAUACGGAUCCAUCAACGACAUCCUCACGCCCUAGUGCGCCGGGUCACCAACCGACAUGUGAGGAGCAGCGGCGUUGGCGGCGAGCUCAACAUGCUUCUGAACAAUGCCGUCCAAGGUUGCCCUGCGUGUCAAGAAGGCCAGCGACCUAUCGUCCUCCUCUGGUACGUAGUAGUCCUUGUGGACGAUUUGCGCGUAGACAUGGGUGAUUAUGUCGACUGUGUCUUGCUGCGCCAGGCAGUCGUAGGGCCACCAGUGCGUGCAAGAGGUUGUCACCAUAGAGGCUGUUGAGGGUGGCGGGUGAUACGUCUCCAACGUAUCUAUAAUUUUUGGUUGUUCCAUGCUAUUAUAUUAUCUGUUUUGGAUGUUUAUGGGCUUUAUUAAACACUUUUAUAUCACUUUUGGGACUAACCUAUUAACCCAGAGCCCAGUGCCAGUUCCUGUGUUUUCCCUUGUUUCAGUGUUUCGAAGAAAAGGAAUAUCAAACGGAGUCGAAACGGAAUGAAACCUUCUGGAGAUGUUAUUUUUGGAAGGAAAGCAACCUGAUAGACUUGGAGUGCACGUCAGGAAAGAAACGAGGGAGCCACAAGGUAGGGGGGCGCACCCACCCCCCUAGGGCGCGCCCUCCACCCUCGUGGGCCCCUCGUGGCUCCUCUGACGUAUUUCCCUAUAUAUAUCCAUAUACCCUAAAACGAUCGGGAAACAGCAUAGAUCGGGAGUUCCGCCGCCGCAAGCCUCUGUAGCCACCAAAAACCAAUCGGGACCCUGUUCCGGCACCCUGCCGGAGGGGGGACCCUCACCAGUGGCCAUCUUCAUCAUCCCGGCACUCUCCAUGACGAGGAGGGAGUAGUUCACCCUCGGGGCUGAGGGUAUGUAUCAGUAGCUAUGUGUUUGAUCUCUCUCUCUCUCUCUCUCGUGUUCUUGAUUUGGCACGAUCUUGAUGUAUCGCGAGCUUUGCUAUUAUAGUUGGAUCUUAUGUUGCUUCUCCCCCUCUACUCUCUUGUAAUGGAUUGAGUUUUCCCCUUUGAAGUAAUCUUAUCGGAUUGAGUCUUUAAUGAUUUGAGAACACUUGAUGUAUGUCUUGCCGUGCGUAUCUGUGGUGACAAUGGGAUAUCACGUGAUUCACUUGAUGUAUGUUUUGGUGAUCAACUUGCGGGUUCCGCCCAUGAACUUAUGCAUAGGGGUUGGCACACGUUUUCGUCGUGAUUCUCCGGUAGAAACUUUGGGGCACUCUUUGAGGUUCUAUGUGUUGGUUGAAUAGAUGAAUCUCUGAUUGUGUGACGCAUAUCGUAUAAUCAUACCCAUGGAUACUUGAGGUGACAUUGGAGUAUCUAGGUGACAUUAGGGUUUUGGUUGAUUUGUGUCUUAAGGUGUUAUUAUAGUACGAACUCUAGGGCUGUUUGUGACACUUAUAGGAAUAACCCAACGGAUUGAUUGGAAAGAAUAACUUUGAGGUGGUUUCGUACCCUACCAUGAUCUCUUUGUUUGUUCUCCACUAUUAGUGACUUUGGAGUGACUCUUUGUUGCAUGUUGAGGGAUAGCUAUGUGAUCCAAUUAUGUUAUUAUUGUUGGGAGAACUUGCACUAGUGAAAGUAUGAACCCUAGGCCUUGUUUCCUAGCAUUGCAAUACCAUUUACGCUCACUUUUACCACUUGUUACCUUGCUGUUUUUAUAUUUUCAGAUUAUAAAAACCUAUAUCUACCAUCCAUAUUGCACUUGUACCACCAUCUCUUCGCCGAACUAGUGCACCUAUACAAUUUACCAUUGUAUUGGGUGUGUUGGGGACACAAGAGACUCUUUGUUAUUUGGUUGCAGGGUUGCUUGAGAGAGACCAUCUUCAUCCCACGCCUCCCACGGAUUGAUAAACCUUAGGUCAUCCACUUGAGGGAAAUUUGCUACUGUCCUACAAACCUCUGUACUUGGAAGCCCAACAACAUCUACAAGAAGAAGGUUGUGUAGUAGAUAUCAAGUUUCUGGCGCCGUUGCCGGGGAGGUGAGUGCUUGAAGGUAUAUCUUGAGAUCUUGCAAUCGAAUCUUUUUGUUUCGUGUUUUAGCACUAGUUUAGUUUAUAAAAGAAAACUACAAAAAAAUGGAAUUGAGUUUGUCUCAUACGCUUCGUCUUUUUAAUAUCUUUCGUGAGUAUGAUGGAAAGGAAAAUUGUGCCAAAGUGUUAGAAUAAGAAUGCAUUAAAAUGUUUGGCACUAAAUCUUUGAAUGAUGAGCAUGAUUGCAAUGUUGUUAGUAUGAACUCCUUGAAUAUCCAUAGUACUAAUGGUGAUUGCACUAGUUAUGAUGAAAAUGUCUCCUAUAAACAUGUCAAUUUUUGUGGAGUGCAUUGGGUUUGCAAGUACACACCAAAUAGGGAAGAUAGAUAUUGCAAGAGGCACAAGUACUUAGAAACUAAAUUGUUGCAAGAAAGGUUAGAUGUUUGUGCUGAAAGAUUCAAUAUUUAUUGCCAUCCUUGUGAACUUUGCAAUGAACAUGGUCAUUUGAAGCUCCAAUGCUAUUUGUUUCAUGAUCAAGUCGUGUCCAAAAUGUGUGAUAACUUGAUUACCCUUGAGCAUCAUAAAGAGCUUAGUCUUCUCUUAGGUUGUGAAGAAAUGAAACGUAUAACUGAGGGUAUUCCAAAAUUUAAUCUCGAUAAAUUUCUUGAUUUUGAUCUAGAGGAAAUUUAUAUUUAUUGUGCAGUGAAUUGCAUUGAAAACCCUUAUAUUGCCAAUUACAUAAAGAAAAGAAAACAAAUAGAAGAUGAAGAGAAUACUAAUGAAAGGGAAGAGACUUCCCAAUAUCCUCCUAUUAUUUCUUAUGAUGAAUCAGGUAACGAGGAGGAGCCUUCUAUUCAACCAAUCUCAUUAAUAAGGAGCUCCAAAAACAGGAUUGAACCCACACAUGAUGUGGUUAAGAAGAAAAGAAAAAGGAAGAGAGGUAAAAAGGUAUCCCUCCCAAAUAAUGUUGCUCCUAUUAUUGUUGUGCCUCAUGAAAAUGAAUCAAAAAUAAUUGUGGAAGAUGAUGCACUUGAUGAUGAUCUCGUUAUGCCUAUUGCUUAUUGUGAUGAUUAUGAUUGGGAAGAUAAUGAUACUCCUUAUGAUCUUGAAAAUCUUUUUGGCACUUGCUUGGAUGAAUAUGAUAGUUGCUAUACUAUUGGUGUUGUCCAUACUAUUAAUAAUGAGAGUGAUUAUGCUUAUGAUAUGAAAAGGCCCAAGCUUGGGGAUGCUAUGUUUGAUGAAGACGAUGUUUUCGAGAAUAUAUUUGCUGCAAUUAAUGUUUUUCGCAAGCUUGGGGAUGCUACGUUUAAUGAAGAUGAUAUUUUUAGCCCCCCAAGUUUUGAUAUGCAAAGUUGCUACGAUGAUAGCGUGCCUUCAACCUAUGAUGAUUAUAUUGAUGAAAGUGGGUUUGGAAGAGUGUCAACUUUAGGAAGUAAUGAUCCCACUAUUUUGGAGGAUGUUGAAUCUUAUAAUAAUUAUGAAAAUGUAUUUGGAGAGGUCAUGACUUUAUUUAGUAAUGAUUCCACUAUCUUGGAAGAGGUUUCAAUCGAUUAUGAUGAGAACAAAGUUGCUACUUAUGAUGAUUAUUGUGAUGAUACAUAUGCUAUAAAAAGUAGUGAUGAUUAUAUUUAUAAAACUUGUCAUGAUUAUGAUUCCCCUUUUUCUGAACAUUACUCUUUUAAUGUGGAAACAAUUUAUAGUAUUCAAGUCUCUUAUGAUACUCCCACUAUUCCGAAUGAGAAGAAUUUUGCUUAUGUGGAGAGUAAUAAAAUUUCUAUGCUAGUAGAUCAUGAAAAGAAUUAUUUAGGUGCUGGUUAUAUUGUUGAAUUCAUUCAUGAUGCUACUGAAAAUUAUUAUGAGGGAGGAAUAUAUGCUUGUAGGAAUUGCAAUAAUAUCAAGUUUCCUCUCUAUGUGCUUAAAUUUUUUAAGUUAUGCUUGUUUUUCCUUCCUAUGCUAGUUGAUUGUUGUUCACAUAAGUUCUUUGCUCACAAAAUCCCUAUGCAUAGGAAGUUGGUUAGACUUAAAUGUGCUAGUCAUAUUCUUCAUGAUGCUCUCUUUAUGUUUCAAUUCUUAUCUCUUAUGUGAGCAUCAUUGAAAUCAUCAUGCCUAGCUAGGGGCGUUAAACAUUAGCGCUUGUUGGGAGGCAACCCAAUUUUAUUUUAGUUUCUUGCUUUUUGGUUAUGUUUAGGAAUAAAUAUUUGAUCUAGCCUCUGGUUAGACUUGUUUUUGUGUUUUAAUUAGUGUUUGUGCCAAGUAAGACCUAUAGGAUCUUCUUGGAUGAUAGUUAUUUGAUCCUGCCGAAAAUUCCAGAAACUUUCUGUUCACUAAAACAUUGUUUAAAAUAACCAGAACGUGAUAAAAUACUGAUUCCAAUUGCAGAAGAUCAAUAAUCAAAUUUUCUAGGUCUUCCUAUUUUGGUAGAAUUUUUGGAGUUCCAGAAGUUUGCGUUAGUUACAGAUUACUACAGACUGUUCUGUUUUUGACAGAUUCUGUUUUCAUUGUGUUGUUUGCUUAUUUUGAUGAAUCUAUGGCUAGUAAAAUAGUUUAUAAACCAUAAAGAAGUUGGAAUACAGUAGGUUCAAUACCAAUAUAAAUAAAGAAUGAGUUCAUUACAGUACCUUCAAGUGGUGUGUUGUUUUCUUUCGCUAACGGAGCUCACGAGUUUUCUGUUGAGUUUUGUGUUGUGAAGUUUUCAAGUUUUGGGUAAAGAUUCGAUGGACUAUGGAAUAAGGAGUGGCAAGAGCCUAAGAUUGGGGAUGCCCAAGGCACCCCAAGGUAAUAUUCAAGGACAACCAAAAGCCUAAGCUUGGGGAUGCCCCGGAUGGCAUCCCCUCUUUCGUCUUCAUUCAUCGGUAACUUUACUUGGAGCUAUAUUUUUAUUCACCACAUGAUAUGUGUUUUGCUUGGAGCGUCAUGUCAUUUUGUUUUGUUUUUCUUGCUGUUUGAAAAAAGUAUCAAGAUCUGAAUUUCUUAAAAUGGGAGAGUCUUCACAUAGUUGCAUAAUUAUUCGACUACUCAUUGAUCUUCACUUAUAUCUUUCGGUGUAGUUUGUUGUUUGCUCUAGUGCUUCACUUAUAUCUUUUAGAGCAUGGUGGUAGUUUUAUUUUGAAGAAAUAGAUGAACUCUCAUGCUUCACUUAUAUUAUUUUGAGAGUCUUUAUAACAGCAUGGUAAUUUGCUUUGGUUAUGAAUUUAGUCCUAAUAUGAUGGGCAUCCAAGAUGGGUAUAAUAAAAACUUUCAUAUAAAGUGCAUUGAAUACUAUGAGAAGUUUGAUUCUUAAUGAUUGUUUUGAGAUAUGAAGAUGGUGAUAUUAGAGUCAUGCUAGUUGAGUAGUUGUGAAUUUGAGAAAUACUUGUGUUAAAGUUUGUGAUUCCCGUAGCAUGCACGUAUGGUGAACCGUUAUGUGAUGAAGUCGGAGCAUGAUUUAUUUAUUGAUUGUCUUCCUUAUGAGUGGCGGUCGGGGACGAGCGAUGGUCUUUUCCUACCAACCUAUCCCCCUAGGAGCAUGCGCGUAGUACUUUGUUUCGAUAACAAAUAGAUUUUUGCAAUAAGUAUGCGAGUUCUUUAUGACUAAUGUUGAGUCCAUGGAUUAUACGCACUCUCACCCUUCCACCAUUGCUAGCCUCUCUAAUACCGCGCACCUUUCGCCGGUAUCAUACACCCACCAUAUAUCUUCCUCAAAACAGCCACCAUACCUACCUAUUAUGGAAUUUCCAUAGCCAUUCCGAGGUAUAUUGCCAUGCAACUUACCACUGUUCCGUUUAUUAUGACACGCUCCAUCAUUGUCAUAUUGCUUUGCAUGAUCAUGUAGUUGACAUUGUAUUUUUGGCAAAGCCACCGUUCAUAAUUCUUUCAUACAUGUCACUCAUGAGUCAUUGCACAUCCCGAUACACCGCCGGAGGCAUUCAUAUAGAGUCAUAUCUUGUUCUAAGUAUUGAGUUGUAAUUCUUGAGUUGUAAGUAAAUAAAAGUGUGAUGAUCAUCAUUAUUAGAGCAUUGUCCCAGUGAGGAAAGGAUGAUGGAGACUAUGAUUCCCCCACAAGUCGGGAUGAGACUCCGGACGAAAAAUAAAAAAAAGGAGGAAAAAGAGGCCAAAAAAGGAGAAGGCCCAAAAAAAGAGAGAAAAAGAGAGAAGGGGCAAUGCUACUAUCCUUUUACCACACUUGUGCUUCAAAGUAGCACCAUGAUCUUCAUGAUAGAGAGUCUCUUGUUUUGUCACUUUCAUAUACUAGUGGGAAUUUUUCAUUAUAGAACUUGGCUUGUAUAUUCCAAUGAUGGGCUUCCUCAAAAUGCCCUAGGUCUUCGUGAGCAAGCGAGUUGGAUGCACACCCACUUAGUUUCUUUUGUUGAGCUUUCAUAAACUUAUAGCUCUAGUGCAUCCGUUGCAUCGCAAUCCCUACUCACUCACAUUGAUAUCUAUUGAUGGGCAUCUCCAAAGCCCGUUGAUACGCCUAGUUGAUGCGAGACUAUCUUCUCCUUUUUGUCUUCUCCACAACCACCAUUCUAUUCCACCUAUAGUGCUAUGUCCAUGGCUCACGCUCAUGUAUUCCGUGAAGAUUGAAAAAGUUUGAGAACGUCAAAAGUAUGAAACAAUUUCUUGGCUUGUCAUCGGGGUUGUGCAUGAUUUAAAUACUUUGUGUGGUUAAGAUAGAGCAUAGCCAGACUAUAUGAGUUAGUAUGCUUGAAGUAUUAUUAUUUUUAUGUCAAUAUUAAACUUUUGUCUUGAAUCUUAUGGAUUUGAACAUUCAUGCCACAAUAAAGAGAAUUACAUGGAUAAGUAUGUUAGGUAGCAUUCCACAUAAAAAAUUCUGUUUUUAUCAUUUACCUACUCGAGGACGAGCAGGAAUUAAGCUUGGGGAUGCUGAUACGUCUCCAACAUAUCUAUAAUUUUUGAUUGUUCCAUGCUAUUAUAUUAUCUAUUUUGGAUGUUUAUGGGCUUUAUUAAACACUUUUAUAUCACUUUUGGGACUAACCUAUUAACCCAGAGCCCAGUGCCAGUUCCUGUUUUUCCCCUUGUUUCAGUGUUUCGAAGAAAAGGAAUAUCAAACGGAGUCGAAACAGAAUGAAACCUUCUGGAGAAGUUAUUUUUGGAAGGAAAGCAACCUCAUAGACUUGGAGUGCACGUCAGGAAAGAAACGAGGGAGCCACGAGGUAGGGGGCGCGCCCACCCCCCUAGGCCGCGCCCUCCACCCUCGUGGGCCCCUCGUGGCUCCCCUAACGUAUUUCUUUCGCCUAUAUAUAUCCAUAUACCCUAAAACGAUAGGAAAACAGCAUAGAUCGGGAGUUCCGCCGCCGCAAGCCUCUGUAGCCACCAAAAACCAAUCGGGACCCUGUUCCGGCACCCUGCCGGAGGGGGGAACCCUCACCAAUGGCCAUCUUCAUCAUCCCGACGCUCUCCAUGACAAGGAGGGAGUAGUUCACCGUCGGGGCUGAGGGUAUGUACCAGUAGCUAUGUGUUUGAUAUAUCUCUCGUGUUCUUGAUUUCGCACGAUCUUGAUGUAUCGCGAGCUUUGCUAUUAUAGUUGGAUCUUAUGUUUCUUCUCCCCCUCUACUCUCUUGUAAUGGAUUGAGUUUUCCCCUUUGAAGUAAUCUUAUCGGAUUGAGUCUUUAAUGAUUUGAGAACACUUGAUGUAUGUCUUGCCAUGCGUAUCUGUGGUGACAAUGGGAUAUCACGUGAUUCACUUGAUGUAUGUUUUGGUGAUCAACUUGCGGGUUCCGCCCAUGAACCCAUGCAUAGGGGUUGGCACACGUUUUCUACGUGAUUCUCCGGUAGAAACUUUGGGGCACUCUUUGAGGUUCUAUGUGUUGGUUGAAUAGAUGAAUCUGAGAUUGUGUGACACAUAUCGUAUAAUCAUACCCACGGAUAAUUGAGGUGACAUUGGAGUAUCUAGGUGACAUUAGGGUUUUGGUUGAUUUGUGUCUUAAGGUGUUAUUCUAGUACGAACUCUAGGGCUGUUUGUGACACUUAGAGGAAUAGCCCAACAGAUUGAUUGGAAAGAAUAACUUUGAGGUGGUUCCGUACCCUACCAUGAUCUCUUCGUUUGUUCUCCGCUAUUAGUGACUCUGGAGUGACUCUUUGUUGCAUGUCGAGGGACAGUUAUGUAAUCCAAUUAUGUUAUUAUUGUUGAGAGAACUUGCACUAGUGAAAGUAUGAACCCUAGGCCUUAUUUCCUAGCAUUGCAAUACCGUUUACGCUCACUUUUACCACUUGUUACCUUGCUGUUUUUAUAUUUUCAAAUUAUAAAAACCUAUAUCUACCAUCCAUAUUGCACUUGUAUCACCAUCUCUUCGCCGAACUAGUGCACCUAUACAAUUUACCAUUGUAUUUGGUGUGUUGGGGACACAAGAGACUCUUUGUUAUUUGGUUGCAGGGUUGCUUGAGAGAGACCAUCUUCAUCCUACGCCUCCCACAGAUUGAUAAACCUUAGGUCAUCCACUUGAGGGAAAUUUGCUAAUGUCCUACAAACGUCUGCACUUGGAGGCCCAACAACGUCUACAAGAAGAAGGUUGUGUAGUAGACAUCAGCGGGCAUCGCAGAGCCUAGGCGUGUGGGCUGGAGGCGUACGUCAAGGUCGUCCGCGAGCUUCAUGACGACGGUGAACUUGUCGAGGAAGCCGACGAGGACCUCGUAACAAUGAGACGAAGCUUUUGUCCAAGCGGCCUCUCGCCCUGGCAGCCUCAAGCACGACCUGGAGACGUUCCCCGGUGCCGGGCCGAAGGCCGGUGUCAUGGACCAUCUGGCACAGCCGGCUGAUGCUCGCGCUCAGCGCCUCCAUGGGUCUAGCUUCGAGUCAACUGAUCUUGCGAUUGGAGUGAUCACUCUUGCCCUUAGUUAGGGUGCGUAGGUGCGUAGGAUUUCAUAGAUUGGACAGGCGGGGAGCCUUUAUAUGGGAAGUGCAGACUGCAUUGCAUUCAUGUGUGUGUUGGCCAUCUACUCCUCGGCCCUCUACUGCACCUGCCUUUAAUUUGGUUGUAUGACAGGUGGGCAAGCCACCUAUUGGGCCCACGUGUCAUUCACCCAAACGCAGGUGCAGUAAGUCAAUGAAGCCGCGCCCCCUCUGUGCUGGUGUAGUAUAGUCAUCUCACCGGACCUCUAGUUGGGGCCAAACGAGAGAACUUUGAUGUUUACUGGUUUAUUGGUCCCCUUUGCAUUUUGCGCCAUGUUUUGACCUUUGAUUUAACUAAUAAAAUGUUAAUGCAUGUAACCAAAAAUGUUGUGUAAGUCACCUUACGAAAACCAAAUAAUCCCAAAACACUUAGGCACGGUACAUUAACUCCCUCCUCGUUUCUUAUUUCAUGACAUAUCAACCAAUGAGAGAUGUGGGCCGUGCAUGCUUUCAAUGACUUGAGACUACCAAACAUGACAUGCAGUGGUUAGUUCAUUGCAUGUAAUCCUAUUAAUUAGCAAAAGACAUUAAGUUCUCUUGCUUUCCCCUUCGUCUUGGUCACGGUGCACAACCUAAGAGCAUGGUUAAUAGUAUAGCCAGCUACCGACUAUAUGAUGUUGCCAUGUCAUACAGAGCCAUCACUUGUAGCCACUUAUACAAUAAGGUUAGCUAUAAGGCUGGCUAUAAGAGUACUACUUUUUAUCAUCUUCUCUCUCUCUCUCUCUCUUUCUUCAUAUUUAUUGUAUAUCGGCCUAGGAAUCCGCAUAUAGCUAGGCUCUUGCAUGAGAGCCCACUCCUCUUUUUCACUUGCUCUAAGAUGACUUAUACACCUAGACGGAGGGAGUAGUCUCAAGUCAUUGGAUGCAUACGCACCCCACGUCUCGUAUUGGGUGAUUUCUUUUUUCAUGGCAAAAAUAGGGAACGAGGUGAGUAGUUAAUGCACUGCACCAAAAAGUUUUGGGAUUACUAUUUGGUUUUCGUUACGUGACUAAUGCACCGGUACGGAGGGAGUACAAUAGUAGUCUUUGAUUGCAAUUUUUUGUUGGUAGCUUACAAAGUUGAGCUCUCGGUGAGUACAAUAGUAGUCUGAUUGAUGAGACUUCAGAUUUGAGCCAUCUACCGGAAGGAAUAAAACAAUACACCAUGUAUUUAUUUACAGAGGGAGUAGUAUAGUUUUUGUGACAUGCAUUACUAGAUAUUGCUAGUCAAAUACUAAAUCCAGAAGGUGGUGCUAGUACUAGUAGUAGUACUACCAAUGUAGUAGUACUAUACUACCCGUUGGUCAAAUUAUUACGUGCUGCUCCUCACGGUGAAGUGACAAGACCCUGCACCGGAGAUCACACCUGAGUGUAGGCACCGUGUUCGGCAUACCAUAGACAGCCUCACCGUCUGCAGUCACUAUCAUCAUGGUUGUAGAGCUAGCCUGCUUACAACUAGCCAUGUUUGACAUAAUUUCCCGUGCGUAGAUGCCCGUGCAUUGCACGGAACACCAAGAUUGGGGGUGGAUGGCGCCGGCAGCGGCCAUCACGCCAGAUUUUUCCAUGGCCUUUUAGAUGUGGUGGGGAGGAGAUAAGGCUGAUUGUGAGUGUCGGAUUUCGGGUUCCGGCAAACCCUUGAGGUUCGAACACUUGGGUGCGCACGAAGAUCUCUCUCUCCCUAGCUCGCUCGCUCCACGAUCCACGGCCUAGCUCGUCGAACUCGAAGAACACUCGACACGAGGGUUUAUACUGGUUCGGGCCACCGUUGUGGUGUAAUACCCUACUCCAGUGUGGCGUGGUGGAUUGCCUUGUCGGCUGGGGAUGAACAAGUACAAGGGAAGAACAGCCUCGGGAGGAGACGUGUUCUUGGGCUCGGUGAGCUGAUGAGCGCUAGGGUGCCCCGAAUGAUCCCUCCCCGGCUAUGGCGGUGGCUAGUCCUAUUUAUAGAGGCCAGGGUCCUCUUCCCAAAUAUUAGGUGGGAAGGGACCCCACAACGGCCAAGUUUGAAGGGAUCCCACAAGCUAUCCUGACAAAAGUAGUCUUCGCCUGCCAAAGGCUCUGGCGGUGACGCCGUCCUGGCCUCCACGAUGACCUCCGUCCUGCCGUCCUGCUGGUCUUGGUCUUGUUGCACCGAUAUGGAAACCUUUGCUUGGCGCCUCGGGACUCCUCGCCUGCGUCUGCCUCUUGAGCACCAAAGAGGAAACUGGUACCCUGCGCCCGCUGGCGCCCUCCUGGUGCCCGCCUGGCCUUGGUCGUCAUGGCUCACGUUACGCGCUCCUCGCGAGGUGCUCCUUGCCUACUCCGCUCCUCGCGAGCCAGCCUAGCGAGGCUGCCCCUGAGGAAGUCUUGCGUUGUCCACCUCGCGAGGCUUGGCCGCUAGCAAGAGUCUUGAAUGUUUGCUGAUGAAGAUGGGCCGUACCAGGCCGCUGGGCGAGCCACGCCCUGGGCCACAGGCAGGCAAGUCUGGGGACCCCCGUUACCAGAACGCCGACAGUAGCCCCCGGGCCCAAGGCACGCUCGGACUUGGCUUUGAGGCGAAGACAAAGGGCAAGUGCGGAGCGCCACGGGCCCCAAUAGCCUGCGGCCGUGAUUGACGCGUGGCGACUGAUUGGACGUGGGCGUCUCGGCUUCCCCACGCUGCCUCGGCAACUGGCCCUGACUUGUCGAGUCCUUGCAACAUGCAAAAUGAUCAUCAUUACCUGCGAUCGUGGCGGCUGGCGGUUGGCCUCCCUCUGGCUAUAAAUGAGAGGGGCGGAGCCCCCGUUGCUCAUCUCUUCCUCCAUCCUGCUCGCUUCUUCUUCCUCCUUGCUCCUCUGCUUGGCAGCGACACCCAUGGCGCCGGCGAAGAGGUUCUCUGCCACAGAGAAAGGGAAGGCCAGCUAGGAGGGGCCCGGCUCGCCACCGCCGAAGAGGGGACGCGGUCGUCCCCACAACCACGUCGCGACCCCCGGCGCCGUCCUUGGUGGCCGCAGCGGCGCCUCUUCGCGCGCCGGUAACCGCCCCGUGGCAGCCCCAUCAAUGAAGGGCGGCGCGCCAUGGUCGCCCGGCCUCCCCGGCCGCGCUUCCACUUAGCGGAAGUGCUGCCGAAGUUCGUUGUGUGUUCGGAGAACCCGGCCGGCACCUGGCUUCAGCUCUCGCGCUCCUUCGCCGACGAACUGCCGGCCACGGGUCACGACGGUCUCUGGCUGCAGGCAGAUGGUUGCUGCAGCAAGGCUUCGUGGGUUGCGGUGGAGGUCUCCGCCGCAGGCAACAUGACCCUGGCCCAUGGUUGGCAGACGUUCUCCCGCGCUCGCGAUCUUAGCAGGCGGUGCAUCCUCCACUUCAAGUACGACGGUGACGCGACCCUCUUUGUGAGGGUAUUCGGGGAAGAUGGUCGCGGCGUCGGGUGCUGCCCUAAGGACAACGAUGGCGGCGAGGUACUCGGCCUCGGCGACGGUCGUGACGAGGAUGAGGAUGAACUCGCCCUCGGUGCCGGCCACGGUUUGUCCAGCUAUGGCAGCUCCUCCUCUGGUGACAGCUCUAGGAGCGGCGGCUACGAUCAACCACCACGCCGCCGUGCCCGCUUCGAGGGCGGGGGCGGGUCGUCUCAUCGUCGCGCCCCAGUGAAGCGCGAGGAGGGCUCUGGCUGAGUCCAGGAGGGAGCCGAGGGCCAACCCUUGCGAGCCACUGCGGGUGCACGCGCCGCUUUUGUUUGUCCUUUCCUUUCUUCCUGCACUUCAAAAAUAAGACAAUUAUGGGGCCCUGCAGGGGCGUGAAAUGAACUGUGGUUUUCAAGUCGCUAUGUUAUGCUUAUUGUUCUUGUGUUGUGGCCCUCGUGCUUCAUGUAGGUGUAGGAGGAUAACUUAUCUUGGUGCGUCCAGGGUAGUUUCACGUCUCGUGGUGCACCUUCUAAGGCCUGAUGACACCUGCUAGCUGCUGGCUCAGGAGCUGUUGACCUCAGGAGUCGUUGUAGGGCUGCAAAAUUUGUUAGGUCGUCCGUUGGGUGCUUAUCCUUCCCUGCGCGAGGCCUCAGCCAUGCGCCAGUUAUGUCCCGGCGCACUUUGUCGCGGUACCCGUGGGGCACGGACUUAGGGGGGUGCGUCAAGCACAAGCUUAAUGGAGGGUGCUCUGCGAAGAUUAGGAGAGCCAGAGCUCUUGAGCGACAGAGCUAUGGUGAGGUGUGUCCGCGGUUGGGCUAGCCCAGUGUGGCGCACACCUGCCCAGCCCCCGCGCGAGGCGCGCGAGGAAGUGCGUCGGGCAACUGCCGCCUUCCCAAGCGCAAAACGAGGAAUGAGCGAAAAAGCAGAGAAAGAAGGAAACCCCAACCAAGCAAUCGAUAGAGAACACCAGAACUCCAAACUCCAUAAAAAAGGGGGCAAACCAACUACAGAAAGCAAAUGAACAGCCGCGUCCGGCACCUAGUCUAGUCUUCUCACCAGCGCGGAGCUAAGUGCUGCCACUAGGACGUGGGAGGGAGCCCCCGAGGCCCGAGGGCGGCACUCUGGAGACUUCGGGGCGUGUACAGCCCCCCUCAUUAUUACGUGAGAGUGUCACGAGCGGAGAACUUCAUAGGCACUGGGCCUUGCUUCACAGGCACUGGGCCUUGCUUCAUGGGUAGAAAUUCCGGAGGUGCUGGAUGUUCCAAGCGUUCUGGAUUGGGAUCCGUCCUGUAUCUCCAGGCGCGCGGCGCUAGGCCUGGAGACACGGGCGAUCCUAAAUGGGCCCUCCCACAUGGGUGAGAGCUUGUGCAUCCCUUCCCUGGAGAGCACCCGCCUUAGGACGAGAUCGCCCACCUCGAGCGUCCUGGAGAGGAUGCUGUGACAGUGGUACCGUCGCAGCGCCUGCGGGUACCUUGCCACUCGGAGCGAGGCUUCCCGGCGGUGUUCCUCCCCCAGCACAAGGUCCAUCCCCCACAUGGCGUCCUGCUGCAUCUCAUCGAACGCCAGGACCCACGCGGAGCGAUGCUUGACCUCAUGAGGGAGAACCGCUUCUGCUCCAUAGACGGGGAAGAACGGGGUCACGCCUGUGGGCUUGGUGGCGGUGGUGCGGAUGGACCACAACAUAGACUGGAGCUCUUCGUGCCAGCCCCUGCCGCAGGCCUCGAGCUUCUUCUUGAAGGUCCUGGUCUUGAGCCCCCUUAAGACCUCCGCAUUGCCACGCUCGACCUGGCCAUUGCUCCUGGGGUGUGCUACCGAAGCGUAGCAAAUCUACGUUCCAAGGUUAGCACAGUAUGUCCUGAAGAGGUUGCUAGUUAAUUGCGAGCCAUUGUCAGUGAUGAUGCGGUUGGGGACCCCAAACCGGAUCAGGAGACCCUUGAUGAACCUGAUCGUGGAUCCGGCCAGGAUGGUGCGGACGGCUUCCACCUCCGCCUACUUGGUGAACUUGUCGAUGGCGACGUAGAGGUAGCGGUAGCCCCCGGGCGCUCGGGGGAACGGACCGAGGAUAUCCAACCCCCAGACCGCGAAUGGCCAGGAGAGUGGGAUAGUCUAUAGGCCUUGAGCCGGCUGGUGGAUCUGCUUGGCAUGGAAUUGGCAGGCUUCGCAGGACCUCACCAGCUCGGCCGCGUCGUUGAGUGCCGUGGGCCAGUAGAAACCGCUGCGAAAUGCCUUACCAACCAAGGUGCACGACGACGAGUGAUGCCCGCAGUCCCCGGCAUGUAUGUCAGCUAGCAGCUUGCUCCCUUGCUUCUUGGAGAUGCACCGCAAAGAAACAUCAUUUCGUUGUUUUCCGUAAAGCUCACCGUCCUGAAUGCAACACGUCGUAGCCUGCCGGGCUACACGCUCUGCGUCCUCUUCUUUCUCCGGCAGCGCUCCUUGCACCAGGUAUGCCUUGAACUCCUCGGUCCAGCACCCCUCCAAAGGCUCGAGCGCUAGGAGCAAGCGCGCUCCCGAGGCCGGGCCACAGGUGGGGGUUCCCGAGGUCGGUGGCUGGGGGAGUUCCUCCUGAGGCGGCCCCGGCCCCGUAGGCGGAGGUGCUUCCGAAGGCUUAAAGAGCCGUUUCUCGAAGACGCCGGGCUCCUGGGUCAUGCGCCUGGAUGCCCUUUUGGCAAAGCCGUCGCCUUCCUUGUUGGUGCCACGAGGUACGUGCUGUAGCUCCAGGACCAAGAACUGCUUCUCCAUUUUGCGUACCUCCGUGAGGUAUGCCUCCAUGUGCUCGUCCUUCGGUUCGUAUACCUUGUUAGAGAAGUUAACGUGGAGCUGCGAGUCGCCCCUGAUGGUGAGGCGUUUCACUCCCUGGGCCACCGCAGCCUUAAGGCCGGCGAUGAGGCCCUCGUAUUCUGCGAUGUCGUUGAAGACCUUCUCGCCCUGCUGGAAGCAGAGCUGCACGGCGUAGUAAAGCUUGUCCUGAGUGGUCGAGAUGAGCACAGCUCCAGCCCCCGUGCCCUGCCGUGCAAACGCGCAGUCGAAGUACAUGACCCAGCCAUCUGGCGCUUCACUUCCUGGUGAGAGGGAUCGGUCCUCGCUUGCUUCGAGCUCUGCGGUGUCGGUUCAUUCUGCCACGAAGUCGGUGAGCGCAGCUCCCUUGAUGACCCUAGUUGUGCUGAACUCCAACUGAAACGCUUGCAGCCCGAUGUUCCAUUCGGUGACUCUUCCCGCAGCAUUAGGGCUCCGGAGCACUCUCUCCAGUGGGUAAACCAAGACAACCUUGAUGGGGUGACCUUGGAAGUAGUGGCGCAGCUUACGUGAGGCCACCAGGAGCUCGAGCAAGAGCUUCUGAGGCAUGGGGUAUCGUGCUCUCGCAUCUCGUAGCACCGUGGUGAUGAAGUACACCGGGUGCUCAACAAUGGCGGGAGCGUCGAUGGAGCCCGAGUCCUCCGGAGGUUGGUCGCCCAUCGGGCCCCUAUAGGCCCGGUAGCAUCGUCGCGCAGUGUCUGCUGAUCAGCUGGCGUCGUUGUGGUUUUGGUGGCACCGUCUUGGCGCUGUUCUGCUCUAGCCGGAGGUGCGGCGCCGCGUGGCGUGCUCUUCCCCUGGCGCUCUUCCCGAACAGCCACCAGCGCCGCGCUGGCUGAGUAGGGCGUGGCAGCCAGGUAGAGCACCAGGGGCUCGAGAGGACGAGGCGCUACUAUCACCGGUGUCCUAGUCAAGUAUCUCUUGAGGUCCUGAAAUGCCAGAUCGGCCUCUGGGGUCCACUCGAACGGCCCCUUUUUCUUCACCAGCUUGAAGAACGGCAAGGCGCGCUCCCCCAGCUUGGAGAUGAAACGCCCCAACGAGGUUACGCAGCCUGCGAGCUUCUGCAUUUCCUUGAGGGUUUGCGGCGGGCUCAUGUCUUCUAUCGCUUUGACCUUCUCUGGGUUGGCCUCGAUCCCUCGGUGCGACACGAGGAAGCCCAGCAGCUUGCCGAAAGGGACACCAAACACACACUUCUCCGGGUUGAGCCGCAGGUCCACCUAGCGCAGGCUGGUGAAAGUUUCUUCCAGGUCCUAAAUGAGGGUUCUUGCUUCCCAAGAUUUUACUACGAUGUCAUCAACAUAGGCUUCUGUUCCUCCCUAGCUACUGGCCUAGGGCGAUGUGGAUCAACCGCUGGAAGGCCGCCCCUGCGUUGCGUAGUCCGAAUGGCAUGCAGGUGUACCAGUACACCCCACACGGGGUUAGGAAGGCUGUCUUUCCACAUCUUCUUCCGCCAUCUUGAUAUGAUGGUAGCCCGAGAACGCGUCCAGGAAACACAGUAAGUCAAACUCGGUGGUGGAGUCGACGAUCUAGUCAAUGCGCUGGAGCGGGAACGGGCCUUGGGGGCAAGCUUUGUUGAGGUUCGUGAAGUCGACACACAUGCGCUCCUUCCCACCUUUCUUGGGCACGACGACGGGGUUUGCCAGCCAUUCCGGGUACCGGACCUCGCGGAUGACAGCUGCUGCUUCUAGCUUGCGAGUUUCUUGCAUGAUGAAGGACUGCUUCUCCAUGGACUGUCGCCGCGCCUUCUGCUUCACAGGGCGCACAUUGGGGCACACCCUUAAGUGAUGCUCGAUCACCCCUCUCGGGACCCAUACCAGUUGCUUGGGCUCCCAGGCGAAUACCUCCUUGUUCGCGCGUAGGAAUUUCACCAAUGCUUACUCUUGGUCCCGGUCGAGGUUGGCGCCAAUGGUGAAGGUGGCUCCCGAGGAUCCAUCCUCCUCGACCGGCACUUGCUUCGUUUCGGCUCGAUCCUGAGUGAACAACUGCUUCUUUUUUGCUGGCGCGGCUUCGUCAGCUGAGCGUGCCGCUGCUGCGGCCCUGAAGGCAAGUUGGAGGGCUGUCAGGGCUUCUUUGGUGUCCCCAGCCACGGUAAGGACACCGUUUCUCCCUGGCAUCUUCAUGAGGUUAUAGGCAGGAUGGGUAGCCGCCAUGAACUGAGCCAGGGCCGGGUACCCAAGGAUAUCGUUGUACGGGAAGCCGAUGCGGGCGACAUCAAAGUCGAUAAGCUCGGUGCGGUAGUUGUCACGGGUGCCGAAAGUCACGGGGAGGCGGAUCUGCCCUAGGGGGCUGGUGGAGCCGCUGCCAACCCCGGAGAAGGGCUUGGUGGGGCGGAGCCGUUCGCACUGCACAUGGAGCAAGCUGAAAGCCUCCACCAAGAGCAUGUUGAGGCCGGCCCCACCGUCGAUGAGGGUCUUGGUAACCGCCAUGUGGCAGAUGAUGGGCGUGCAAAGCAUCGGGACAUCGCCUGAGCCCGCGGUGGUCACCGGAUGAUCCUCCAAGUUGAAGGUGAGGUCGGCCUUGGGCGCUGCCCAUCCCGGAGGAGCUCCCGGUUGCGCGCAGGCGGCGCCCACUUGGCGGAAGAAUUGCUUGACAUGGUGACCAGAAGGCGCCGCCUGGAAGUCGCCGAGGAGGGCCGCGACGGCAGGGGGUGCCGGUCCCCCGAAGCGCGCGACGAAGAGGUCGCGCAGCUCCUCCCAGGAGGCCACAGAGGAUUCUGGCAGACAGAGAAGCCAAGCGCGCGGCGCGCCAGCGAGGGCCAUGGGGAACCAUUUGGCCAUGACCUUAUCGUCGCCCUCGGCUUCCAGAAUAGCCUCCUCGUAUGCCAGCAGGAAGGCCGCCGGAUCCGCCGUGCCAUCGUAGCGAGGCGGCAUCUCCGGCUUGAACUUGAGCGGCCACCGCACUCGCCGCAAGGCGGGGGCGAGGGCCUGGAGCCCCCUGGCGCCGCUGCGCGCGCCCGUCGAUCGAGUCAGAGAAGCGGCGCCGUCCAUGGGAGCUGGUCGGAGAGGCGAAGCCGUCAGAGGAGCGAAGCUUCGGCGCACCCCUACCUGGCGCGCCAAAUGUCGGAUUACGGGUUCCGGCAAACCCUUGAGGUUCGAACACUGGGGUGUGCACGAAGAUCUCUCUCUCCCUAGCUCACUCGCUCAACGAUCCACGGCCUAGCUCGUCGAACUCGAAGAACACUAGACACGAGGGUUUAUACUGGUUCGGGCCACCGUUGUGGUGUAAACCCUACUCCAGUGUGGCAUGGUGGAUUUCUUUGUCUACUCGGGAUGAACAAGUACAUGGGAAGAACAGCCUCGGGAGGAGAGGUGUUCUUGGGCUCGGUGAGCUGAUGAGUGCUAGGGUGGCCCCGAAUGAUCCCUCCCCGGCUAUGGCGGUGGCUAGUCCUAUUUAUAGAGGCCAGGUUCCUCUUCCCAAAUAUUAGGCGGGAAGGGAUCCCACAACGGCCAAGUUUGAAGGGGGACAGCUAGUACAAUCUAUCCCGACAAAAGUAGUCUUCGCCUGCCAAAGGCUCUGGUGGUGACGCCGUCCUGGGCUCCACGAUGACCUCCGGCCUGCCGUCCUGCUGGUCUUGGUCUUGUUGCACCGAUAUGGAAACCUUUGCUUGAUGCCUCGGGACUCCUCGCAUGCGCCUGCGUCUUUAGCACCAAAGAGGAAACUGGUACUCUGCGCCCGCCGGCGCCCGCCUGGUGCCCGCCUGGCCUUGGUCGUCAUGGCUCACAUCACACACUCCUCGCGAGGGGCUCCUUGCCUUGAUAUCUCCGCUCCUCGCGAGUCAGCCUAGCGAUGCUACCCCUAAGGAAGUCUUGCAUCGUCCAUCUCGCGAGGCUUGGCCCCUCGCGAGAGUCUUGAGUGUUUGCUGAUGAAGAUGGGCCGUACUAGGCCGCUGGGCGAGCCACGCCCUGGACCGCAGGCAGGCAAGUCUGGGGAUCCCCGUUCCCAGAACGCUAACAGUGAGAGACAAGGAGUUGUUUGUAAAUAGGGAACAAGUGCGGGCAUCUUUUUGCAAAACUGUAGAAGUUUGGUUUAUAUGCGUCAAAUCUAGAUCCGACGGCUAUUGGUGAAAGAUGGCAGGCACAUCAUCAUCACCAACUCAGGACCUCUUUGAUUCGUAGGAUUUUGAAAACGCGGGAAUAGGACACGGCAAUAUUACAAGUUUCAAACUGAUAUUACAAAUGUUAGGAGUAACGUCGAACCUACGAAGAGGGUACUAGGAAAUUUACGUAAGAACUUUCGUUAAUUUAGGUGGAUGUAGCAUUAUCGUACAAACUAAAAUCUACCGCCCUGACUAGUCGCUAAUGGGAAAAUAAAUUUUCAAGACUCUCGCCACUUGAUGUUUCAAAAACAAAUUCAGCUUCUGCGGAGACUUUGUCUUUUAGGCUUAGACGCUUGCGGUGAUCAGCACGCCAUUCAUUGUUGCACCAGAGAAUGCCAAACCUCAUUACCUUGAGCACACUUGCCUCCAGAACAAAGAACCAGACCAAUUUAUUUUCAGAUGUGCUUCCUCGGUAGUCGAUCAAAUCAAUUUCUGUAAGAUGGAGAUCAAGGCAUUCGAUGAGAUUGUUACAGUGCAGCACAUUUUUCACUUUCAGGUCUUUUUUUAUCUGCAAAAGAAGAGAACAUAUAAGAGCAGCUGGCUGUAUAAGAUUGCCGUGUCAUCAAGAGGUACCAAUAUCAUUCGCUCAAACAAUAGGGUUGACUGGCUAGUGAUAUUUUUCACUCUCUCUCUCUUUCUCUUUCCUCUCAUUUACCUAGGAGCACGUGAAGAGCUUGGGCAUUUGUUGCUUUCCACUAUGUGGCCAAUGCUAUAUUUCUCAAAAGUAUGCCACAUAAUACGCAUCGAUGUCAAAUCAAAAGAUUUUGCCACCGCUCUCGUGAUGUGAGCGAGUUGGCACCGCUGUGCACAUAGACCCACAUGUAUAAACAAAUCAAUCAAACCAACUACACCAGCCUCUCACUCUCCCAAACAAGUGUUUUUUAUUGCCUCAGUCCUCUCUCUCUCUCCCACGCAAGUAUUUUUUUAUCGCGCGAGUUAAUUUCGCACCGGAGCAAAGUAGGUGAUCCAGAUUGGGGCACCAGGUGAGCAAUGGAGGGGCAUCGAUGCCAAAUGCAUCACUAGUGAAUUUGGCACGUGUUUUCGCCUACAUAGUUGAGGGCUGUUAUGUUGGGGAACGUAGUAAUUUCAAAAUAUUUCCUACGCACACGCAAGAUCAUGGUGAUGCAUAGCAACGAGAGGGGAGAGUGUUGUCCACGUACCCUCAUAGACCGAAAGCGGAAGCGUUAGCACAACGCGGUUGAUGUAGUUGUACGUCUUCACGAUCCGACCGAUCAAGUACCGCACCCACGGCACCUCCGAGUUCAGCACACGUUCAGCCCAAUGACGUCCCUCGAACUCCGAUCCAGCCGAGUGUUGAGGGAGAGUUUCGUCAGCACGAUGGCCUGGUGACGAUGAUGAUGUUCUACCGAUGUAGGGCUUCGCCUAAGCACUGCUACAAUAUUAUCGAGGUGGACUAUGGUGGAGGGGGCACCGCACACGGCUAAAAGAUCAAACGAUCAAUUGUUGUGUCUCUAGGGUGCCCCCUGCCCCCGUAUCUAAAGGUGCAAUGGGGAGAGGUGCGGCCGGCCAGGAGGGGCGCGCCAGGAGGAGUCCUACUCCCACCGGGAGUAGAACUCCCUCCCUUUUCCUUGUUGGACUAGGAGUGGAGGGGGAAAGAGGAGGGAGAGAGGAAGGAAAGGGGGGCGCCGCCCCCCGCUCCUUGUCCUAUUCGGACUAGGGGGGAGGGGCGCGCGGCCCUGCCCUGGCCGCCUGUCCUCUCUUCCACUAAGGCCCACUAUGGCCCAUUAAGCCCCCGGGGGUUCCGGUAACCUCUCGGUACUCCGGUAAAAUUCCGAUUUCACCCGGAACACUUCUGAUAUCCAAACAUAGGCUUCCAAUAUAUCAAUCUUUAUUUCUCGACCAUUUCAAGACUCCUCGUCAUGUCCGUGAUCACAUCCGGGACUCCAAACAACCUUCGGUACAUCAAAACAUAUAAACUCAUAAUAUAACUGUCAUCGAAACUUUAAGCGUGCGGACCCUACGGGUUCGAGAACUAUGUAGACAUGACCAAGACACGUCUCCGGUCAAUAACCAAUAGAGGAAAAGGGAUGCUCAUAUUGGCUCCCUCAUAUUCUACGAAGAUCUUUAUCGGUUAAACCGCAUAACAACAUACGUUGUUCCCUUUGUCAUCGGUAUGUUACUUUCCCGAGAUUCGAUCGUCGGUAUCUCAAUACCUAGUUCAAUCUCGUUACCGGCAAGUCUCUUUACUCGUUCCGUAAUACAUCAUCCCGCAACAAACUCAUUAGUUGCAAUGCUUGCAAGGCUUAAGUGAUGUGCAUUACCGAGAGGGCCCAGAGAUACCUCUCCGACAAUCGGAGUGACAAAUCCUAAUCUCGAAAUACGCCAACCCAACAAGUACCUUCAGAGACACCUGUAGAGCACCUUUAUAAUCACCCAGUUACGUUGUGACGUUUGGUAGCACACAAAGUGUUCCUCCGGUAAACGGGAGUUGCAUAAUCUCAUAGUCAUAGGAACAUGUAUAAGUCAUGAAGAAAGCAGUAGCAACAUACUAAACGAUCGAGUGCUAAGCUAACGGAAUGGGUCAAGUCAAUCACAUCAUUCUCCUAAUUAUGUGAUCCCAUUAAUCAAAUAAAAACUCUUUGUCCAUGGUUAGGAAACAUAACCAUCUUUGAUUAACGAGCUAGUCAAGUAGAGGCAUACUAGUGACACUCUGUUUGUCUAUGUAUUCACACAUGUAUCAUGUUUCCGGUUAAUACAAUUCUAGCAUGAAUAAUAAACAUUUAUCAUGAUAUAAGGAAAUAAAUAAUAACUUUAUUAUUGCCUCUAGGGCAUAUUUCCUUCACGUUAUAGCCCACUUCUGUACUACCUCGUACUUAAUGUAAAAUUUUGCCCAUAGAUUUACCUAAGAAAAUGCCAAUGCAUCUCACCAAAAGUUAUACCAUUUGAAAUUAUGUUCAAAUACGAAUCCAACAAUAUAAUUUUUAGUGGCAUGCAUUAACAUUUUGUCAGUUAAAUCUAUGGUCAAAUUUUGAUACUACAAAAUAGGAAGAGUAAACCAGGACGGAGGUAGUACUUGUUCUUAGGGUAACCAUAGAGUUACUAGUCUAAGUUACUUUACACUAUGAUUAGCCUAGGCUACUAUAGUAGUACAACAACAAAAUGAUGCAGGUGAUCACGUGAGAAAAAAUACUAAAAACAUUUCUUUCGGUGCAGUGCGUAGAUGCAGUUUUCAACACUACACUUGUCAUCGUAAUUUGGGAAAAUCAUGAAAAAAUUGAGCUACGUUGUGAUUACCGUUUACUAAUAGGAAAGAAGUUUCACCUCGAUGAGUAGCUUCUCCGUGCACGGAAAGCAUGUAAGGAAUCCAACAACUUGAUCCAAAUUGGGGCCGAUAGAUUUUAUUGCCAAGAUCUUCACUCUGCGCAUAGAGUGGGUCAAGCUUGUGGGAAUCAUUUCCUGGAAGACGGUCGUAAAUACAUCAAGAAGAAAUUUAAAAAUGUGAAUUUCAAGAGGACGGAGAAGAAGAUGAGUGUUGUACCUGAACGAUUACGGAUCCAAUAAAGAGUUUGGAGAAUUUGGCAGACGAGUACACCAACACUGUCAAUUUCGGCGCAUCAAUGACCCUGUUUUGUUGGACCUCCUAGAUCAGAUACAAGCAAUAUCUCAAGGAAAGGCGCAUUCUCAAUGACCAUAACGUGGAACAGCUGGAGUGAUCUCUUCCCAAUUGAUAUCUUAUUGCGGGGCCAGCAACACAAAUAAAUCUAGCGGAGAUUCGUCGAGGCGAUGUGGAGGCUAAUGAACCCAUGGAUCUGCUCAAGAUGAAGGUACUCGAGCACAGUACAGCUGAAGAGCAGGUGCUCCAUAGCCUUCUUUAAGAUGACAACGUCGAAGAGGUCGAGCUGCUUGAGUUGAGGGAGAAGAAGGGCGGGCGCGGCAUUAAUCUGGGGAAGAUAGCAGGAGCUAAAGCUGGCGCGGCGCAGCGUUGGCGUGAGGCGGAGCGCGGACGGCGGCAGAUAGCGACAUCGUCCAGCUUCAAAGUUGAGGUCCUCGAGCUGAUCUAGGGCAUGGGAUAAGAACCACUCGUCGAACUUGGCUUGGACCUUGCAGUUGGUACUGAGCAUGCGGAUGUCAAGUAGUCUGGCUGGCCCAGGGUGCGAUGAAACAAUCUUGGAGACUGCGGCCAUGCGUUUGCAAUCCCCUUCGCAGAGGCAGCUAUCAACGGUGAGGUUGAGGGGGAUGCGACGCCAGAGGGGGCGCCACCGCCGGGAGAGCAGGGUGGUCCGCACGACAGAUUUGGUGGGGAGGAGGCCGUGAUGACGAGCAGCAUGUCGUCGGGGAGGCUAUUGAUGAAGUCCAGGCUCGCCGGAUGCGGUUUUGGCUCGAGCCGCCUUUGCUUGUUGGCUGCCUCGCCGUCCAUCUCAACCAGCGGCGACGCCGGUGUACACGUGUGCUGGUGUGUGUUGUGUGCUGGCCUGCUGGGUGUGCGCGAGUCCGUCCUUCUGUGCAUGCCGCCGCGCAGUGGUGAAUUGUGUGCGAGUGCAUUCUUCACGCGGAAGAAGUGUGCCCUCAAUUUACUAGCGUGCGGGGUGCUACCCCGAAUGGUUUCAACUUUGUUUACUUCACCGCAUGUCAGAUGGGCCUCUACUUUACUUAUUUUCACCCACUGCCACAUGGGCCAGCACACAAAGAUAGAGAACACGAGCUGACAAGGCAGCAUGUGGACUGGUUGACCGGUCAACUAAACAAUAUACAGAGCUAUACGUUGACACAGUGAGCUUAUAAUCCGUCGGUAUAGAGAGUUCGAGUGAGAGGGGAGGCCCAUGAGAGAUAGCCGAGAGAGAGAGAAAGAUCUACUCUCUCCGUUCGAUAAUGUAGUGCCAACAUUUUUUUAAGUCAAACUUUUGAAACUUUGACCAAGUUUAUAAAGAAAUUACUUAUAUCUACAAUACCAAAGAUAAAUGAUAGUAUGAAGUAAGUACAUGUUGUGAUGAAUCUAAUGAUCGCUCCAGAUGUAAAUGUUUUUCUCCACAUAUACCUGGUCUAACUUUUCUGGGGUUUGACUUUUCAAAACAUCCAUAUGCUUAUGGACGUGAGAGAGUACCUAACUGGAGAGAGGGUGUGUGAAAUAGAAAGAGUGACUGAAAAAAGUGUGCGUGCGUGUGUGAAAGUGACAUGGACAACACACGAUAAAAGUAGAGAAAAAGCGUGUGUGUCUUAUGCAAACAUAUCACACAUGCAUCUUCGACAGCGGAAUCAAGGUGAGGAGAUAGUGUGUGGUUGUUUUCAACCGAGAGAGAAAGACCCCUAGCACGUGGCCAAGAGGGGUCUGACAAACAAGGGAGAGAGGUCGAGAGAGACGUAUGGAGAAAAUGCAGACAUGGGGAGGAGAGAGUGUAUGUUUGUCAUAGAGAGAUCCCCUGGAGAUCGUGAUGGGACUACAUGGGUGCGAGAUCGAGUGGCAAGGUGUGUGCGUGAUAAAAGAUACCCCGAGAGAUAUCGACAUAGACGUAUGGAUGGAAGGAGACAAUACGUGUGUUCCUGAUGGCUAGUGAGAGAUAAUCAUACUUAGGGGGGUGCAUGCACCUAUGAUGGAGUGAGGGAUUAUGGUACUUACGGGGUGCGUGCCACAUAGAGAGAGAACAAGGGCGGAGAGUGUUAUAUGGGUCUAUGUAGCGCGAGCGAGACAUGUGUAUGUGUGAACCAGGGAGAUAUAAAGUUUGAGAGAGACAGAGGAGCCCUGAUAAGGCUGAGCGGUGCGUCAGAUAGCUGAGAGGGGGAAACAAAUAUCCCAUCCGCUCAAUAAUGCAGUGCAUGUAAAUUUUUUAGAAGUCGAACUUUGGAAACUUUGACCUAGUUUACGCAAAUGCUAUUUAUAUCUACAAUACCAAAGAUACAUCAUACGAAACUACAUCUCAUGAUGAAUCUAAUGGUAUAUGUUCGUCGUUCUAGAUGUAAAUGUUUUUCUCUACGUACAUGGUCAAACUUUUGUGAUGUUUGAUUUUUCAAUAAAUCUAUAUGCUAUGGAUCGAAGAGAGUGCCUAAGUCGAGAGAGAUCAAGUGCAUGUGGAGGAGAAUGAGUGAGUGUGCAAAAAGAGUAUGUGUGUGAAAGAGAAAGGGACAACAAACGAUAAAUUAGAGAGAGAGUGUGUGUUUUUUCGUUUCUUAUGCAAACAUAUCAUGCAUGCAUCUCCGAGAUAGAAAAGCGAGGUGAGGAGAUACACGAAGAUAGCUAGUGCGUGAUUGUUUGCAAUGGAGAGAGACACCCCUAUAGCACUUGUCCAAUAGAGGUCUGGCCAAGAAGGGACAAAGGUCGAGAGGGACGCAUGGAGAACAUGGACGCAUGGGGAGGGAGAGAGGGUAUGUUUGUGAUCGAGAGAUCCCAUCGAGAUCAUGAGGGGACUAUAUGGGUGGGAGAUCGAGGGAAGUGCGUGCGCGAUAGAAAGAUGCCCCGAGAGAAAUCGAGAUAGACCAUGCACAUGUUUAUGAUGGAGACUAAGAUUAGCUAGUCAUUUACAUAUAGGGGGGACUACGUGUGCCUACAAUUGAGUGAGAGACCAUCAUACUUUGCUAGGCAUGAGAUUGUGUGUGUGUGCAUGUGGGAUGGAGAGAGAACGAGGGAGAGAGAUAGAUUUUUUGAUGGGUCUAUCGAGUGCCAGUGAGAUAUGCAUGUGUAUGUGUGACCCAGGGAGAUGGAGAGUUUGAGAGAGAGAGGGAAGAGCUCCAAGACGACAGAGUGGUGCGUGAGAGAGUUACGGGCAAUGAGCCAAGGAAUUUGUGUGUGUACGAUGAGUGCACCCAAGAUAUUUAACUUGGACUAGAGAAUCAUACAUAAUGUGUGAGUGAGACCUAUAGAUGGAGUAUAUAUGCAUGCGAACUAGAAAGACCCCCGCCCCCUCACACACACACAAAGAGAGAGAGAGAGAGAGGGAGAGAGAGGGAGAGGGAUCAACAAGGUUUGUGUGUUGGAUGCGUGUGACCGAAUUGAAGGUUGUCGGCGCACGCACGAGCGAGAGAGAGAGAGAGAGAGAGAGAGAGAGAGAGAGAGAGAGUGCAGGAGUCCGGGAGGGGGGGAGGUCGCGUUUUAUGCGUCAAAGACUGAUAUAAACCAUGUUUCAAUAUGAACUUGCAUUCAAAUAUUUAAAGGGAAUUUUACAUCUGUGCCCCUGGUUCCUUAGCUCUACUCAUCCAUCCCCACGCUCUUAACUUUUGCUCAGUUUUCCCCACUCCCUUGCCCGAAACCCUCAGAAGAGGUCAUAACGGACGUCUCCAUCGGGGUAGAGCUUUGACAGUUCACUCUGACGAGUGGGGCCGUGUUGGGGGUGUAGCUGUUCGACCGUUGGGCCGUGGUUUCCUUGGGCUGUCCCUUGCAUUAAACGCCUGCGCGCGCCACCAUGACAGAAGCCUGCUAUGCAUGCACCCAACAAGCCUGCCUGCAUGCGUCGAUGCGCCGACCGAGCCUGCAUGCGCUGAUGCGUGCCGCCACGAUGCACUGACCGAGCCGCUUUCGUGCACGCCAGCCGCCAUGGAUGCAGCGACGGUCGCUGCCGCUGGUUCCUCUCUUCUCGCACACUUGUCUCCUCGAUUUAGAGCAUCAUUUUUUUACGAUCAGUUGCAGCCUUUUUGAUCCACUCGCAUCUGCACCCAUUUUGCUAUGACAAAUAAAUUGAACAAAUAUGUUGUAGUUGCAUGCACUAGCUAGGUGGCUACAUAUUUGUUGGCUGUGUAAGAAAAGAAGGGUUCAUUGUGGCUGCAUGCAUUAGGUGGUUACUAACAAAGCGAGCUCUCUAAGAAAACAAUCAACAUACAUGUAGAUAGGGCCAACAAGCCCAUAGCACGAUCAAAUAGUUGAAACUAGGAAGAACUUCAUAAUAGAAUAGAUAGAGAACUUAAUAAUAGAACUUGAUAAAAGGGCCAACAAGCCCAUAGCAUGUCUCACAUUGUUCAAUGGGAUUACCACUUAACAUAACAUAGACUCAAAAAAAAUAAAAAAUAGAUAGAUGGUUUAGAACCCUAGGCGACGCCUUCUCCACCUCGCUCCUUCUUCGGGCGCCCUUCACUGCUCCUCCGGGGCGUUGUCGAUGGGGUACGGAAGAGUGUGCAUGCGGGACGUGGUGGGGAAGAUGUUGGUGUACUCCGUGAACAUGUUGUGGGUGGUGAAAGUGAUGAACUCGCAGCCACACCAAAACACCUAGCCGAGGAGGUAGAAGGCGUCGAAUGUGUUGGUGAAGUGGGCAAGGAGAGCAACCACCACCCCGUUUUGGAUGACCUCCUCGACACGGAACAUCCUUGGAGAUCCCCGCGGGAGGUGGUGGUAGCCGGACGCGAGGAAGAACUCGGUGAAGUUCCUUGCGGUCCUCCACCUUGAUAUUGCCCACACACGUAGUGUGCGCUCAUCGUACACGCCAUGAGGGUAGAGCCUCUCCGGCAUGGUGGGUGGGAAGUGGUAGGUUGGUCCGGUGUACUACAUGGCUGAGGAUGUGCUAGAAGAAGGAGAAGUGGUCGAAGAGCAAGAAGGGCUGAUGGCAGAGAGGAUGGGAGAUGGAUGAGGGAUGGCAGAGGUAGACAGUGGCUUAAAUAGCCAUAGUGCUACGUGUUAUUUGGCCGUGGCAAUAAUGGGGCCAAAUGUGAAGUAACCCGUUUUCAAACUCACCGCAGCAUCGGGAGUGUACACGCGUGGGAAACGGUGGUUUGAAAAAGAAGAAGAAAAAGAAGCUAAUUGCAAGCGUGGGAAUCCGUGGUCAUAUAUAUUAUAUGAACAAAAAGAGACAAUUUUUGAACAGUUUGUGGCCAUUUUGCAUGAUAAAAAUAAAUUUGGCCCUUAAAAAUUUGGUCAUUUGCUACGCAAUGUCAAUUGAUUUCAAACGAUGCAAAAAUACAAAGCCAGCACGUUCACAAAAAACAGAGCAAAUGAUGCAAAAAAAGUAUGCAAUUCGACGGCCCAACUAGAGCUUGGUUUCCUUUCGGGCCCAAUAACAACGGUUUUUUCGAGGAGUCAGUGGUGGGCGAGCAGCCGAGCACAACCAAUAGGAUCGCCUGUCGCGGAUCGCGCCACGAUCCGACGAUGUGGAGCCGUCCUUGUGAUCCAACGGCGCGGAGCCUGCACGCAGCCAGCCCACCUAAUUCCUUCUAGAAGACCAGAUCUGAGGGUUGUCGCUUGGCGCGAGGGUGUGAUCGGACGGCUGACGUUGGGAGCUAGGGUUAGGCGAAACCCCGCGGGGUUUAGAGGGGUUUUGAGCUGGUCAACGGGCUUUCGAGGCUUUGACUGAGCAUAACUAAUUUAAAAAAAUCGAAAAAAUAUGAAACCUUCGUCGUUCGUCCUUCUAUAACACAAACUAAGGAGGAAAAAUAAUAAACUUGGUCUAUGGUCAUUUUCAUGAAAAAACCCUAGCUAGCACGAUCGAGGUCAAAUGAGCACCAUUAAUUUUUUUUUUUAAAUAUAUAAAAUUUGCGCACAAUGUUGUCUUAUGUGACAUGUUACCGACCAAAAAUCAUAAACUUGGUCUAUGGUCAUUUUCAUGAGAAAACCUUCACACAUAUGAGCUAUCAUGUACAUGAUUUCAUAGAGUUCAAGGAGAGGAGGUAGUGUUACCUUCUGUUUUUGAAAAAUUAAAAAAAAUCACCAAAGCUUUAUUUUAAAGUGAAUAAGAAGGAUCAAAAGUUAGUUUUCCAUUUUUAUAUUUCAAAACAUGUUUUUAAUAGUUUUUAUAUUAAAGCAUAUGUUUUCAAAAGAAAAUGUAAAAACAUGAAGAUUAAUUCAAAAAAUAGUGAGACUUCGAAUCUACACUAUGGAAUGUGAAUAUGUGUUAAUAAAAAAACAUUUGGCUCAUUUAGAGUAGGUCCAAAAAAACUUGAUUACAAAUAUGAAGAUCGGACGGCACAUUUCUCAAAUUCAAAUUUAUUUGACCUCCUCUAAAUCACUUCAAUUUGUGCACACAUUAUCUCCUACACAAACAUAGAUAUUUUGCCAACGUUUUACUUGUUUUGCAUUUUCUUGAAUUUAUACUGUCCAGGUUUGCCAAGGUUUACAUGAUCUCAUUUGGAGCAUGCAUUUGAUUUCCUACACAACAUGUGUGAUCAUUGCAGCACCUAAAAUCAUAGUUCACAACAUCUAAACAUAACUAAUCAUAGAUUCAAGACAAACAAAUAUACCACAUGCAAAUUUAAGGACAGACAAAUAUAGAUAGCAACCAGAUUACUAGCAUAACCAACGAGAUUCAGUUCAACAAACCGUAACCAACGAGAUUCAGUUCAACAAACCAAAAGUAACCCAACAGAUAAACAUAAAGAUUUAGUUCACAGCAUCACAUCAUCGAUCACAUCACGCCGGAGUCAGGGUCUUCACGAGGGCGUCACACUGCCCCCUGAUUAUGUAGUCCUCCCCGCGAAUCGCUACAUCCUCAGCAUGAGACAGAAGGUGAUCGAAACGGCCAUCCCUUGGCUUUGGCUUGGUGGUGUAGUAGGGGCAGUGCCACUUCUUGAACUUGCGGUUGUAGAAGGAAGCAACUCCCUUUGCCUUGAUCUUCUCCACCUCCUUGGCUGUGAAGGAUGCGACGUUGCCCUUGUACACAUCAUAUCCAGAAUCAUACUGCACACAUGAAUGAAUUGCAUUAAUACAUUAUAGAUUCAUAUACACCAUGCAAAGGAACUAAAUGAACAAGGGAUAGGCUUACCUCAUAUUCAGAAUCGCACUAAAUGUCCCUUCUUACGGGUCCUAGUCGGCCAGCUUCCUCUUGCUCCCCCCCCCCAACCAUCAUCCUCCUGAAUAUACAAUUACAUCCAUCACUAGUAGCCAAUUGAAAAUUUAGAUAUGCACACAUGACACAUUGAUCAUAGGGCUAAUAUACUCCCAAUAUCAGAAAUGUUUUAGAAGGGUUUUUUAUUUAUUUCUGUGCCCCUUAGCUCUAUGCAUUCAAAAACCACAUCCAUCACUAGUAUAUCAAUGUAUUAGAUUUGUACACACAUUGAUCAAAAACCCGAAUAUGAUAGUCAAAUAAAACAUUGAUCAUUGGUCAUGCACACACAUUGAAGAACAGAGCUAAUAUAACUACAUAUUGUGGACAAAUUUAUAUACUAAUGAAUCAAAUAACUUCUUAAUCAAUGGAUUCCAUUUGGGCAUAUGACAUUCAAAACCCCAAUCUGAGUAGCAUUCAAAAACAAAUCUAAUAGGGACCCAAUCUAAGGCAACGAAUCCGAGUAGCAUUAAAAACCCCAAUCUGUGAGCACUAAAAACAAAUCUAAUAAGCAUCACAGCAUUAAAAACCCCAAUCUGUUCACAACAUCUAGCAUUUUUGCAACGAAUUAAUCCAAAUCUAAAAACCCCAAUAAUUGCAGCACCUAAAAUCAUAGUUCACAACAUCUAGCUAUCAUUUUUGCAACGAAUUUAUCCAACAAACCCUAGUCCAAAAACCCCCAUCCCUGCAACCCAUACAAAAAAUCCCGGCCCAUCCAUCAAACCAACUACUCUAACCCUCUGAACUACCCUAUGAAUCACAAUCUAACCAAUGCAACUAGGGAGCAACUAACUCUACAAGCUAAGAAAGUACAAAUACCUGCUCCUCCACGGCAGGCGGCGCAACGGGGGUAUCGGGAUGGACUAUGCCGCUCGACACCGUCACCUUCGGCAGCGAUGAGGCGGGGCCCGACACAUCCGCAGUGGUUGCGAGUUUCCCCGCACCGUUGUUGACGUUGCCGACAACCUCGGUCACCGCGCCCUGACCCUGUAGCUCCACCACAUCUUCGGCCGCUGCGCCGGCGUCGCUGCGAGCGCCGGCCAUCUCACAGAUGGACGUGAUGAAGGUUAGGAAGAGGAUGCGGUGGGGGUGGAGGCAGUGGAGGAGAGCGAGACGACGCCGGUGGGGGAGAGGAAGACGAUGCGAUAGGGAGGGGAUUUGGGGGAAAAUGGUAUGGGCGAUGGAGGUGGUUGCCCCUCUUUAUAUGAUGGGACAUUUCAGGCAAGUCCAUGGACAUGUGCUACCCCACGACCGCGGUCUUGCAUGCGCCCAUGUAUACGCGGCCCCACUCGUUAGCUAACGGUCAAAGGCACUGACCCGACGACAACGUCCGUUAUAACCUAUUCUGAUGGUGUCGGGCAAGGGAGUGGGGAAAAGUGCGCAAAAGUUAACAGAGUGGGGAUGAAUGAGUAGAGCUAAGGAACCAGGGGCACAGAAAUAAAAAUCACAUAUCUAAAUUGGAGAGCAUGUUGUCUGCAAUCCACACAUGAACGGAGAUAUGCGUAUAUCAAACAAGUUCAUUAAUUUGACUUUCAACAUGUUCAUGGAGUACUAUAAUACUGUACAACAUGCUACUCAAUUGAGGUGUUCAAUUUUGGAUUUAGUUCACUAUUUUGACCUGGUGAAUGAGCUAUUUCAUUGAAUCGAGAUAUUUCAUUUUGGGUUUGAUUCCCGUUUUUGAGUGGGUCAACUAUUUGUCAUAUAGUAGAUCGUUAGCAACCAGCAUGUAAAAACACAUUACUCCCGAGCAUCAUCUCCCCAUCUAAAAAAGACGUGGCAAGCUAAUAUUUCAAAAUUUGAUUCGAAUCGACUUCGUAAGGUAGACGUGGAUGCUCGUUCUCCGAAAAUUUCAACGAACCGUUAAACACCCUCUGCUCGGUGGAAUUCGCUCGAGCAAAUAAAUGGGAGACGUGAACUUACCGGCCUAUGUGGAACACGCAUCAAUUGGCCCGUUGUACAUCGAGGGUAGGUUCGUAACUUCAUCCAAGCGCGCCUUCUCCUCGGCCGAAAUGACAUGUGCCGAAUAAUUCAUAAACCAUGGUCUGCAAAACACCCUCUCCUCGCCCGAAAUAGCUCGCGCCCAUUAUUUCAAAACACGCUCUCCCUUCCCGAAAUCGCUCGCGCCCACUAUAUUUCAAAACACGCCCUCCUCGCCCUAAAUCGCUCGCGCCCACUAUAUUUCAAAACACGCCCUCCUCGCCCGAAAUUGCUCGCGCCCACUAUUUGGGAGAAGCAAAGUUACUCUACUAUCCCCGACCCUCAGUACACAGACCCAAGCCGAGAAGCCUAAAGGCAGGGGUAGAACUGUAACCUCCCCCCCCACAUUUCAGACAAAUGUGUAUGUAAGACCUGGUUCCCCCUCCCAAUUCCCCAUUCAUACCUCAUGGGCGCCAAAUCACCUUCUCCCCAGAAGCUCCCUUCUCCCGAGCCGCGAAACCUCAGCCCCUCCUCCAUGGCGCCCCCACCGCACAAAAUUCAUAGCCGCCCUCCUCUCUAAUCCCGGAGACGCUAUCCAUUUGCCGUCGUGCACUGGGCCGUGUGCCUCUUACUCCGUGCUGCCGGAGCUGCCUCGACGACAGCCGCGUGAACCGUACCGGAGCCGAUUCACCCCCUCCAUUGUUCACGGCGCCGGAGCGGCUCCAACUUUGGAUCCGUCCCGAGCCCCGACGCUGCUUCCCCGUAGCCGUCGACCAUCAUGACAUCUCUCCUUCCCUGCCGCCGGUAGCCACUGCAACCACGCCGGCCUCACCGACUCGGCAGCUGGAGCUGCCUACUUCACUGGGCCGCCAGAUAGGUUGCACCCUCAUCUCAAAUCACUUUAUUUAGGUGUUGGUUGUCUGAUUUUUUGUUCUGGGCCAAUCGAUUCCCAAUGGGAAGCAGCACGCCUCGAGCCGUCGUAGCUCCUAGGCUGCCGGUUGGCUGGUGUCUAACAUAAGGGUGCGGGGGCGCAAGUUCGCCGCGGAAGCCGCGCUUAGAUGGCUUCUUAGAGUUGCGUGGGUUGUAGGUACUGUCGCCGCCGGAUCUGGAUGAUGGCGAGUCUUUGUGGAUUGGCCCGGGGGCGGCGCAACCACGGCAGUGCGAUGGGGCGGGGAGCGGGGUUUUGGUCGGGGCCACGGACGGCGGAGGUAGGCUGCUCUGCCGAUGGACGCUGGCUCUUCGGGGAAGAUUCCGAACAGUGUCAGCCGGGAGGCACAAGACGGCCAUCAAGCCAUCCGACGUAGACCAGACGGUACCAAAAUAAAAUAAAAUCGUGUGACCCCAAUUUAGUCUUCAGUCGACAGACGUGUGACCACUCUCAUACCUUGUUGUUGAUCUCUUAGGGUAUUUCGUCAGAUCAGAGAGAUGUGUAGUUCUUAACAUUAUGCGUUUUCUGCAUCUUCAGCCACACCGUCUUCCGACUAACCGCAGCUGCUCCAACAAGGGAAGCAUACACCAGAAGGAAGAUAUAGUCCCCGCUCAAUAGUUCCCUGCAUCAAAUGUGCGUGCCCGACAUGGACAGCCACAACAACUGCAGGGCCAUCGACAAGUCAGCACAUGAUGCUCUCUCCUAUGGAUGGCGGCGAGAUAGGUGGUACCCUCAUCUUACUUGUGUCCAACAUUUAUGGCUUUGUUAUUCAUCCAAGCAUAGAAAAUAGAUUAUCACAUUUCACUGUAUAUUCAUGCUGAUCUCUUACCGGUCUUGUUCAGGAGUUAACGUUGUUCCAUAGUUCAGCUAAGACACUUGUUCUUUAGGUAACGUUGUUCCAUAGUUAUCAUCCAUUAGCCAAUGCUAUCCCACAGGCUGGUGAUUAUAGUAUUAUACCACUUCUAGUAUAACCUAUGUUGUUCUUUAAUACUUUUGUGUGCCAUCUCUAGUUAACCUCGACUACAAAAGAUACAUAUUAUGUAGCUUUCAUCUGUGUUCUCCCUUUAGUUUUUGAGACCUGUUCCUGCUAGUUAACCCCAGUCCUACUAUUUAUGUCAUCUCCUACAGGCACUCAUUGCAUAAAUCUAACUACUAGUUGUCUUCCAUGCAUGUCAGAUAUAAUUGCACACACUGAUUUAUCCACAAGAACCUCACGGAGCAAUGUAACGGCUAACAAACUUGACGUCAAUGAUACCCAAUAUGACGGAACAUGUAAAGGCAGUUCUUCACAAGACUUGCAGAAAGAUGAUGAAUCCUAUUCACCCCACAAGGUCCUUGCUCUAACUUGGCACUUGAUAUGGGUACAACAUGCAUAUUAUGUCCUGGAAUGCAUCUGCUCUAUUGCAAUGCCUUGUGCUUAGCCUUCUGAUCAUGCAUGUAAAUAUGGCAUGCCAUCCUGUUUUUCAGUACCUAUUCCAUUCAUGAUAACAUGUUUUCAAAUUCAAGUACUGUCAUCCUACUCUAUCGCAAUGCCAUCUGCUUAGUUUGGACAUCAUCCUUCUCAAUAUCUUAUGCAUUGUUAUUCAUCAGUAUGUACUUCAUCUGUCUACCAUACCAUGUUCUUUUUUUUACAUUGAAGUGUUGUUCUAGUGGUCUCUUGCAAUGCCAUCUUAGUUUCCCAAUCAUACACGCAUAUGUUGCCUUAGUGUUUUUCUGUAUGUAUUCCGCUAGCAUACAGUUUUACAUUCAAGUAGUGUUUUUUUACACUAUUGUCCUGUCGUAUCCCUAACUCUUACAUCAUACUCCCUCCGUCCGGAUUACAUGUUGCAGAAAUGGAUAAAACUGGAUGUAUCUAGAACUGAAAUAUGCCUAGACACAUCCAUUUAUUUCCGGAUGGAGGGAAUACAUGUCAAUAUGUCAUGCCUUUCUAUUCUUCAAUACCUAUUCCAUCUCUUCUGUAGCAUGUUUUAUAAUUGAAGUACCAUUCUUCUAUAUAAGGCAUGCAAGGGGAAGACGACUAUGUUAGAAUCUGAAGGGUUACGAACCAGGUCUUUGCAAAAGAUCCAAACGCCAAGAGAUAAUAAACCUACUCCAGUUUUCGUAGAUACUGCUCCAGCACAGAGAAACCCAACUCCCACUGAUAAUAAGUAGAUUCCAGUGGCCAAAGAACUAGUCCGCUCCGGUCCAGCAAAAAUAUGUCAACUCCAUUCUAAGAAGCGCGCGCGUAUCCUUGCAUCAUAAAAUUUUAUAGCAUUCUGAUCAUAUUUUCUACAUGUUUCUUACCCAUCUCUCUUUUAGAAAAUAAGGUUAAACGAUAGAAGACGUCCUCCAUUGGGAUCGUAUUCGAGGAAAGUAUCUUCUGGGAAUUCUCUAUGCUGCAAUGCUGAUGUAAGUACCUGUUGUAUAUCACUAUAUUUUUACAUCAGCAUUUAUUUUGUUAAUCGGCGUGAAUCCAAUCUGAUCUAAAAUUAGUUGUAGCAAAAUGUUAAAGGCGACAAUGUUGAUUUUUGUAAGGAAAACUGCCUAGUAGUUUUGCAUACUGAGCUGCAUGAGUGUACUAUCUCAUAUCAUGCACAUUACUGAAUUGUUGUGCAGCUCUGGUUGCCCAUGCUUUCAUUGUGUCAGUGUUGCUUUCGUAUUACCUUACCUGGCUGAUGAUAGGUGUGCCAUAUUGUGUUAAUUUGGUGUAGGCUGGUGUGGUCUGGUUGCCCAAACGUUCGUUGUGUCAAUGUUGCUUUCUAUUAUUUGACCUGGCCAAUGAUAGCAAUGCUAGUGUGUUAAUUUGGUGCAGGCUACUAAAGAUAAGAAGACAAACUCUGAAAACAGCAAGGCAACCCCAUUGUUUCUUUCCAGUAAAUCUAGGCCAUGUAAUGUGGCAAUAACUCUUGAUUAACCUGUUCGGUUCCCCUCCUAACUUAUGUUAUGAUGCAGUGGUCGAGACACUCUCCACUAUCAAUAAUACAAGCCUGCCAAAAUCGCCAUCUGAAUCUGUUCAGUUUCCUCUGUCUCGAAUGCAACGGAAAAAAUGUAUGUUUGUGAACCAAUUAAUGGUUGAAGCAAUGAUGGAAAUGGUGGAGGAAUCAGAGGUGCAUAUUCGUGCGCAACAACAACUGAUCAAUGUUUUUAGGGACAGUGUAGCAAAGCAGCAAGAACUUGCCCACAUGCUUAUGGGCGUCAUCCGCGCUGAGGUUGCACAUUGUGACGUUGUAGAUCAUUAGGUUCUGUUCAUUUAUUUGCACUGGCAUCAAUCUUGGAUUGCCCAAUGGAUGUAAUUUCCUGUAAUAUAUGCUGGAUGUGCAACGUUUUGCCCUGUAUGCCGUACCUUUGCUUGAUCAGCUUUGGUUCUGUGCAUAAUUGCUUGUCGUAAUGGACUCAAAUUAUCUAAUUGGGCCUAAAGACAUGUACGAACUUUAAUGGGCCCAUUAAGUUAAUGGGCCAUUACCAGGCCGAAAGUUAAUGGUCGGCCCUCUUACCUCCCGGGUUGUUAAUAGGCCAACAUCAAAGCGGGCAACAGGCGGGCCCAUUUGAUUUCACGGGCCGUUAACAGGCCGAUACCAGGUCGGGCUACAUAUGGCCCAACUAUACUGUGGGCCUUUAGCAGGCCGAAAGAGACAGCGGGCUCGUACUGGACCAUCAAGAGCAUGGGCCGCGAAGAGGCCGAAAGUCAGGUCGUACUAUAAAUGUCCCAACUGUGUUGUGGGCCUUUAGCAGGCGAAAGAGAAACUGGGCUGGUAUUGGACCAUGAAGAGCAUGGGCCGUUAAAAGGCCAAAACUCAGGUCCGACUGCAAAUGGCCCAACUCACUUAUGGACCGUCAACAGGCUGAAAGACACACCGGGCCUGAAAUUGGCCCAACACUUGAAAAUUGGCCCAUCCCUUGAACGGGCCGUUAACAGGCCAAAACCACAUCGGGCCAAUAUUGAGCCCAAAUAUAUAGCGGGAUGUUAACGGGCUCGAACUGACAAUGGGCUGCAAUGGUGUCAAAUCAUUAACGGACCGUUGACGGACCGAAUUGGCACAUCUCGUAUGGGCCGUGGGCUUAAAUGGACCUGACACAAGUAGGCCUUAUAUGGGCCGGCCUGCUAAUUCUUACUGGGUAGGCCUUUUUCACCGGAAUGGGCCACUUUUGGGCGUGUCGAUCUAUCAUAGGCGCCUCUUGUCCAAUAGACGGACGACAUCUGGCCCACCGAGGAGCCGACACAUGUUUCCUCCGACCAAUGAGAAUUUUACACGUGGAAAAUCCCCAUUGGUCCGGGCGGUUAACGGGUUAUCGGAUCCAAAACCGGACCCAAUAGCUUAAUGGUGACCCGUUACGGUUGAUGCCACAUGUCGAUGACCCUUGACGAAAGCACUUCUAUGACGCGUGAUUUAUCGUCAUGGAAGUGGACACUUCCGUGAUGAUAAUUUUGGUAAUGUCAUGGAACACCUCUCUGACAGCACAGGUAUGACUAUCUUGAUUCUGUCAUAAAAUCGUCAUGGAUGUACUUGCAUGACAGAAAAUGUGACCUACUGUGACAAACACGUAUCAUCACGGAAGUGUAUUUUUUUGUAGUGAAGGGUUGCCAAAGUGUAGGGGUUCGGUGACCGCAACCAAGGGUUGCCAUUUGUACGGGUUCGGUGACCGCCCUCAAGGGCCCCUUAGUGGAAUCACGACAUCUUGCAUUGUGGGAGGGCGUCAGGAGAUUAUGGUGGACCUAGUGGCUUCUUGGGGAGCAUUGUGCCUCCAUACCGCUCCAAAUGAAGAUUAGCAUCCACAAGGGUGUGAACUUCGGGAUACAUCAUCGUCUCCGCGUGCCUCGGUUAUCUCUUACCCGAGCCCUUUACUUAUGCACUUUACUUUGUGAUAGCCAUAGUUUUUCAUGAUAUAUAUAUCUUGUUAUCACUUAGUUGUUCUCUUCCUUAGCAUAAGUUGUUGGUGCUCAUAGGUGAGCCUAGUUGCUUUAGGUUUGUUCUUGAAAAAUUAAACACUUGUUUUAUUCCGCAUUUGUUCAAGCCUAAACCAUAAUUAUUUUAUAGCACCUAUUCACCCCCCACUAGGCGACAUCCACGAUCUUUCAAAUGUAGUCUGCUGGAACAUCAUAGGCCAUCAUGCGCAAAGCGGCAGGGAGCUUAUGUUCGGUGCUACAUCCAAGCAACCUGGCACAAUUCCUCCUCUGCUCGAAUGAUCGAUCAUGCUACUUCACAGAAUUGCAAAUGUGGAUGAACAAGUCUUUGGAUGGACAUUCUGAACCGGCAUGGGAAGGACCUCUCUGGAAAAACAGGAGGUGAACCAAAAUAGUUCUGCAUCAACUGCUGGGAAUCGUAGCAUAAUUUAAAAUUUUCCUACGCUCACCAAGAUGCAUCUAUGGAGUCUACUAGCAACGAGGGGAAAGGAGUGCAUCUACAUACCCUUGUAGAUCGCGAGCGGAAGCGUUCCAAUGAACGUGGAUGACGGAGUCGUACUCGCCGUGAUCCAAAUCACCGAUGACCGAGUGCCGAACGGACGGCACCUCCGCGUUCAACACACGUACGGUGCAGCGACGUCUCCUCCUUCUUGAUCCAGCAAGGGGGAAGGAGAGGUUGAUGGAGAUCCAACAGCACGACGCCGUGGUGGUGGAUGUAGCGGGUCUCCGGCAGGGCUUCGCCGAGCUUCUGCGAGAGAGAGAGAGGUGUUGCAGGGGAGGAGGGAGGCGCCCAAGGCUGUCGGUUGCUGCCCUCCCUCCCCCCCUUUAUAUAGGCCCCCUGGGGGGGCGCCGGCCCAGGGAGAUGGGAUCUCCAAGGGGGGGCGGCGGCCAAAGGGGGGGAAGGGGUGCCUUGCCCCCCAAGGCAAGGGGGAAGCUCCCCCCCUUAGGGUUCCCAACCCUAGGCGCAUGGGGGGAGGCCCAAGGGGGCGCCCCAUCCCACUAAGGGCUGGUUCCCUUCCACUUUCAGCCCAUGGGGCCCUCCGGGAUAGGUGGCCCCACCCGGUGGACCCCCGGGACCCUUCCGGUGGUCCCGGUACAAUACCGGUAACCCCCGAAACUUUCCCGGUGGCCGAAACUGGACUUCCUAUAUAUAAUUCUUCACCUCCGGACCAUUCCGAAACCUCUCGUGACGUCCGGGAUCUCAUCCGGGACUCCGAACAACUUUCGGCUUUCCGCAUACAUAUAUCUCUACAACCCUAGCGUCACCGAACCUUAAGUGUGUAGACCCUACGGGUUCGGGAGACAUGCAGACAUGACCGAGACGCCUCUCCGGUCAAUAACCAACAGUGGGAUCUGGAUACCCAUGUUGGCUCCCACAUGUUCCACGAUGAUCUCAUCGGAUGAACCAUGGUGUCGAGGAUUCCAUCAAUCCCGUAUGCAAUUCCCUUUGUCAAUCGGUAUGUUACUUGCCCGAGAUUCGAUCGUCGGUAUCCCAAUACCUUGUUCAAUCUCGUUACCGGCAAGUCUCUUUACUCGUACCGCAAUGCAUGAUCCCGUGACUAACGCCUUAGUCACAUUGAGCUCAUUAUGAUGAUGCAUUACCGAGUGGGCCCAGAGAUACCUCUCCGUCACACGGAGUGACAAAUCCCAGUCUCGAUCCGUGCCAACCCAACAGACACUUUCGGAGAUACCCGUAGUGCACCUUUAUAGUCACCCAGUUACGUUGUGACGUUUGGCACACCCAAAGCACUCCUACGGUAUCCGGGAGUUGCACGAUCUCAUGGUCUAAGGAAAAGAUACUUGACAUUGGAAAAGCUCUAGCAAACGAAACUACACGAUCUUUUAUGUUAUGCUUAGGAUUGGGUCUUGUCCAUCACAUCAUUCUCCUAAUGAUGUGAUCCCGUUAUCAAUGACAUCCAAUGUCCAUAGUCAGGAAACCAUGACUAUCUGUUGAUCAACGAGCUAGUCAACUAGAGGCUUACUAGGGACAUAUUCUGGUCUAUGUAUUCACACAUGUAUUACGAUUUCCGGGCAAUACAAUUAUAGCAUGAACAAUAGACUAUUAUCAUGAAUAAAGAAAUAUAAUAAUAACCAUUUAUUAUUGCCUCUAGGGCAUAUUUCCAACAUCAACCUCUUGUGCGCCUCAAAUCAUUCUCUCCGAAUGAACGCAAGGCCAUACACGGAACCGCCGUGCUUCGGCUUCGUUUUCUUGUGUAUCGCCACUAGCAUAGCAAUGUCCUCUUCUUCGUUCAAAUGUAAUUCCUCAUCUGACGAGCAAACGUCCAUGAAAGAGGAGUCACACGAGCUCAUCUACAAUGUGGACAAUCAUCGUCAAACUACCUCUCCAACCCUAACAAGAAAACCGUUAAGUUCGAUAUAUUUUUACCUUGGGGAAUUUCAUCGAACACCUUGCUUGUGGGUAGUCGAAAUCGACCGGCUAUGGGCUGGGAGCCGUUCGGCGAUGGCGGGUGCGGGUGGCGGCGACGGCUCGACGGAGGAGAUGGCUACAGCUCAGCAGAGAAGACGGCGGGAGCUCGGCCUGCGGGCGGCCGACUUCCGCGGCCGGACGAACAACCGAGUCGGGUGCCUGUCGGGCGAGCGACGUCUCCCCUACCUCUGGCCGGCUAUCUUGGCUAGGUAGAAGCCUAGCCUAUCGAUGACCUCGCUGUGGAAGGCAUUAAGCCAACCGGACUGCCAGAGAAGCUUUGAUUCGAGGAAGGUGGCCGAAAAGGAAUCGAUGGUUGUGGGCGGCAGCCCGCGGUACUACGGCGAGGCAGGUGGCGGGGAGCGACGGGGCAAAGUCGCGGCAAGGCUGGCAGCCAUUGGCCGGGCAGCGACGGCGUCGAUUUUGGGCGAAAUCGGUCGGCGACGGAGUUGGGCAGGUGGCGGGCGGUCGCGCGGAAGCGGGGGAAAGGCAGUUGGGCGGUUGGUGUUCGGUUGGCAACUUUACAUCUCCUGUAGGUGGAGAUGUAUAUUUGCAUCACGAAGUGUUGUAUUUUACAUCUCCGGGAGGCGGAGAUGUAUUUGUUUUUUGCGUCUACAUCAUCGGUUGGAGAGGUGUUUUUGGGCUCUGGAGAUGCAAAAGUUAGGUAUUUUACAUUACAUCUUAUCUUGGAGAUGCUCUUACAUGUCCACUUACCAGUCUGGACGGACGGAUUUCGGUAUCUUAGCAACAAACGUGGGGGCUUUGCGGGAGUCCGGACAUGCACUUGAUCAACACAAAGCCUCUGCGUGGUUCACCUCUCUUUUCUCUCUCUUCACAUACAUGGUCUCCCUCUCCUCUCUCUCCUCCCAACCGGACACCACAACAGAAUUUCGCACCACAUUCAUGGUCCCCCUCUACUCUCUCUCCUUCCAACCUUAAUUUGUGAGUAGCGUUGGAUAGAUCUCUCCCGCAUCAUAUCCGUGGACCACGUCCAGACAUAAAAACGGACAUUUGCGGCGCCCAUUUGCUGGUCAGCGUUGGAGAUGCCCAUCUAUGUUUUAUCCUUUUGUUUUUGUAUCAUUCUCUUGCAGACCCCAAAUUUAAAAUCUGAGCUCUUCUUUAUGUAAUCCUCCACCACUAGUACAAAAAGGGUCAUCUGUCCCGGUUGGUAAGGGCCUUUUGUCCCGGUGGUUGAACCGGGACUAAAGGGUCGUUACUAAUGCCCUAGCCCUUUAGUCCCGGUUCUUACACGAACCGGGACAGAUGGGCCUCCACGUGGCCGGUGCGGCAAGCCCAGGCAGGAGGACCUUUGGUCAGGGGCUGGGGUUUUUGUUUUUUUUAAAGGGGGGGGGUUGGGGGUUUUGGGGGGUUAAUUUAGGUGUUUCAUAUAUUGUGUUAGCUAGCUAAUUAAUAGAGAAAAGUGUCCUCUCUUAUCUCCGUGCUUGGUCGACGCUACGUACUAUAUACGUAUAGAGAGGACUACACGCUAGCUAGUAAGCAAAUGAAGGAAACAGAAGAUCGUCAUGAACAUAUGCAUACACAGAGAAGUGAUAUCGACCACCUCUCCUUCUCCGAGAGCUUGGUCGAACAACAAGUUCUCAUAUAUCUAUCCGACUCUACCGGCUACAUAUAUACAAUAAUUAUCUCUUACAAUAUAAUCUCCUAAUUAUAUAUGAACACAGGGUCCACAUAGUAUCCUCCGUUUUCAGCGAUCACGUGUUCAAGGAAGAAUGCCGCCAAUUCCUCUUGAAAUGCUCGCAUACGAUCUGGUGGUAGGAGUUCAUCCCGCAUCCGAAAGAUCUAAUUUGAAGAAGGGGGUCAAUACAUAUAUAUAUAUAUAUAUAUAUAUAUAUAUAUAUAUAUAUAUAUAUGAAUAAAUGAAACUCAACACAAAUGAUGGUAAUAAAAUAAAAUUGUGAAUAUUAUUGCUUACGCACUUCAUAUUGUUCGUCAGAGUAGCCCCGCUCACAGGUCGUGUGGCGGAUGGACUCGCAAACGUAGUAUCCACAGGAAUCAUUCCCUUGUUCCUGCCACAACCACUUUACAAGAAAUAGAGGUCAAUCAAACUGAUAAGCAAGCAUGCUAAAUUUAGACAUCCGAAACUGAUAAGCAAGCAUGCUAGUAGUACUUACUUUCGGGUGUCUAAAUUGCAGCUUCUUCGGCAUUCCCGGAGCUUUUUUGGUGAAUUUUCUCCAAACCCCGCCAGACAAAGAAAACAAUUACUUGAUAUCAGGAAAUGAACAAAGUUGCUGAUAUGGUGGAUAAUGAUCGAUUUAACUUACUUCUCGAGCAUUUGAGUCAUGUCCGCAUAGUCCUGGGGAUCUUUUCGUCUCGAGUCUAAGACGGUUACUACUCCCUGCUCAAGCUUAAUCUCUAGGAGAAUAUGGUGGAAGCUGCGCACGCAUGCAUAAGUCAUCAAUUACAUUACUAUAACCUGGACUAAUAAGGGAAACCGAAUAUGCACAAGACAGUAACACUCACUUGAAGUUGUAAGGAAAGAGUAUUAUAUCUUUGUUUUCAUUUAUUACCAACGAUCGUAGCAAGUUGGCCUCGGUAUUUUCGGCAUGAUAUUUAACCUCAGUUGCAUCUAUGAGAUUUGUGUUAAUGAACCCAAUAUCACCGAUUUGUCUUUUCUUCAAUUCAGCGAUCUUCAAUCUGCAUAAUAUAGUAAGGAUAAUUAUAAAUACAUGCAAUGAAAGAGCUGUCCUAUAUAGAGAGACUUAAUGACAGAACUAGUACUACUUACAGAUAGUAGCAAGUGAUCGUUGAUUUAGCGAGGGCCUUUUGAUUGAAAAACUGGAAGAACUCCUCAAAUGGAACAUUCAACAGUUCAAUUCCAACGAGGUCAUGCUCCUCUUUAACUCUCAGCGUCAAAGUAUUCCUCCCCCCACACUCUCUGCAGGUUUUCAUGUACCAAUCAUGUAAUCUUCGCAUCAUCGUUGUUAGAUAUCUUUCAUCUUUGACGAGAGGCUUCCCGUAAUGGUAUUUGUGUUCGUCCACCUCCAAGAAAUCAUAAUGUACAUCGUCGGGCACGUAAUCUCCAAGAUUGCUAUAACCGGGCACCAUCCUCGGAUCAUUAGCGACGAUGUCGCUAGACACCUUGAGCGGGGGGCACGAUUGGUUCGCUUGUUCGCUGAGCUGGGCAAUUUUUUUCCCAGCUCGUCGUUCUUUUAACCUAUGAUCACUGACAGUACUUCCCGACUGCUCCGCUUCGACAAAUGUCUUUGCAAUAAUGCGCUCAUAGUUGCCUUUCGGCGGAGACUUUGGUGGUUUUGUCAGGGCAGCCAGAGUGCGCUUCGCUUUCACCGGAUCUACCUUCUCCUCCGGAGGUGGAUGUUUCUUUGCUUUCACCCCUUCAAAGAAGUUCGUCACUUCGGCUCGCACGAUCUUCGUGGGUUCCUCCUUGGUCCUCUCAUAUGGUAACUUCUCUGGAGUCUUCAGAGAAGGACCAAAUCUGUAUUGCCUCCCGCCUCUGGCUGUACUGCUAGACGCCGGCAGAGCAGACGGAGCGGCUGCAGCUGUCUUCUUUCCUUGCUUACGAGGCGGAGGAGAAGUAUUACGACGCGCCGGAGCAGCCGGAGUGGCGGCGGGUCUCUUCCGCCCUUGCUGACGAGGCGGAGAAGGAGGAGGCUGGCUGCUCGGGCGCGCCGGCACAGGCGGAGAAGGAGGCGGACUGCCGCCACGCGCCGGAGAAGGAGGCUGAGUGCCCUGAUCACUCCCCGGAGGAGGAGCCGGAGUGCCGCCACGCGCCGGAGAAGGAGGCUGAGUGCCCUGAUCGCUCGCCGGAGGAGGAGGCGGAGUGCCCUUACUCACCGGAGGAGGAGGAGGAGGCGGAGGCGUCCAGUUCGGAAGGUUGAUGAGCUCCUUCCGCCAUAGGCAUGGAGUCUUCAGAGCAGAACCCAGCCGAGUCUCCCCUUCACCGGUAGGGUGGUCAAGCUGGAGGUCCUCAAAUCCCUCUGUUAUUUCGUCCACCAUCACCCUAGCAUAUCCUUCUGGAAUCGGACGACAAUGAAAAGUUGCGCCGGGUUCAGGAGGUCGAACAGAGCCGACAGCCGCCUUGACUGUGAAGUUCUGCCAUUGCGUCAUAAGGUGGCAAUGUUGAGACUCCGUGAUAGCAUCCACGGGGUAGCUAGCAGGAGUCGUCAAGACAUGCUCCGGCUGAAGCAGCUCGGUGGAAGCCACGCUGCUUCUCCGUUGAGAUGGCGGGGUAGCUUCGGGGGUAGUUUCGGCAGGUCGCUUGCUGCGAGCUACGUCUCGUUCCUCUAGUGCUUGAACCCUUUCGUGCAGCUUCUGAAUUUGGGUCUGCUCCAUGUUUUUCCUCCUCUCCUGGCAUUUGUAACCGCCUGCGUCCGGAAAACCAGCCUUCCACGGAACGGAGCCUGGCGUGCCUCGUGUCCGUCCAGGGUGCUCAGGAUUCCCGAGGGCCAUUGUGAGCUCGUCGUUCUCUCUAUCUGGAACGAACGUCCCUUGCUGCGCCACAUCGAUAUAGUGCUGAAGCCUCUUGACUGGUAUUCUCAAAAGCUCGUCCGUCCAAACGCACUUCCCUGAUACAGGGUCCAAGGUUCCGCCAGCCCCGAAGAACCAAGUCCGGCAACGGUCUGGCCAGUUCAUUGUCUCUGGUUCGAUCCCUUUAUCAAGCAGAUCAUUCUCAGCCUUGGCCCACUUAGGCCGGGCUUUGAGGUAGCCACCUGACCCCGUGCGAUGGUGAAGCUUCUUCUUCGCAGCAUUUUUCUUGUUUGUCGCUGACAACUUCUUACUCUUUUCCGAUGUCUUGUGGGCCACAAAUGUGGGCCAGUGAUCUCUGAUCUUCUCAUAUUUGCCGAUGAAUUCUGGUGUCUCUCCUAUGUCGACAAACGUUUUUAGCUCAUUCUUCCACCUCCUGAAUAGGUCUGCCAUCUUCUUAAGAGCAUGGGACUUGAUUAAUUGCUCUUUAACUGGCUUCUCCGGAUCCUCCUCUGGCGGUAGGGUGAAAUUUGCCUUCAGCUCAGUCCAAAGAUCAUCUUUCUGCAUAUCAUUGACAUAAGACACCUCAGGGUCUUCCUUCUUAGGCUUAUACCAUUGGUGGAUGCUGAUCGGGAUCUUGUCCCUAACAAGAACCCCGCACUGAGCAGCAAAUGCUUCCUUUGUCCGGAUGGUUUCAAUCGGUUGGCCGUCGCGCGCGAUUGCUGUGAUCUCAAACCUUUCAUCCGAGCGCAACUUUCUCUUUGGGCCUCGUCUCUUUACCGAAGUUGUGCUCGAUCCGGAGGGCUAGAAAAAAGAAGAAAGACGAGAGUUAAUUAAUAUGUGUACAUACCAAAACAAUGAAUGCAUCAAUUAGCUAGUCAGCACAGGCUUAACUAAUAUAUUUACCUGGCCGGACUCUGUUCGUUCACCGGAGCCGUCACCACGGGCUCCUUCUUGCACCAGCAUUGGGUCACCGGAGCCAUCAUAAUCAUGUCUUUCCUCCUCCACUCUUCGAUCACCGUAGCCUGCUUCUUCACCCUAUUCUUCCAGACCAUCAUUGUCGUUAAGAUACGACAAGACAUCACCUCCGGUUAAGAUUAUGUCCCGCAACACCUCUUCUGCUUCCUCGUCUCGUCCGUGCUCCAUUGUUUCUGCAAAUAUUACACAAACAUGACAGCAUGUGCAUAUAUUAGUGCAAAUGUAGACCUAGCUUAUUUCGGGUUUGGGGUGGCCUCGGCAACGCUUCAAGGGUAGGGGCGCGGCGGGAGGGGGUAGGAGACCGACAUCGUUUUUUUCUUGGGUUUGGUUGUCCUCGAGAGUUUUGGUCGAGCGAGAGGGCCGGGGGGUGCUCCCGUGGUAUAAGUUAUCACGGUCAAAGUUAUCCGGGAGGGGGUUAUACCGACAACGACGACAUACAUACAUGGGAAAAUAAUGUUNNNNNNNNNNNNNNNNNNNNNNNNNNNNNNNNNNNNNNNNNNNNNNNNNNNNNNNNNNNNNNNNNNNNNNNNNAAGUUAUCGGGACACGGGGUAUAUCGACAACGACAUAUCCGAUAAAAAAUAAGAAGACGAAGAAGAAAUAAAAAGAGGAGAAGAAGAUAUUAAUAGAGGAGAAGAUUGAACAAAAACAAGAAGAAAAAAAGAGGAGAAGAAGAAAGGAAUAGAGGAGAUGAAGAGAAAAUAGAAUAUUCUAUUUUCUCUUCUUCUCCUCUUCUUUUUCUUCUUUUUUCUUCUUCUUAUUUAUUUCUCAUCUUCUUCCUCUCCUCUUCUUCUCCUUUCUUCUUCUUCUUAUUUUCCUUUCUCCUCUCAUUCUUUUUCUUCUUCUUCCUUUCCUAGCUAGAUAUAUAAAACUUUUCUAAAAAUGUAACUUUUGCAUAUAUAAAUUUUUUUCUUCUUCCUUCUUCUUCCUUCUAUUCCUUCUUCCUAAAUAUGUAAAACUUUUCUAAAAAUGAAACUAACCUAAAAUGUACUAAAUCAGAGAACAUAUAUAGAUAAAACUUUUCUAAAAAUCUAACUUUUGCAUAUAUGUAUUUUUUAAACAUCAAUACAAUUGAAAAAAACAUACAUACAUACAAAAAACAUGUAAAAAAUACAUACAUACAUAUAUGAACAUACAUAAAAAAAUACAUAUAUCUAUAAAUACAUAUAUGAAAAUCUAAAAACAUUUAAAAAAAUAGCAUGGCGACGGGUCCGGCAGAGGCGCGGUGCUCACAGAGGGAGGAGCGCACGGCGGGCGGCNNNNNNNNNNNNNNNNNNNNNNNNNNNNNNNNNNNNNNNNNNNNNNNNNNNNNNNNNNNNNNNNNNNNNNNNNNNNNNNNNNNNNNNNNNNNNNNNNNNNNNNNNNNNNNNNNNNNNNNNNNNNNNNNNNNNNNNNNNNNNNNNNNNNNNNNNNNNNNNNNNNNNNNNNNNNNNNNNNNNNNNNNNNNNNNNNNNNNNNNNNNNNNNNAAAGGCCUCUUUUCAGCAGCCCAAAGGGUGGGAAGCGGCGGCCUUUGGUCCCGGUUGGUGGCACCAACCGGGACUAAAGGGGGGCAUUGGUACCGGUUAGUGCCACUAACCGGUACCAAGGCCUUGUGCUGCUGCGCCAGCGUCGAAGGUUUAGUCCCACCUCGCUAGUUGCUAACAGUGGUUUAUAAACCCCACUGUCGCUCCCCUCUCAAGCUCCUCUCCAUUGCAGGCUUACGGGCCUAAUUGUUACUACUAUGCCUGAUGGGCCUACUGGGCCUUCUGCGGGCCUGAAUCCUGGCCCAUCGAUGGGUUUCUAGUCGUAUUCAGGCCGUGGUGGCCCAGUAGGUGGCAUAUUUUUUAUUUUUUGCCUAUUUUCUGUUUUCUUUUUGCCUUUAUUUAUUUUGUUUUGUUUCUACUUACAACAAAAAACGUAUUUAUUUUAUUUUAUUUUGUUUCUAAUUACUUAUUUAUUUUACUUUGUGAUAAUUCUUUUUGCUAUUAAAGUUUCUAACAAAAAAGUUCUUUAUGAAAAUUCUUUUUGCUUUCAAUGAUUUUGAACAGAAAAUACUUAUUUGUUUUAUUUUGUCUCUACUUAUAUAUUUUAUUAAUGUUUAUAUUAUUUUGUUUCUAAUUACUUAUUUAUUUUAUUUGUUAUUUUUCAUGCACCAUUUUUCAUGCAUUUACUGAUUAUUUUGAGCUAUAAGACCCUAAAAUUGAAAAGCAUUUGAAAUGAACUCUGAAAAGGUUGAAAGUUGGCGUGGUAUCAUCAUUUCAUCCACAUAGCAUGUGCAAGAAAGUUGAGAGGGUUUCGGCAAAAACUGGAUGCACUUCGUGUACAAAACGGACAAUCUCUUUCGAAGUAUCAGGAUUUCAUACGGAAACCCGUCUGUUACAAAGGGAUUUCAUUUUUUAAAACUUAUUUGAACUCCUGACUUUUUGUGUGUUCAAAAUGCACCAUUCAAAGCCACAUCAUCAAUUUUCAACCCUUUGUGACUUCAUUUGUUAUUUUUCAUGCAUUUAUUGAUUAUUUUGAGCUAUAAGACCCUGAUAUUGAAAAGCAUUUCAAAUGAACUCUGAAAAGGUUGAAAGUUGGCAUGGUAUCAUCAUUUCAUCCACAUAGCAUGUGCAAGAAAGUUGAGAGGGUUACGGCAAAAACUGGAUGCACUUCGUGUACAAAACGGACAAUGGUAUCAUACUCGUCUGUUAUAAAGUUGGCAUGGUAUCAUCAUAAUAGUUGCUGGAGAAAGUCUUCACUUUUUCUUCGCUUGUGUCAUUUGCUUAUUGCGCCGUAACCGGAUAAUCUUCAUGUUUAUCAGGAUGCUUGGGUCAGCCUUGACUUUGAAGGGAGGAAUUUCAUGAAACUUUUCAUAAUCUUUAGACAUGUCUGUCUUGCCCUCCACUCCCACGAUAUCCCUUUUUCCUGAAAGAACUAUGUGGCGCUUUGGCUCAUCGUAUGAUGUAUUUGCUUCCUUAUAUUUUCUUUUUCUCGGUUUGGUAGACGUGUCCUUCACAUAGAUAACCUGGGCCACAUCAUUGGCUAGGACGAACGGUUCGUCAGUGUACCCAAGAUUUUUUAGAUCCACUGUUGUCAUUCCGUACUGUGGGUCUACCUGUACCCCGCCUCCUGACAGAUUGACCCAUUUGCACUUAAACAAAGGGACCUUAAAAUCAUGUCCGUAGUCAAGUUCCCAUAUGUCCACUAUGUAACCAUAAUAUGUGUCCUUUCCCCUCUCGGUUGCUGCAUCAAAGCGAACACCGCUGUUUUGGUUGGUGCUCUUUUGAUCUUGGGCGAUCGUGUAAAAUGUAUUCCCGUUUAUCUCGUAUCCUUUGUAAGUCAAUACAGACAAAGAUGAUCCCCUGGACAACGAGUACAGCUCAUCACAAACAGUGUUGUCACCUCUGAGACGUGUUUCCAACCAACUGCUGAAAGUCCUGAUGUGUUCACGUGUAAUCCAGUCGUCGCACUGCUCCGGGUGUUUGGAGCGCAGACUGUUCUUGUGUUCAUCGACAUACGGGGUCACCAAGGUAGAGUUCUGUAGAACUGUGUAGUGUGCUUGAGACCAAGAAUGCCCGUCCCUGCAUAUUAUUGAGUCCGCUCCUAGCGUGCCUUUUCCAGUCAGUCUCCCUUCAUACCGCGAUUUAGGGAGACCUAUCUUCUUAAGGCCAGGAAUGAAGUCAACACAAAACCCAAUGACAUCCUUUGUUUGAUGGCCCAUGGAGAUGCUUCCUUCUGGCCUAUUGCGGUUACGGACAUAUUUCUUUAGGACUCCCAUGAACCUCUCAAAGGGGAACAUAUUGUGUAGGAAUACAGGCCCGAAAAUGACAAUCUCGUCGACUAGAUGAUUUAGGACGUGCGUCAUGAUAUUGAAGAAGGAUGGUGGGAACACCAGCUCGAAACUGACAAGACAUUACGCCACAUCACUCCUUAGCCUUGGUAUGAUUUCUGGAUCGAUGACCUUUUGAGAGAUUGCAUUGAGGAAUGCACAUAGCUUCACAAUGGCUAAUCGGACGUUUUCCGGUAGAAGCCCCCUCAAUGCAACCGAAAGCAGUUGCGUCAUAAUCACGUGGCAGUCAUGAGACUUUAGGUUCUGGAACUUUUUCUCUGGCAUAUUAAUUAUUCCCUUUAUAUUCAACGAGAAGCCAGUCGGGACCUUCAUACUGAGCAGGCAUUCAAAGAAGAUUUCUUUCUCUUCUUUCGUAAGAGCGUAGCUGGCAGGACCUUCAUACUGCUUCGGAGGCAUGCCGUCUUUUUCGUGCAAACGUUGCAGGUCCUCCCGUGCCUCAGGUGUAUCUUUUGUCUUCCCAUACACACCCAAGAAGCCUAGAAGGUUCACGCAAAGGUUCUUCGUCACGUGCAUCACGUCGAUUGAAGAGCGGACCUCCAGGUCUUUCCAGUAGGGUAGGUCCCAAAAUAUAGAUUUCUUCUUCCACAUGGGUGCGUGUCCCUCAGCGUCAUUCGGAACAGCUAGUCCGCCGGGACCCUUUCCAAAGAUUACGUGUAAAUCAUUGACCAUAGCAAGUACGUGAUCACCGGUACGCAUGGCGGGCAUCUUCCGGUGAUCUGCUUCGCCUUUGAAAUGCUUGCCUUUCUUUCGACAUUGAUGGUUGGUCGGAAGAAAUCGACGUUGGCCCAGGUACACAUUCUUCCUGCAUUUGUCCAGGUAUAUACUUUCAGUGUCAUCUAAACAGUAUGUGCAUGCGUGGUAUCCCUUGUUUGUCUGUCCUGAAAGGUUACUGAGAGCGGGCCAAUCGUUGAUGGUUACAAACAGCAAGGCGUGCAGGUUAAAUUCCUCCUGUUUGUGCUCAUCCCACGUAUGUACACCGUUUCCAUUCCACAGCUGUAAAAAUUCUUCAACUAAUGGCCUUAGGUACACAUCAAUCUCGUUGCUGGGUUGCUUAGGGCCUUGGAUGAGAACUGGCAUCAUAAUGAACUUCCGCUUCAUGCACAUCCAAGGAGGAAGGUUAUACAUACAUAGAGUCACGGGCCAGGUGCUGUGAUUGCUGCUCUGCUCCCCGAAAGGAUUAAUGCCAUCCGCGCUUAAACCAAACCAUACGUUCCUUGGGUCACCUGCAAACUCAGCCCAGUACUUUCUCUCGAUUUUUCUCCACUGCGACCUGUCAGCGGGUGCUCUCAACUUCCCGUCUUUCUUACGGUCCUCACUGUGCCAUCGCAUCAACUUGGCAUGCUCUUCGUUUCCGAACAGACGUUUCAACCGUGGUAUUAUAGGAGCAUACCACAUCACCUUCGCAGGAACCCUCUUCCUGGGGGGCUUGCCGUCAACAUCACCAGGGUCAUCUCGUCUGAUCUUAUACCGCAAUGCACCGCAUACUGGGCAUGCGUUCAGAUCCUUGUACGCACCGCGGUAGAGGAUGCAGUCAUUAGGGCAUGCAUGUAUCUUCUGCACCUCCAAUCCUAGAGGGCAUACGACCUUCUUUGUUGCGUAUGUACUAUCGGGCAAUUCGUUAUCCUUUGGAAGCUUCUUCUUCAAUAUUUUCAAUAGCUUCUCAAAUCCUUUGUCAGGCACAGCAUUCUCUGCCUUCCACUGCAGCAAUUCCAGUACGGUACCGAGCUUUGUGUUGCCAUCUUCGCAAUUGGGGUACAACCCUUUUUUGUGAUCCUCUAACUUGCGAUCGAACUGCAGCUUCUCCUUUUAACUUUCGCAUUGCGUCCUUGCAUCGACAAUGACCCGGCGGAGAUCAUCAUCAUCGGGCACUGGUUCCUCUUGAUCUUCAGCAGCUUCCCCCGUUGUAGCAUCAUUGGGCACAUCGUCUGGUUCCUCUUGAUCUUCAGCAGCUUCCACCGUUGCAGCAUCACCAUAUUCAGGGGGCACACAGUUGUCAUCGUCCUCUUCUUCUUCACCGUCUUCCAUCAUAACCCCUAUUUCUUCGUGCCUCGUCCAAACAUUAUAGUGUGGCGUGAAACCCUUGUAAAGCAGGUGGGUGUGAAGGAUUUUCCGGUCAGAGUAAGACUUUGUAUUCCCACAUUUAGGGCAUGGACAACACAUAAAACCAUUCGGCUUGUUUGCCUCAGCCACUUCGAGAAUAUCAUGCACGCCCUUAAUGUACUCGGAGGUGUGUCUGUCACCGUACAUCCAUUGCCGGUUCAUCUGCGUGCAUUAUAUAUAAUUAAGUGUGUCAAAAACCAUUAUAGAACAUCAUGAAUAGAUAAUUAAGUGACCAAAUUAAUAGAAGUUCAUCAUCACAUUAAAACCAAAGUACAUACAUAGUUCUCAUCUAACAACAUAUAGCUCUCCAGAGCAUCUAAUUAAUUAAACCAUACAUUGAAACUAUGUAAAACAUUUCAACGCGAAAACAAAUGCGAUCAUAAUCGCAACCAAGGUAACAAUUGAUCCAACGGCAUAAUGAUACCAAGCCUCGGUAUGAAUGGCAUAUUUUCUAAUCUUUCUAAUCUUCAAGCGCAUUGCAUCCAUCUUGAUCUUGUGAUCAUCGACGACAUCCGCAACAUGCAACUCCAAUAUCGUCUUCUCCUCCUCAAUUUUUUUCCUUCAAGAAAUUGUUUUCUUCUUCAAGUAAAUUUAACCUCUCGACAAUAGAGUCGGUUGGAAUUUCCGGUUCACAUCACUACAGGAAUCAGCUAUUUUGCCGUCUGCCACGGCGGACGGCAAAGGCAUGAACGGCGGACGGCAAAGGCCUUUGCCGUCAGCCGCGGACGGCAAAAGGCUCCGGCAAAGUAGGCUACGGUAAACAGCUACUUUGCCGUCUGCUUCCUGGCGGCUGACGGCAAAGGCCCUUUGCCGUCUGCUUCCUGGCGGCUGACGGCAAAGGCCCUUUGCCGUCUGCCGCGGACGGCAAAGAGAGCGGACGGCAAUAAUUGCGCUGUCAGUCCGUUAAGUGGCUAACGGCAGGCCUUUGCCGUCCGCGGCAGACGGCAAACUUUCUAGUGUCUUUGUCGUCUGCCUUAUGAUGUCAUCUACACGUCACUACACGGCAGGCCUUUGCCGUCCGCCGCUGACGGCAAAAUGGUUUACUCUUUGCCGUCUGCCACUGUAGGCAAAUUGACCAAAUGGGUCAGCUCCAGGAAGCACAGCUGGAUGCCACGUGGCUUCUUUGCCGUCCGCAGCAGACGGCAAAGAGCCCGUUGCCGUCGGUGGCAGACGGCAAAGAGCCUGCAUAUUGGCUCUUUUUUCUGUUUUUUAUUAAAUCCAACAAUUUUCAUCACAAAAUAUAUAUGACAUAUAUAGAUAUAUUUCAGAAGGCCAUUACAGAGCAAACAUAUAAGAUAUCCAACACAUAACUUCAUCAUACAUGCAUAGUUCCAUCCAACCAUACCAAGUUCCAUGCAUGGUUCCAUCAUACAUAGCAAGUUCAACAUAGAGGCAUCCAACCAUAUAUAUUACAAUAGUUUCAUCCAACGAUACAUGCAUAGUUCAACGAUACAAAAGAAACAGAGAAAGGGAUAAGGAGCACUCCAUCUAUGCAAGCUUUCGUCAAGUGAAUGAAAUCUGCAAAAUGAAAAAUAAGAAAGUUAGAAAUAGGUGACUAGAAUAAGAAGACUAGAACAAGAAGAGUAGAACAAGAAGAAGACUAGAACAAGAAGAGUAUGUCAUUUAUGAGCUAACUUACAUGAAAUGGAUCAUAUAUGAGCUAACUAAGUUGAAAUGGGUCGUUUAUGAGCUAGCUAAGGUGAAAUGGAUCAUUUAUGAGCUAACUUAGUUGAAAUGGGUCGUUUAUGAGCUAACUAAGGUCAAAUGGAUCAUUUUUGAGGUAACUAAGGUGAAAUGGAUCAUUUUUUAGCUAACUUAGGUGAAAUGGAUCAUUUAUAAGCUAACUUAGUUGAAAUAGAUCGUUUUUGAGCUAACUUAGGUGAAAUGGAUCAUUUAUGAGCUAAUUUAGUUGAAAUGGAUCUUUUUGAGCUAACUUAGGUGAAAUGGAUCAUUUAAGAGCUAAUUUAGGUGAAAUGGAUGGUUUUUUAGCUAACUUGGUGAAAUGGAUCGUUUAUGAGCUAAAUUAGUUGAAAUGGAUCGUUUAUGAGAUAACCUAGGUAAGAUGGGUCAUUUUGGAGUUAACCUAGGUGAAAUGGGUCAUUUUAAAGCUAACGUAGGUAAAAUGGAUCAUUUAGGAGCUAAUCUAGGUAAAAUGCGUCAUUUUUGAGCUAACUUGGAUGAACUGGAUCAUUUAUAAGCUAACCUAGGUAAAAUGGGUCAUUUUAGAGCUAACUUAGGUAAAAUGGAUCGGUUAUGAGCUAACUAAGCAAAUUAUGCAAUUUUUGACAUAAGUAAGCUAAGUACAGAUCGUUUUAGAGCUAACUUAGGUAAAAUGGAUGGUUUUGGAGGUCAGUAAGCUUAUUAAGUCAUUUUGGAGGAGAAGAAGCUAAGUCUAGGUCAUUAUGGUAAGCAUUGGAGGAAAUAAAGCUAAGUCUAGGUCUUUAUGCAUGUGUUAAGCAAAACACUAGAUAAACUUACCAAGAUCCAGGAGGUGUAGGAGCGGGCUGGCUCGUGUCGGUAGCUGGAGAAGGAUCGUGCGAUGCUUGUCUGGAGUUACGCUGCACCAAAGAUCAUUUCCAAUGUCUUGUUAGCAUGAUGACACUCAAAUGUUAAGACUAGCAAGUAAUGUCCAUUCAAAUUAAACUCACCGUGGUCCCAGGAGCAAUCACUGGCAUCGGCGGAGCGGUCUGACCGGUCUUCUUGCACACAGACUGCACAUUUGGUUUUGACGACUCAGUCAUACUAGUUAGUAAUGAGACAAACACUACAUGAAUGUUUUGGCUAAUCUACAGAAGAAACUUACCACAAGGAGCUCGUACAUGGCCCUUGCCUGCAUGUCAUUCCGUGCCCUCUCCUCCUCCAUCAUCUUUGUCGUCCUCUCCUCCAACAACCGCUGCCUCUCUGCCGCCUCCGCCAGAAGUUUCUCCGUUCUAUCUCUCUCACUCUGUAUAGCAGCCUGCAACACCACUCACAUGACCAUUUAUAAUCAUUGAUGGAAGCGCACACAAUGUAAUGGAGAAAGAUAACUGAGUACGUAUCACUAACCUUGAUGGCGAGUUGCACUGGCCGUUCACAAGGCCUUAUCUCAGGAGCGGAGCUCGACUGGCGUGCCUUGAUCUCCGGGAGAGUGCUAGGACAACGGAUAAGUCCAUCUCCAAUGGCUAUGGAGCCAUGGGACCUCCCGCCACUAGAUAUCAUCACCAGCUCUGGAUCAAUGGGACCCUGGCUCGGGUUAAAGUCCUCCCCUUUCCUCGCCUUCCCCUCAUCUCUAUAUCUCACGAGCUUGUUGUGGGAGGAGAUGUUGGUGAAGUUGUUUGCAUCAUCGAGGUCAGACUGAGAGAAAGCCUUGACUUUCUUGAAAGAGGCAGUGUGGGCCAUGGCAUACAGGUCGUACACCUAUGGCACCUUAUCCACCUUAUUGUGGCGUGCCUGAAAGAGAGAAACAAUGUAAAUUAGUAAUUAAAGGGCUCAAGCUAGCAUGAUGAAUGAAUUGCAUGAAUCAUGAAGCAAACCACAUACCCAGUUCCGCCCGAACUGAUAUAAGUUGGAGCUGCCUUGAUGGUGUGGCACACCUUCCAUUUGGGCACGUUUGUCCUUGGCCUCGUUGUGGAGGGCUAGUCAUUCCUUUGAGCACCACUCAUUGACCAACACCUCCCAACAAUCCAUCCGAUCCGCACACCAUCUCGGAGGCGCCUAAGUUAGCAAAUAGAAACUUGAGCGCUACGGCUAAGAAUUACUAAAUGAAGGAACUUAAGUAGAAAGCCUUAAGAAUUACCAUCAUGUACUGCUCCUUACUCAGGAACUUAUCGCGACACGCCGGCUUGGUCUUCUUGAUACCACACAAGGCGUAGUAGUCUCGAACAGCCUGCACCCGAGCCUCGUGCCGUAAGCUCUGUAGUAGGCGCUUGCAGACGUUCUCGAUAACAUAUGCCGCGUCCUCCUCGUAUCCCUCCUCACACCUGUAGAAUGUCUGCAAUCAAAUGAGACAAUAUUGAUUAGUACAAUUAAUAACUAGCUAGUUGAAGAUUUUUAAAUGUGUAAAGGAGAAAUUACCCAGAACUUUCUGAUCACCAUGUCUGCCCUCGUGUCGCACACGACACCGUCGAUAAUCUCAUCCGGCGGGGCCGGGGCAGCCACGUAGUGCUCCCAGCUCAAUCCAAGCUCUGGAAGCCGACCCUCACCAGGCAACGUGACAAACCCCGGGAAGUUUUGCCGGCAAAGAACUCCAAGGAUGGAGUUGGGCCGGCGGACACUAUGAUGGUGGUCCCAACCCCUGCAGCAUGACAAGGCCAACGCAUUAGUUAUUUCAAGAAACGUGAAUGCAGAAGGUACAAAAAUAUUAAAUGCACUUACAUACCUCUCCCCAUCAGGGAAAAUCAACCACCUCUGCUCGCGGGUCGCCGGCACGGACGGAAGCCGAGUAGCACCACGCUGGUAGACGGUGCCCCCCUCCUCCUCAAAAUCAGUAGGCUCCCCGCCAUCAUCAGCAUGGCCACUCGGCUCCUCGGGCUGAUCCGGCCAGGUACCCCAUCCGGACGUGUGCUCCUCCAGGGUCUCGUGGGCCGAACUCUCGUGGGCCGAAGGCCAGUCGACCCGAGGCUCGUGCGCCCAAGACCCGUGGACCGGAGGCUCGUGGACCGGAGUCCGUGUAGCCUCCUCCUCGGACGAGUCCACCCUAGCAGUCACGUGCUCGGGUGAAACAGCUGGGGGUGGCGGCGAGGAAGGCGCCGUAGCAGUCACCCUACCUCCUCUCCCGCGACCACGUGCCCCACAUCCUCUCUUCCUACCUCGUACCCUGCUGGGCACCGCGGUCGACGAAGAAGGGCCCGACGGUGUGGCCAUACUGUCCAGCAACGCUCGGCGGAGAGGUGCGUCUGGAAUGGAAGACCUCAGACCACGCGCCGACGAAGAAGGGGCCUUGGCGCGCUCCCGACCAGCGCCCACCAUCUUUCAACACCUGCCAUGAAAAACAGUAAACGAAAUUAGUACAACAUAAAAAAAAGACUGACAUGAAUAAUAAUAUGUGUAUCACUUAAGUGUAUCAUCAUCAAGUACAACAUAAAAAAAUUUAAUACCUGACACUACUAAUAAUCUCGAUCAGUAUCAUCAAUAAAUGCAUAAUCAUCAUCAUCACUAUAAUCAAUGACGGGCUCAUAGGGUUCAGUGGCAUCAACAUGUGGAAGGCCACCUUGACGUAAUCGGUCAAGCAUUGACAGGUCAUCCGUAGCAGUAACCUCUUCUUGUUCCGGCUCUUCUUGUUCCUCCUCUGGGGUGAUGUCGGAUUCACUGUCGCUGUCUACUUCAAUGUUUUGGGGUGAAGUAUAGCGGUUCUUGAAACGCUUUUUGGAAAGACGUGUCUCUUGGAAGAAUUCUCAUUCAUAUGUGUCUGGGUUAAUGUGAGGUUCAUAAUCCUCUUCCUUUGGGGGAGAUAGUCUAGCACGUGGUGGCACUUCAUAAACGACAUCCCAACCUUUCAGAUUUGGAUUAGUUUGGCAAGCCCACGGUAGAUAGAAUACUUGGGUCGCCUGUUGAGCCGUAAUAUAGACAUCAGGAACAUCUAAAUGGGUGCUUUGGUUGAUUUCAACUAGCCCUAUAUGUUCAUGAGUCCUUCUGGUCUCCUUCGGCUGAAACCAAUAACAUUUGAAGACUACGACAUUCGGUGGGUUUUCACCAUAGAAUAGAAGUUCAUAAAUUGCUUCAACUCUCCCAUAAACUCGGUACCUCCUUCGCCGAUAGCAGAUACACAACAAUUUGUAGACUUUCGGUCGGCCAUAGAUAGCUCUUUGCCAUAGGUACGAAAGCGAUACCCGUUGAUGUCGUAUUUGUCAAAUGAACGGACCUUAUAGUCAAAACCAUUAGCGACUUGUCUCAAUUCGGCGUCCAUAGACUCUGAAUUAGCCUACAAGUUUAAUAUGAAAGGAUUGUUGCAUUACGCACAAAUUAGCGAAUGAAAUGAAAUUGUCUAAUAGAAAUUACCGUUUGUUUGAACCAAGAGAUGAAACCGGGAUAGCCGCCUCCUUGCUUUGCGAGAAGCUCAUACUCUUCGACAGAAUCCUUUUGGAUCACCGCUCCAUACGAGAAUAAGGCGACGUAUCGACUGUAUGAAAUAUCCAGGAAUAAGAGCAGUUCAAAGGAAAUAGAAGUUGCGAAACUAUGUACCGAGAACUUACUCGAUGUACGGCCGCACUUCUAUCAGGUUGUUGAAGAUAUACAACGAAAUGGUCCGCCAUUGUUCGUUAUCCAAAGAUACUGGAUUUGAAACAUUGGCUGGUGCGAGAUUCCCUUUGAAUAGGCUGAGGUUGGAUCCACCCUUUUUAGGGUCGUCAGCAUUGUACCGAGGCUUCGGAUUAUGCAAAUGAUGAUUUUUGGCUUCGUAGUGUGCUGUCACGAAGUUUGCCGCCUCCUCAGUGAUGAAUGCCUCAGCCAUCGAUGCUUCAAUUCUACGUUUAUUUUUACAUUUUUGUCGAAGCGUCUUCUGCAUCCUCUCAGUUGGGUAGCACCAACGAUUUUGCACGGGCCCCCCAAUCUUGCCUCGGUCGGGAGAUGCAAAAUCAAAUGUUGCAUUGGAUUAAAGAAGCCCGGUGGAAAGAUCUUCUCUAACUUGCAGAUCAACUCCGGCGCCAACUCUUCCAUUUCUUCUAGCACGCCAGGCGAUAGUUCUUUCGCACAAAGAACACGGAAGAAAUAGCUGAGUUCUGCCAGUACUAGCCAUUCAUCCUCAGGGAUGAAGCCACGCAACAUCACCGGCAUUACCCGCUCAAUCCAUAUGUGCCAAUCAUGACUCUUGAGACUAAAUAUCUUCAAUUUAUCAAGACUGGCUCCCCUCUGUAGAUUCGCUGCAUACCCAUCGGGGAACAUCAACUGCAUUUUCACCCACAAGAUAAUUUCCCUCAUAGCUGGCCUUCCAAGAUUGAACCAUGCCUUUGGCUUCGUCCAGUUCUGCUUUCCUUUCGGUUCUUUCAUGUUUUGUAACGGCCUAUCACAUAGCGCCUCCAGAUCGACUCUAGCCUUAGUAUUAUCCUUUGACUUCCCAUCUAUGCCGAACAAUGUACCAAAAAGUGCCUCGGCGAUAUUCUUCUCAGUGUGCAUCACGUCGAUGUUGUGUGGGCAAAGGAGGUCUUUGAAGUAAGGCAGAUCCCAUAAGCAUGUUUUGUGAGUCCAGGCGUGCUUAGAAUUAUACCCCUUGAAGUACCCUGGACGCUCUGGAUCUGGCUCGAGAGCGUUUAACUGAUCCAGGGUCUGUUGGCCUGUCAAUGCAGGUGGUGCAGAGUUUUUGACAACUCUAUCUCUGAUCAAGUUCUUCUUGUCUUUCCUGAACUUAUGGCGAGGAUUCAGGAACUGUCUAUGCAUGUCGAAGCAAGAAAACUUGCGACUGGCCUGAAGCCAACGAAACUCAAGAGCUCCCUUGCAUGUGGGGCAUGGGAACCUUCCAUGCACACACCAGCCAACGAAUAGCGCAUACGCCGGCAAGUCAGGCGUCGAGUACAUGUACCAGACACGCAUUAUGAAGUUCCGUUUGCUAUAGGCGUCGUAUGUCUUGAACCCAUUAUCCCAGGCUUCUUGCAAUUCGUCCUUAAGCGGCUGCAUGUACACAUUCAUAUUUUUCCCCGGAUAGUUGGGCCCUGGAAUUAUCAACGUCAGGAAAAUGUUCUUUCUUUGCAUAAUCUGUCCGGGGGGAGAUUGAGUGCAAAGACAAAUACGGGCCAACAACCGUACUGGGCUGCCGUCAUACCAAACACACUGAACCCAUCCGUGCUGAUGCCGACUCGAGGAUGCCUCGGAUCUGCCGCUUUGUCACCAUGUAAUUCAUCAAACUUUUUCCACGCAACACCAUCGGAUGUGUGUACAAUCAUCAGAUUCCCAUCUGCAUCUAGUUUGGUUCUUUUGCCCGUUUUGUGCCAUGUCAUCUGUCUGGCCGUCUCUUCGACCAUGAAAAGACGUUGAAGUCUUGGUACGAUUGGCAUAUACCGAAGAACAGUAACGGGGAUUUUGGUCUGUGUCUUCUCACCCAUACCAUUAUCUACCACAACAUACCUGGAAGACUUGCAAAUGGGACAAUAGUUCAAGUCUGCAUAGUCAAGCCUAAACAAGACACAUCCUUUCUCACAGGCAUGUAUCUUAUCAUAGGGCAUCUUCAGUGCACGGAGGAUUUUGUCCGACUGGUACAGGUUUGCAGGCAUUACAUGGCCUUUGGGUAGAAAGCGUCCAAAUACUAUCAUCAUUGCAUCGUAGCAUUCUCUGCCCAAGUUGAACUGAGCCUUCAGAGCCAUUACUUGUGAGAUGGCAUCCAACUGACAAAGCUCAGUGUGCUCAUGGAGCGGACGUUUUGAAGACUCCAACAUUUUAUUGAAGGCCUUUGCAGAUUCCUCCAUCUCCUCGUCCGAAUCCCGAGCAUCAUCGAAGUCUUGCACCAUGUUUUCCAUCCCGGUACCAUGCUCGUCGGUGCGACGACGAUCCACCUCAGCUCGGUCACGUUGGGCAGACUCACCAUGAAAUGUCCAUACCGUCUAAUCGGGCGUAAAACCACUCUUCUGCAGGUGUUUGCCCAUUUCAGCCUCUGUCCUCUUUUCCCAAUUGCCGCACCGUAAACAGGGGCACCAGGUUUUCCUCUGGCCUUUUGCAAAUGCGGCUCGCACAAACCCCUUGGUUUUUGUAAACUAUUCAGUGCUCCAUUUGUUCUGACCAGUGUGACCGGUGUACAUCCACGCACGAUCACUCAUCUUGACUUUCAGAGCUACUAGACACACAAAAUAUAUAUAUAUAUAUAUAUAUAUAUAUAUAUAUAAUUCACCAUGUAUAUAUUCAUCAGUUGAUCUACUUUGUCAAUUUUAUUACGUCCAUGCAACUUACACUCUAAUAGGUAAUGAUAGGUCCUAAUCCCACCCGAGUAUGUUUAGAUUGGGUUCAUUUUCCCAUGCUAUGCUCCGGAUCCUAUGCAAAAUUUCGGCAGCACCUCCCCGUUGUUCUCCUGAUACACGUCUCUGCAAUAAACAGAGAGGAUGUGUACCCGGAGAAUAAUAGGGGAGGCACUGACGAAAUUUAUGCGUCGGAUCCGGAGCAAAGCAUAUGGGAAAACGAACCCAAUCUAAACAUACUCAGGCUGUCCAUGGAUAGCGUUGGACAAUUCGAAAGAAUCAAGGUUAUAAAUAUGCAAAUGCAUGCAUAUUUAUAACUAUGACGCUUUCAAACGGGAGACACAUAUUGGUUACGCAUACUGAUGAUUCAAGACACAUAUAUAGCUAGCUAUCAAGUUUCAUCGGAAUUGAUCAAAUAAUUAAUGGGGGAGGAGGACAUGUCAUUUGUGCUCACCCACGAACGAAGGGGCAGAGCUCGUCAAACGCACGGCGAGGUCGUCGAACACCAAACCUCGCAGCGAUGAAACAACUGCACAUUUAAAACUACCCGAUCAACACAAUUAUAUAUGAUGUUUUUCAUAACAAAAUCGAAAAAUAUAUGACCUAACUAAUAAUUCACAAAUAUAUGACCCCGUCGGCUUCUCGAAGGCCAAAGAACACCUUUUCGGGAGGUGUCGGGGGUCGGGGUGUCGUGUCGGUGUCGGGGUGCCGUGUCGNNNNNNNNNNNNNNNNNNNNNNNNNNNNNNNNNNNNNNNNNNNNNNNNNNNNNNNNNNNNNNNNNNNNNNNNNNNNNNNNNNNNNNNNNNNNNNNNNNNNNNNNNNNNNNNNNNNNNNNNNNNNNNNNNNNNNNNNNNNNNNNNNNNNNNNNNNNNNNNNNNNNNNNNNNNNNNNNNNNNNNNNNNNNNNNNNNNNNNNNNNNNNNNNNNNNNNNNNNNNNNNNNNNNNNNNNNNNNNNNNNNNNNNNNNNNNNNNNNNNNNNNNNNNNNNNNNNNNNNNNNNNNNNNNNNNNNNNNNNNNNNNNNNNNNNNNNNNNNNNNNNNNNNNNNNNNNNNNNNNNNNNNNNNNNNNNNNNNNNNNNNNNNNNNNNNNNNNNNNNNNNNNNNNNNNNNNNNNNNNNNNNNNNNNNNNNNNNNNNNNNNNNNNNNNNNNNNNNNNNNNNNNNNNNNNNNNNNNNNNNNNNNNNNNNNNNNNNNNNNNNNNNNNNNNNNNNNNNNNNNNNNNNNNNNNNNNNNNNNNNNNNNNNNNNNNNNNNNNNNNNNNNNNNNNNNNNNNNNNNNNNNNNNNNNNNNNNNNNNNNNNNNNNNNNNNNNNNNNNNNNNNNNNNNNNNNNNNNNNNNNNNNNNNNNNNNNNNNNNNNNNNNNNNNNNNNNNNNNNNNNNNNNNNNNNNNNNNNNNNNNNNNNNNNNNNNNNNNNNNNNNNNNNNNNNNNNNNNNNNNNNNNNNNNNNNNNNNNNNNNNNNNNNNNNNNNNNNNNNNNNNNNNNNNNNNNNNNNNNNNNNNNNNNNNNNNNNNNNNNNNNNNNNNNNNNNNNNNNNNNNNNNNNNNNNNNNNNNNNNNNNNNNNNNNNNNNNNNNNNNNNNNNNNNNNNNNNNNNNNNNNNNNNNNNNNNNNNNNNNNNNNNNNNNNNNNNNNNNNNNNNNNNNNNNNNNNNNNNNNNNNNNNNNNNNNNNNNNNNNNNNNNNNNNNNNNNNNNNNNNNNNNNNNNNNNNNNNNNNNNNNNNNNNNNNNNNNNNNNNNNNNNNNNNNNNNNNNNNNNNNNNNNNNNNNNNNNNNNNNNNNNNNNNNNNNNNNNNNNNNNNNNNNNNNNNNNNNNNNNNNNNNNNNNNNNNNNNNNNNNNNNNNNNNNNCGGGGGGCGGGGGCGGCGGCAGCGGCGGUGGGGUGGGAUGUGGUGGCGGGGUGCGUUGGGGAGGAGAGAGAGGAAGAGAACAGAGAGUAACGGGCGGGGGGGUACGGGCCGUUAGGUACUCUCCUCUUUGCCGUCCGCCAUUCUUUGUCGUCCGCCUUUUUGCCUCUUUGCCGUCUGCUAGCAGACGGCAAAGAGGUGGGGCGUUAAGUUAUUUCCAAACGGGCGGGGUGUGGGGGCCACCUCUCUCUUUGCCGUCUGCCAGCGGACGGCAAAGAUUUUUUGCCGUCUGCUAGGAGACGGCAAAGAGCUCGCAGAUGGCAAAGAGCUUCUUUGUCGUCCGCCAUUUCUUUGCCGUCUGCUUUUGGAUAGCUGAUGGCAAAGAGCUUCUUUGCCGUCAGCUAGCAGAGGGCAAAGAGCUGGCAGAUGGCAAAUUAGCUGAUUCCAGUAGUGCAUACCUCGUAGAUAAAUAAAAUCUAUGUCACGUUGGUCGUCAUAAUUUUCAUAAACAAUAAAUGAACCAAUAGUUAUAAAGAUAAUAUAUACCACAUCCGAAUCAUAGACAGGACGAGGGCCGACGGGGGCGGAUACCAAAACCAUCGCACUAUAUAAUAACAAGCAAUAAAAUAGUAAGAAAAUUAGACAAGUAUCUAUCUAGAGUAAGAAUUUUUUUCUUUCAGAAAGAAGAUAAGAACAAGAGGCUCACCACGGUGGUGCCGGCGACGAGAUCGGCGCGGGCGAUUGACGGCGGUUAAGACGGGAAUGGGACGUGACGGGCCGCUAAACCUAGACAAAUCUCGAGGAAAAUGGAGCUUUGAGGUCGAGCUUCGAGACGAGAAAGCUUAACUAGUGUGGCUCGGGCAUUUCAUCGAACACCUCAUGUGCAUAGGAGGUGAGGUAGAGCACCACAAAGCCCUCCCCUCGCCGGCCAGAGAAAAACAGAGCACUAGAUUGCUCUGCUCGCGGGCGAGGGGUAUAUAAAGGCACCUCAUUGGUACCGGUUCGUGGUAUGAACCGGGACUAAAGGGCAGCCUAUGGUCCCGGUUCAAGCCACCAACCGGGACCAAUGGUGGUGGGCCAGGAGCGAGGCCCAUUGGUCCCGGUUCGUCCCACCGACCGGGACCAAAGGGGCCAGACGAACCGGGACCAAUGCCCCCACGAGGCCCGGCAAGCCCCUGGCCUCACGAACCGGGACCAGUGCCCCAUGGGUCCCGAUUCUGGACUGAACCGGGACUAAUGGGCUGACCCGGCCUGAACAAAAGCCCUCUUUUCUACUAGUGCACCGUCCACUUUCUCUCACUUUUAAUAUAUUACAUGAUAUGAACAGAGAUUUAGCCCAUUUAUGUGGUAUUGACAUAUUGUGUCUUAGAGCAUCUACAGUCCAACAGCCUAAACCGUCCCGAAACGCCCGAGCAGACGGCCUGGUCACUGACCGGUCAUGAAAAAACGACCUAGAUGGACGCCUUAAACCGUCCUCAAAUGUCCGGGCCGUCCAGCGCCUCUCAUAUCCAGCCCAAAUAUGGGGCGGAUAUGAGGCGUCCCCAGCGCGUCCGCCACGUCGGGCUUGGCCCAGCCUGGCCCACCCGUGCCCCACAAAUAUCCCCAUCGGGAAAACCCUAGACACCGGUCAAUCCGAACACCACUUCACUCCCUCUCCGUCCACUCCACUUCCGAUCCCCUUCGAUUUGAAUCGAUGGCUAGCGACGAAAGUAGCGGUGGCUCCGGUGGAGAAUCCGACGGCUGCAGCAUCGAUGUUGAGGAGGUCGCCCUUCGCAUCGCAUUGAGGCAAUCGUUGGUCGACCAAGGCGGCGUCGGAGUGGCGGAUCUUCUUCCUCAGCGGCCGUUGCCCGUCGACGCAGCGCCGCCGACGUCGACGGCCCGUCCCGCUAGACAAGUAGCUUAGGCCGUUCCGCUCUCGUCCUUCAAGUACGCCCGCCAUGCGAAGGAGCAGGACUGGAUGCUCCGCAGGCUGCCAGGCCGAAGCCACAGCUCGGAAUCCGACUUGACGAGCGGCUCCACCUCCAGCUCCGACGACGACGCACCACUGCACGCCGACGCCUACACAAAGGAGGGGCACGGCUGCAUCGACGACCGAAAGGGGAAGGGGCCGGCGAGGAAUGGUGAUUUCCUCCGCCCUUACCCGUUCUGUUUAUAUUUUUAACUAUGUUUUAAGUAGUUUGUAGUAUGGAUUUGCAUUGUUUGCCGUUGAACUUGGAUGAACUAUGUUCCUUUUAUCCGUCGUUGAAAUGUUGAUAUGAUGAACUGCGUGUGUUGAUUGUCUUUUACGUAGCGUUGCAUGGGUUGUAUGGUUUGAGGUUUCGAUUAUAAGGGGCGCGGGUGUGGAAGCCAACAAAUGACGCGUGGCCGGGUCAGUGCUCGCGGUCGGACGUUUGAAGGCUGGAUUUGUCUAGUCCGGCUGUAGAUGCUCUUAGGGGAAGAAUGAGAAAACAUUGCACUCUUGCCCGGCGAGACAAACAUUCACAUGACCAUCAGUGCUCCUGCCACCUUGGAAUGCUGCCGCCACAGCACAUAUUCAAGUCACGUAUGCACGUUAGCACAUGUAGCUAUUGCCGAUUCAUCAUUGCCAAUUUUGACAUCUUGUGUGCGUCCGAAGCAAAUAUGGACGCAGUUGUGUGUGAAGUCUUGAGGGAGGGGGUUGGCUGAUUCGAUUUGACUUAGUUAUUUUGGUGCCAUUUCCAAAUUUGAAAUAAGAUUAUUAUUGAAUAAAUGUAAAUGUAGAUAGUCAGAACUGCAUUGUAUCCAAACAUGUUUAACCAAUUCUUUAACUUAUAUUUUAGUGUAUCAAAAUAAAAAAAUAUAGACACGUAGCUACUCUACAAACCUAUACGACAAUAGUGUAUGAUAUUGUGUUGUGCUGUUAUUUCUGACAUUUCAAAUAUAAAUUUUAGAUAUGAACAGUGACCUCCACUAAUAACAAACAAUCAGAGGUCAAAUUACCAGUUCGUAAUUUGUAGGAGUAUAUACACACGGACGAAAUAAUUUAGCUAUACAUUUGGUGGAAAGGAAAUUUCUUCUGACGGCGCCUACAUUAAGAGACGAUACGUACACAUGUCUUGCAUUUAGACGUACGCAUAUAUAAAAUAAUGUAGAGACUAUGUAGUACAAUCGAUUAGGUUAGUAUAUACACCACAUUGAUAUUGUUGAUUCCGACCAUAAGACGCGCUACGUUAUUCCAUUUUAUCAUUGUUAAUGUGUUCUGGUGGCUAUAAUGAAUGGUACAUCUGUGGCAUUAGAACAUGUACAGCCGGACUUGACAAAUCCGGCCCCUGAUACGCCCAUGGACGCGUCCGGGCGCGUCUGCGGAUAGCGUCCGGCAGCUCCACAUAUGUUACGCCACCUAUCCAUAUAUCUCAAAUUCUGAUCCUCAAAUCCAUGCAAAUCAUGCACGUCGAUCAUACGAUACAAAUUGUUCGAAUUUCAAAGUUCGAAACAAAGCAAACAAAUCAUAGUUCAACAAACUGGACAUGCCAAAACGAAAUCAAUGUCCGAGCGUGACGGAUGGCCUCGGAUCACUAGCCGGGUGCCUGCUCCGAGUGAAAUGCGUCGUGCUCCAGGCGGAAUGCGUCCUGCUCUGCCUGCAUCCAGGCUUCCUGCUCCGCCGCUUCCGCCUGCAUCCGUGCUGCGGCCGCCCUCGCUGCCUGGUACUCCCUAUGGUCGUUGAUCUCAUUCUUCUUGUUCGCAAGCCACUUCUUCGCAUGCUCAUCUAAGAGGGGUUCGUCCACCAACAUGAUCCUCGCAUCUUCCGCAUCCCGUGGCGAAGAUUGGGAGCAAGGGUGGAGGACGGCGAGUGUCCGGGCGCGGGAAAGGUUGGAGGGCGGCAGGAGGAGGUAGAAGGGUUCGGUGGAUUUGGUGCAAUUUGCGGUGGGGUUGGGCUGUCGGAUCCGACAUGGUGGGCGUGCCCGGGCGCCCCCAUAUCAGUCCCAUAUUUGGGCUAGAUAUGAGGGGUGCCGGUUAGCCCGGGCCUUUGUGGCCCAUUUAAGGAGCCCGUCUAGGUUGAAAAAUUGUGACCGGAUGGCUCGCCCGGGUGUAUAAGGCGGGUUUGAGGCACCCGACUGUAAAUGCUCUUAGGGCAUAUCCAACGCCGACUCUCAAACCACUCGCAUACGUUUUGACUGUGCUGUAUGGACCGCGAAAGCCAUUCAACACGGGUCUGUAUCGGUCCACAGGGCGGUCCAGACGUAUUUCUCCCACACCCGUCUCUGAUCACACUGGCCCACCCAAACCCCUUCCUCCCUUGCCCCCGCGCAUUCCCGCCCGGCGCCAGCUGUCUGCAUUCAUGCCUCAAUAAAGCGUGCAGCUUCACAUUGAAGUCGGCCCACAGCGGACGCGACCUCUCACGAGCUCCACAAUUGAAGCGGCGCGCUGGCCGAGGGCGCCGCCCACGAUGCGUCUCUGGUGUCUGCGCCGGUUCAAUAUCGGAGACGCGUUACUAGAAGGGUCAGGACUCAUAUCUACCAUCCCAAUGCCUCUUCUGUUCGUAUGCCACCAUUAGGCAGGCUCGCCGGCCAAGAAACCUACUCCGAUGACGCGUAUUGACGCACCCGGACGCUUGACCUCACUGGAAUCCGCAAUUUUAAGGCGGCCACACUCGGCUAACUCCACGCCAUGACACAAGCCGCUCUCCAUCCUCCUCCCUUGCACUACAUCCGCCAUGACUGCAGGCGGCGAAGCUCUGUGGGAGAGUCUUUCCACGGAGAUGAAGCACGAGGUGGCCGCCCUUGCUGCCGCCUGGCAGAGCCGCCUUGCCAGGCGCAUCGAGGCCAGCUUGCCGGCCAGCUCGCCCGAGGUCCCCAACGAUGAGGACGACCCCACAAUGGAGACGGGCUCCGACGACACCACCUUGGUUCCCGCACCUGUGCACGCUGGCUUCACCACGGAGCAGGCUCACUACAACGCCGUUAUGGCAUAGGUGCAGCCUGCGCCAUCGCCUUUUCGGUGUUCUACCAGGCGCAGGAGGAACAACGGCACAACCCGUCCUUCUUGGACGCAGGGCUCCGUCGCCGUAGGAUAGGUUUAUGGUCGGGUCAAUUUUUUGUUUGUUCUAAAUGUUCAAUAUCUAAUGAAAAUCCGUCAUGCUUGCAUAAAUGUCAUCCGGUUUGUAUGAAAUCCGAUGUGUUUGCAUGAAUUUCAUCCGGUUUGUUGAAAAAAUGUUUGAAAUAUAUGCGGGCAGCGUCCGAUGGCGGUCUCUGGCAUCCAUGUCUGUGGACUGAUCCCCUUGUUCAUGAACAAGAUGCGAGAGAAAAUUCACGGAUCACCACUGGAGAUGCCUAAGAGAAGCUUACUAUACGUUGCAAUCUUAUUUCUUAAACUCCAACUAAUAGCAACACAUAAGAGACAAAAAGGGAUCGUCAUGACAGCCUUCGUUACAGCCUUGCACGAGGAGCAUGCAUGCCUGUUUGAUAUAGCCGGGCGGCCGGCGAACAUCACACGUAUCCUUGCGUGGUUCCACACGCUGCCCUGCGCCCCUGACCUGGCCACCGCACAAACCAUCCAUCUACACGGGCUUCAAGCUGCCCUGCUGGCUCGACCACCCCGUUUACUUUAAGCUUCCAGAUAUCUUUCUUUUCUUGCCAUCAAGCGGAUGCUACUACAUUUUGUAUGCCGGACGCCGAUCCGGCGUGGUUCGUUUGAACAAUGCGCUGGUGCCGCAAAAAUAUGGCGUUGCCCCGCGCCGACGCGCCGGAGCGAAGGUCAAUGUGCAUUGGCGGGCGAAUGGGCGUCCGCGGCCUCGGCUUCCGGGGCUGGCCUCCCGUGCGCGCCUCCGGCGUGGCCGUUGUUAAUUCCUCGGGUUCCUUUUGUUACGGGGAUCGAGUGCACCGUGAUGUAGCCGUGCACGAACCCGUGGAAAACGAGACGAACUGUUUUUGGCGAGAGACAAAUCGUCGUGGCAGCAGUAUAAGCAUGUAGCGAAGUGCAGUGGAGUGGUUACUUCGUGCUGUGCUGGUCGACCAAAGCAUCAUCAUUUGGGAAUAGGCCGUCCGUGCAUGCAUGGCGAGCGUUGACAGACGCAUCGUGAUCAUGCAUGCAUGGAGACGGGGUCCUGGGCUACGUUUGUUGGCUUCCCCUGACGUGCUGCAUGGAUGGAAGAGUCCCAUGCACCUAUCACGGUAUCACCCGGGUUCACCAUGUACGACUGUGACGGAUAUUAUUUCUACUUUGUAGCGAAGGUGACACACUACGUGCACAAUGGAACACGUACGAGCCUUUCUACUGGCUGGUGGAGUAUCAAAUAACAACCGCGUAUACUUUGCUGCAGUCAAGCAAAUGGAGAGAUGGAGCUCGAUAAUUAUAACAAGGACAACUACACCUCAAUAAAGUUCACGCCAAAGGCUGCGUUUUUGCAAACCACUUGGUGUCCAAUUUGCUGGCGGUCCAUGGAAAAUAUCCAGACUUCGUUUCUGGAUGGAAUUAUACGCGCAUUUUGUAACCAUAUAUGUGGUAGGUAGUGAUAUGCAUUGUCCGUGAGAAGGAGAUUGUCUUUCUUUCCCCUCUGGCAAGACGACUAUGGCAAACACUUCCUCCCCUCGAUCUCUGCGGGCGAGCCCAUGGAUUUGCCUUUCAUCCACAAUCUUCCUGGCAGCCAAUGGUGGGAACCGAAAUCCUGGUGCCUCGUUACGGCUACUAGAUAGGUUAGUGUUUCUUAGUCUGGUGUGGCGCUCUUACAUAUGGCGUCGCUUCUUCUUUGACGCAGUCUUUCAGGGUUCGAUCCUCCUCAAAUUCGUCCAUUGGGCCGGAUUAGACACCGGAUUAGACGAAGCUCCGACGUAGGUUUCUGCCAGCUCCUUGAAGCGGCGAGUUUAGGGUUUCACGUCGUGCGUACGAGAUGGUGAGAUUUGUUGUCAAGUUCUUCGGAUCGAUUCAAGUGUUCAACGAUGACGACUGCGGCUCCCGAGCACUGGUCCUUGGGACACGUGCACAAAGAUUUCGUGACUAUCAUUGGUAAGGCCAAGCUAUGGUUUUCAAAUUCAGUUUCAGCAAAAUUCCAGCACCAACCAAAAUCACCGAAAUUCAGUGAAUUUCAGUGAUUUCAGUUUGCAUUUCGACCAGAUGACCGAAAUAUUCACUUGAAUUCAAUUAAAUGUUUGUUUUUUGAAAAAUAUUUGAAUUUCUAUGCACUGCUAAAAUUGCUGAAAUAUUUUGGCCGAAAUGUAAUUAUUUCAAUAUCUACCGAAAUUACUGAAAUUCAGUGAAUUUCAUCGAAAUCUCAUUGAAAGUGAAAACCACGGACCAGCUCCGGUAUGGGAGCGACGAGAUCGGCGCGUCGACAACUCGUUCUGACGGCGGUAGUGGUCAUGUGGUGGUCUAGGGACCUCAAUGUAACUUUCAUUAUGUUUGGGGUGUUUUGUAAUUCUGAUGAAAAUUUAUAAUAGAUAUGAAUACUUUUUGAAAAGGGGAGUGAUAUGCAUUACGUAGACUUGGACUAACUUCCAGACGUUACAUUUAAGAUAUAUAUGCAUGGAAGUGUAUUUCCGCAGAUUUAAUUAAGUUUACUAAACCGUUUCACUGCCCUACCACAGAUGCAAAGUCAAUGGCCUUAGGGUACCCUGUGACCCUCUUUAAUUUAAUUAAAUGAACCAAACUAUUAAAAUUAUAUUGCUCAAUUUCUUUAGUCACAAAGCACUUAGUUCUAUAAACGAAACCAUCAAUACAAACACCUUGGAAAUAAAAAAGUUACAUAAAAAUCUACGGGCCCCAACAAUCUUCAUCAUCCUGAACAUGCGGAUGGUGUGCCAUCGCAUGCCGCUCCAUAGCCGAAACUAGCCUGCCAUGGUUGAUCGAGAAAGGGAAGUAAUCAUGAGCCUUGGUCCUGCUAAACCAAUGUCCUAGAGAAGAAACCGUCACCGUUGGAAGAGCCACAUAUCCAAGCCUCCAUUAUUCAAGCCUCAGACCAAUGCCACAACAAAGAUGAGGCCAAAAGAUGAAACUACAACGGGAAGCCAUCUCGACCACGCCAACAAAUCCAGCAUACCAUAACCUCAUCGGUAAUAACAAUUGACAGGAAAAUACAUCAUUGAGCCAUCGACACCACGGCAGACGACACCUUCAAAAUGGGAGACUCGGGGGGGCCUUAUUUAUCGGAUUGAUGCAGUUACCACCACCGAUAACACACCGUCGAAGAAGACUUAUUGAGCAUCGUUGUCAUUACCGCCAGAAGCGCCAAAGUGAUGGACUUUGGAAACCUACCUAAGAGGCCCAAAUUGGGGAAACUCACAACUCCAUCCGGUUGAUCGAGGCCUCUCCACACUACCACACCUNNNNNNNNNNNNNNNNNNNNNNNNNNNNNNNNNNNNNNNNNNNNNNNNNNNNNNNNNNNNNNNNNNNNNNNNNNNNNNNNNNNNNNNNNNNNNNNNNNNNNNNNNNNNNNNNNNNNNNNNNNNNNNNNNNNNNNNNNNNNNNNNNNNNNNNNNNNNNNNNNNNNNNNNNNNNNNNNNNNNNNNNNNNNNNNNNNNNNNNNNNNNNNNNNNNNNNNNNNNNNNNNCCAAAGAUUCCCUCUCCUAAGAAUUGGAGAGGAACGGUUGGGUAUAUGUGGUAUAUACUACCACUUCUAUAAAUUCGGUUCAUUUGAUUGAACGAAAUAAGGUAAGAGUGCAUCCCUGUGUAUUACAUAUAAGUAUAAGAGAAUGCAGGUACUUAACAAGUUACUUCAUCCGUCCUAGAUUAGGGCCUUUUUGAUCCGCAAGAUUUAUAAAAACCAGGAAUAAAAAAAACAGAAUGGUGUGACAUGCCACCUUCAAUACUAGUACAAGAUUAGUAUGGGCGUUUGACUGUGAGCCAAAUAAACGUAAUGUUCUACACACGAGGUUGGAAUGGAUGGAAAUUUCUCAAUGAAAACUAGUACAAAUGAAUCAUAUCGAUUGUAAUCCUAUGAAUUAAAAAAUCCAUGUAGGAAAAAAUCCUAAGGAUUAAAAUCCUGCAAAAUUCCUUUAGAAAUCAUUUGUAUAAAAGAGGCUCUUAUCGUCUCCUCAUAUUUUGGGUCAAAAUUUGACUAGCAAAAUAAAAGUUAUAUGUCACAAAAUUAUACUGUUAAAUUCAUAUUCAAAAGAAGUUUGCAAUGGUACUAUCUUUUUAUCAUAUAAUUUAUAGAAGGACUAAUAAAACUGGGCGGGGAAAAUAUGAAGUAGCCGUCGUGUGCCUCCUCCUACAAACACAAACCUGGAGCGCACCUUUCGAUCGAGGGGGUUCUUGUUAGUGUUUGAACUUUUUUCCUUUAUUUCUAGUUUUUUUCCCUCAUGAGACAUUGCUGCUUUCAACUGGCUCUUUAAAUAUACUUGAUCCUGUAGAGUGUAACUAAUUAUCACGUUGUGAUUCAAUGACUUGUUUUUUCUUUGACCAUUUUCCCAAAAUCUACAUUUAAAAGUCAAGAUUUUCAUGUAACUCCUAGGAUUCUGGAACUAGAGAAUUUGUACCCAUUCCGCAGGACCAAUUUUUUCAGAAGUGGUUGUUUUGAUAGGAUCUUGAUGUCUUCAUACCCAAUCCUCAUACAUGGACAAAAUGAUUUACCUUUUCUCCUUUAACUAACUUGCUCCAUUCAUUAUGAGUAUUUGAUUUUUUUUCUAUUUAGAGAUUGCAAAGGGAGCCAACCUACAUAAUUCUAAUCGCUUAUGGGGCAUGGUUGAUUAGGUUACGCUACUUUUUUUGCUUAUAAUACCAGUUAAGGGCCACAUGUAGCCAUGAUCCCACAAAAAGUAUAUCUUCCAUGGAUAUCCUGUUGAUUUGAUAAUACCGCGGCAAAGAAUAGUGGUCAUGUCACAUGUGCACUGCCUCUAAUUUUCUUUGGGUCCUGUGCAUCAUGGGGCAUGUAUAACCUGUUCUGUUUACUUUUUUCUCAUGAUUACUGUUCACCACUAAGGACUGUGGUCUAGUACAUACUUUUAUGUCGUUGGUUGCACAUAUAUGUAGACCAGCACAAGUGCUAAGAUAUCACUGAAUAAUCAUACUCUACACACUGUCCAUGCAUUAUGUAAACACAACAGUAAUCAGACGUCGUUGCUGCCAGUUCACUGCAAGUUGAAUUGUCAAAUCUGAAAUCAUAAAUGCGCAUAUUUGUUUCCUAAUGAUAAGCAAAAUAUCUCUUCUUCCCGCUAUUGUACCCCCGAAACUUCUCCAGGAAAGUUACAUUCUGAAUAUCAAACCGACAAUGUUAGACUACUGGACACUAAUUAACCGGGGUAAUUGGAAAUUGCACCAGAUAUCAGGUGCCCUAGGUGAAAUGCAUGUGUUUUCCAAUGUCAAAUAUUUUUCAUAAAAUUUAUACAUAAAAGUGAGAUUUGAGUUGUCGUGGAAGAAAUAUAACUUUUGCGCAAUAUUCUAAAAAAAGAUUUAGUAACUACAAAUAUUUUUUUUUCUUUGCGAAUAGCUACAAAUAUAUGUUGUAGACCGCAUGAUUUAUAUACUCCAAGGACGCUUAACUUAAAAUUCAUUCAUAAAUAAAGUUUUAUGAGCUAACAUAAGCCACGUGCUUGUUCUCCUCUCAAAUAAAAGACCCCACAAACUUGUAUACAAAACCUAAAUUUCGAUACUUACUAGUUUUGCGAUUUUGUUGUUCAUCCGGGAAGUACUAAAGCCAGUUAGCUGCUCCAUCUUCCACUCAACUUUCUAAACUAGGCCCCUUUGGAUCCUUAGACGGGGUAUUGCUUUGCGCCAGGCGUUUUCUAUAUGACUCUAGAUAAUUCCCAGUGCGCUGCCAUGCGAUAAAAAUAUUCUAGUACCUGAGCCGUGAUAUGAAUAUAUGAUAUUCUAGUACAAAUUAUUGCAUGUGCCAGUGCAUGGUCCGGACGGUUACGGGCGGUUUGAGGGUCUGCUUUGCAGAUCCCCUACAUUUUCUAUUACGUUAGCACGUGAUUUACUUAUCCAAAAUUAUGGCGUUUGCAUCGUACUCCAGAGAGGAAAUAUUGCAGUCCCUUCAAUUGUUCGUUAGAAGAAAAGAAAUAAGACAAUACAAACAUCCAGUUUUGGUAGGCUUUCUACUUUCUAGGAAGCGAGGGGGAGCUGCCUUCUUGGAGAAGCAGCCAAAGCAGGGGCGGCCGGUAGUUCUUUCCACGGGCGCAAAUGAUGAAGCCAUGCAUUGUUAAUCUCGUGGUUGGUACAAUGAACUGUAGAAAAAUAGUACUUCUAGCAAAUGGGACACGAAGCUUCGUUAGUUUUGCUUGGAACUGGCAACUUUGCAUAUUUAAAACGAUGGCCGUGGACUUCUCUCAUCAAAUAUAUGGCUUUAGGACUACUGAAUCUGCCGUGUUAUAGUAUCAAACACACACUUCUUUUAUUUCUCCGUCAGAAUGAGACUUGUCCUGAAAGUGAUAACAAAGUUACACUUGUCUAAAUUCUAUCAUAUCUCUGCACAAUCUGGACAAAGAGUUUGGUACGAAAAAUUGCGAAGCAAUGAUACUGCCGGUAGCUCCGCAGCUGACGAGACUAAUCCAAUUGAUUUGGUGAAUGGUGAUGUUGCUGUUGAUGUCGUAUAGCUCAGUCGAAAUAUAGGUUAGGAAGUCUUUUCUUGUUCAAGACUUGUGCAACUCAUCAACCAUAAACACGCUGUCUGACUGCUUGAACGUUCUGCCUUAUACUCUACCUGAUUGCAAAUAUAAAAGAUUCUAGCCUUUUAGGGCAGUUCAUACGGCUGUCCGAUAUGUUUGUUGAUGACUAACACUGCGAUGACUAACAUUUGGUGCCAAGCGAAGUGGGUCUUGUGCAUCUUCUUACAACUGAGGACUGAGAUUUUCAAGGAGAAAAUAUAUACUCCCUAUAUAGUAGUAAUCUAAACGCUCUUAUAUUAGUUCACGAAGGGAGUAUAUAAUGUUUUCGUCCCCCAACUUAUAGCUCUCUUUCUCUCCGCCUCCGCCUCCGCCUCCCCUCUGCCUCCCCUCCCGCCGCCGCCGGAUCCCGGCUGGGCAAAGCCCAUGCGGGGGAUGAUGGCGGCAGCGGGGCGUUCCUCUGUCACAGCUUGGAGGCGUGGCUGUGACAGUGGAUCUUGAGCGAGCACCUCGGGACAACUUGUGUGUGGCCAUGGCACCGGUCACGCAGCGAUGUGACCACCUCUACCUUUGGUUGUCUUCAUCGUCGGUCCAAAGGGAUCUGGUCGGUGGGUGUUGCCUCGCGGUGGCUUCCCGGCGGCGGAUCAAGUGGAGGAGGAGAUGGUGGCCCAGCUGCUGAAGUGGGUGAGGAUGCCACCAUCGUUGGCGGCACCCGUGGGUGUCGUUUUUCUCGUUGGAGGCGAUGGUAGGGGCGUCCCACGCUCCAUUGUUUCCGGGGGAAACCUCAGAUCUGGAGGAGGCUACCAUUGACGGCGGCGCCCAUGGGCGUCGUAGCCCUCGUUGGAGGCAUUGAGGGGCCCCCUGGAUCGGAUGAUGGCGAAGUUUUCAUCGUCAUCCCCACGGGGGCAUCAUCUUUGGGGACAUUCAUCAGCUCGACGGACAUAUGGACGGCUUGGUGGUUGGGCGUCGGUAGGUGGUGGAGCGGCGCUUCAUCCUACACAUCGAUGGCGGCGGAUCUUGGCGGCAUGGCGCAGUGGAGACUCGGCGUCCGAUGGGUGGCGAUGGAUUCGUGCAGGAGGACGACGCUGUCUGGCCUCAUCGUAGCGUCGCGGCAGAGAGGCCUGGUAAGGUCGAUGCGUCAGUAUCUGAUCUGAGGAUAGAUCGAUGGAUGAAGGAGGUGACGGCACUUGCAGCGUGUGCAUAUGGUGCCCACUGAAAGUGCGCCGGACUAGUGUGUAACCCAGUAUAGGUAAUGUGACUUGGAUGGGGCAUCCAGCAUUAGAUGUUAGGUGUUUGUGCGAUGUCUGUUUAGUAUUAGACUCGGACAUCCAAUAUGAUGGCUUCAGGCUUACUGAUGUAUUACCCUGUAAAGGCUUUGUGAAUAAUUAAUAAAUGGCUGCAUCCCCCUUUUCACAAAAAAAAACUUAUAGCUCGCUUCAUUGGAAGGCUUGGCCCAUCAACUAUAAACCAGAGAUAUUGCAGCUACAACUUUUGAAAUCGACCAAUUGGGCUCUCUUCGAAAUUAAAAUCGGUUUUCUUGAUGAAGCGGCGUGGUUUUUUACCUUGACUGGCACUUGUUGAUGUUGACGUGUCUUAGCGAGUUUUUUGCCUAUACAUGUUAGGUCCUCCUGGAAACUCUUUUUAACCGUAGUCUGCGCAUGAACACGGUAACUCUGGACCGGCGAAGUAUUCGCCUAAGUAGUACUGGAGGGAGAUGGCGACGCUUGACCCGUCCGCUGGCGACCUGUGUGGCGACGUGCCCGCCGUGGUCUCCUCCGCGAGCCCGCCGGCCUCCUCGCCCGCGUCCCAGGCGCCCGUUGCCUCCGCCGUCCUCCCUGCUCCGGGCCCCUCCCCGCCCUCUCCUUCUGCGGCCUCGGCGCCCGUCGUUUGGGCUGAUUUGGCGGAGGACGAGGACAUCGCCGCCGGCCGUCCGGUGGUGUGCCGCGACCGGGUUCCUCCUCCCGCCCCAGCUCGCCCGCCGCAGCCCCGUGCUGCCGGCGACCUUAUCCCCAGGGGUGGGGGUUAGGCUGCCCGCGCACGGGCACAAUCCCGCUGGGGACCGAGCUCGCCCCAGCCUCCCUCGGGGCAAGGCGCGACCUUGGGGUCGGGAGGAUCCCGCCGCCGGCGGCGCACGGCUGGCUGGGGUGUUGCCGGUCACGCGGACCUUGGCCCUGCCCGAUCGUCGUGGCGGGCCUCGGAUGCCACCGCCGCUGCUAGGGUAUCUGCGACGUCGUCGGCGUUGGCCGUCGGGUCCCCCGUGCUCCUUCGCCGCACCCCCUUCCGGCCAUUCAUCGCCUCCUUCGGCUCAUCCCGACUCCGCUUCGUGUCCGGACCUAGUACCCCGCGCCCCAGCCCUCCUCUCCGGCGGACUCUCCUCGCUUCACCGGCGCCGACGGCGGCAGGGGAAACCCUCGUCGCGCGCUCGCCCCGGCCGAGCCUGUUGGGCCGCCCCGUGGUGGGCCUUGGUCUGGGGUUGGGCCUUGCCUCCUCCGUUGGGCCCUCUGGGUCUGUCCCUCCGGCUGGACUGGAUUGUGGGCUGCGCCGGCCCACGCUGGCUGCCGGCCCAAUUCAGGGCCUGCUUCCCCGGCCACCCACUCGAGGGGCUAUCUGGCCCCCUCGAGGGUUUCCCACCCCGCCGCCAUCUCCCCCCCGAACGCCGCUCCCCCCUCGCUCGACCCCCACCCUCCCGCACUCGCCCGUUCCGACCCGGCUGCUCCGCUCCCCCCCGCUCCCGCUCUGGCUAUGUCGCGCAGUUGGGGUGACAACGCUGGCCGCCCCAAGUGGAGCCUGGAGGACCGCCGUGCCUCGUCCCGCUCCUCCCCCGAGGGCCUACGCCGGGAGGCGGACCUCCGCCGGGAGCUGUCCUCCCGGGACCAGCGCCGCUCGCCCCCUCGCAACUCCCGUCGCUCUCCUGGCCGUGACGACCGCCGCUCGUCGGCCCGGGACGGCCGCCGCUCCCCGCCCCAUGACGACCGCAGGGAUCGACCUCGGUCUCCCGAUCCCGAGCCACGGCGCGCUGACCGGCGUCGCUCCCCCUCGCCCGAGCGGCACCGUGCUCGCUCUCCCUCCCCGAGCUGCAACCCCGCUCCUCCUGCCGCCGAUGCUCCGAUGCGUCGCUACCAACCCCCGCAGAACCAGCCUUCCUCCCCCCCGCCAAUGGGGGGAAUGGGGGUCGGGGGCGCCAAGGCGCGAAGAAGAAGAAGAAGAGGGGCCCCGCGCCCCCCCGCUGCGCCGGCCCCCUCACCCGCGGCCUCCCCGCUGCCCGCGUCCGACGCCCCCUGUGACCCCCCUCGUGUUUCAACUACGGGCUCACGGGGCACUUCCAAGUCGAGUGCCCCAACCCCCCGACGUGCUACCUCUGCAAGGAUACCGGCCACCCCGCGGUGCUUUGUCCGGAUCGUCCUGUGACAGAUGAGCUCAUGAUGUAUGGACAUGGUAUCGAGGGCCUUGGCUUCUUCCACAUCGAGGUUGAGGACAUCCCACCCCUGUCUCCGUCGCUCCAAGAGAUCAUCACCGUUGUGGGGGUGGGUGACGCUUCUCCGGAGAUGAUCGAGGCUGAGCUCAACCACCUGUGCCGGCGUGUGUGGGAUUGGCAGGUGACCCCGACCUCUGCCAGCUCCUUCACCGUGGUCUUCCCGGACACCAUCAGCUUGGGCCUCUGCACCCGCAGCGACGACAUCACCCUGGCCCUGAACAAGCUUGUGGUCAACAUCUCCGAGCCAAAGGUCGACCCAAGGCGGUCGCUGUCUUGGAUACUGCUUGGAUCCUCAUUUCGGGGCUUCUUGAUGUGGCUCGGUCCGAGCGGGUCAUUCGCAGUAUGUCCAAGAUCCUCGACAAGGUGGUGGUGGUGGAUGAGCUCUCCAUUCACAGUGAGGAAGAGGUCCGGGUCAAGGUCAAGUGCCUCGACUCCGACAAGCUCCGUGCUACCGUUCGAGUUUUCUUCAAUGACCUAGGAUUCGACCUCAAGAUCUUCCCCGAGCCUCCCAACCAUGUCGGUCGCCCCCGUUUCUCUGAUGAUGGGCACUCGCACUACCGCCGCCCACAUCCCUCCCGCCACGAGGACCCAGACGACGACGACGAGNNNNNNNNNNNNNNNNNNNNNNNNNNNNNNNNNNNNNNNNNNNNNNNNNNNNNNNNNNNNNNNNNNNNNNNNNNNNNNNNNNNNNNNNNNNNNNNNNNNNNNNNNNNNNNNNNNNNNNNNNNNNNNNNNNNNNNNNNNNNNNNNNNNNNNNNNNNNNNNNNNNNNNNNNNNNNNNNNNNNNNNNNNNNNNNNNNNNNNNNNNNNNNNNNNNNNNNNNNNNNNNNNNNNNNNNNNNNNNNNNNNNNNNNNNNNNNNNNNNNNNNNNNNNNNNNNNNNNGUGCUGGCCCUCGCUAAUGGGUCGGCCCCCGCAAUGCUGCCGGCUACCUCCCCCACCUCCUCUGCCGAGAUGAGCGACAUCUCCAGUGUCGGCCUCCUCGUCGUCAAGGCUUCCUCGCCGCGGUCUGCCUGCUCCACCCCUGUGCCCGGCUCCCCGUCCUCGGCCCUGGAGGCGCUCCCCUGGCUCUGAUGGCCCCCUUGACGGCUGAGCUCCCCCCCGUCGUGUCUCCUCUUUCGGGCUCUCCGGGCGGUGCCCUGCCGCUGGCCGCGCCCACCCCCCGGAGUCCGCCCCUGUGGUGGUGCUGGUGGGUGGCCUUCCUGCCCCGGACCCGCCCUCCCCUGCUCGGCUGGGGUUCGACACCUGCUUCGAGUCUCCUGCUGCCGCUUCUUCGUCCCGCCUGCUCCUGGAGGUCACCGCGGAUGUGGUCACCCCCAUCGCCUCCCACCCGCCUCGGACGGUGUCGUACGCACGCCGGACCCGGGCCUCGUCGACUCCGGUGAUUGCCUCUCGUCACAAUGGUCGUCUCAAUGCGGACCGCCCGGCUGGCUUCCCGGCGCCGUCCAUCUCCGAGCGUGCGGAGCUCCGGGUCGCGGUCGGAACCUCGAGCCAGGUGCGACCGACAUCCCCUCCAGUUCUUCCAGUUGUUCGUUUUCUGCUCUUGAGGCUGUUCCGCUCGGCCACCUUGCCAAGGUGGCCGCAGACUCAUCCGUCGUUUUCAGGGGGGAGUUAGGACCCCCCCUUAGAGCAGAUUGCUGCCAUCCAGGCUAAGGAGAUCCUUGAAGGAAAACUUGCUGAGACCCGGGCUUGUCUCCUCCGCACCCCGGCACCCCAGCCACCCACCGGGGGGCCGAUUCUGGAAAUACGCGGCCGUACCCGCUCCCGCACUGCGGCGCUCAGGGCCCACAGCGCCUCCACCGUUCUGGGGUCAAGCAGCCCCCCUAUGGGGGUUUAGAUGCGGGCCCUAUUUUGGAACAUCCGCGGCUUCGGCCAUGACGGCCGCCGCCGGCAACUCAUUGAGUAUAUGCGUGAUGAGCACAUCGACAUCAUAGCCAUCCAAGAAACCAUGCGCACGGAGUUUUCCCUCCCCGAGCUCGAUUGUCUUAGCCCCCACCUAUUCGCCUGGAACUGGAUCCCUUCUAGUGGGACCACUGGGCACUCGGGUGGCAUCCUUUUAGGUGUGAAGGAUGCCACAUUUGAGGUUGGCGGUAUGGACCGGGGCGAAUUCUUCGUCCGCAUGGAAAUCUUCGGACGGGCGCUCAACUUCAAAUGGGAGGUCGUCAUUGUCUAUUGACCGGCGGACCACCGCUGUUCUCCGACCUUCCUCGCUGAGCUGCAAUGGAAGGUGUAACACCCCCGAUGUAACUUUCCAUAUUUGUAACUCCGACUCUUACCAUUUUCGGCUAUGUGUUAUGAUUUUUCCUUCAUGGUCGGGUUUUGUCUUUCGUUUUGUAUUUUGUUCAUCUCAUGCAUCUCAUAUCAUGUCAUCAUGUGCAUUGCAUUUGCAUACGUGUUCGUCUCAUGCAUCCGAGCAUUUUCCCCUUGUCCGUUUUGCAAUCCGGCACUCCCACCUCCUCCGGCGCACCCCUUUUUGUUUCUUUUCGUGAGUGGGUGUUGAACAUUUUCGGAAUGGACCGAGGCUUGUCAAGUGGCCUUGGUAUAACACCGGUAGACCACCGGUCAAGUUUCGUUCCAUUUGGAGGUCGUUUGAUGCUCCAACGGUUAACCGGGUAACCGCAAAGUCCGUUUGUGUGUUGUAGAAAACCACUCUCUAAAUAGCCCAAAACCACUCUAAGUCUCAUCCAUGCUCUAGGUCGUUCGAUCAUGAUCGUGUGGGUGAAAACCGCACCUCAUUUGGACUCUCCUAGCUCCCUCUACCUAUAAAUAUGUGUCUCUCCCGAAUCCUCCCGCAGUCCAAAACCCUAAAAAACGCCCUCCGGCGCCGCCGGACGAAGCCGCCGCCGCCCCGCAACCACUCCGCGUCCGCCACGUGUCCCGCGCAGCCCACCUCCACAGCCGGCCCGCCAGGCAAGCGCGGGGCCCGCGCGAGCCCGCGGGANNNNNNNNNNNNNNNNNNNNNNNNNNNNNNNNNNNNNNNNNNNNNNNNNNNNNNNNNNNNNNNNNNNNNNNNNNNNNNNNNNNNNNNNNNNNNNNNNNNNNNNNNNNNNNNNNNNNNNNNNNNNNNNNNNNNNNNNNNNNNNNNNNNNNNNNNNNNNNNNNNNNNNNNNNNNNNNNNNNNNNNNNNNNNNNNNNNNNNNNNNNNNNNNNNNNNNNNNNNNNNNNNNNNNNNNNNNNNNNNNNNNNNNNNNNNNNNNNNNNNNNNNNNNNNNNNNNNNNNNNNNNNNNNNNNNNNNNNNNNNNNNNNNNNNNNNNNNNNNNNNNNNNNNNNNNNNNNNNNNNNCGAGCCCGCCGGCGUGCCGCCGCGCCUCGCCGCCCCCGUGCCCCGGCGCCUCCUCCCCGUCUCCGGCUCCUCCUCCGCGUGCCUCCUCCCUGCCGGCCCUCUCCUCCGUCUUCCCCGGCGAGCGCCCUUGCUCCGGCGAGCUUUGGCCGUCCCCGAUCUCGAGCACCGGCCCGAUCCAGAUCCAGGCGCAGUGGUUGACUUUCUUCCCCUCUCCCGAUUUCUCUAAGUCCCCGAGUUUUUUACAUGAUAUGCUUCUGUUCAGUGCAUCAUAACUCUCUGCAUAUAGCUCCGUUUCGUGCGUGUAAUAUAUUGAAAUGUUCGUCUCGUGAUGCUCUUCUUUUGCUAUAUAAUAUUUCUGGCAGAUUCUUAACAUGAUAUUCCAUAUUGCCAAGCUUGUUGUAGUUGUUUCAUACAUGCUAUGUACUUGCUCUUGCCAUGGAUAGCUUUAUAAACAUGCCAUCUUGCUGUAGGUAUGCUUGUUUUUUCAUGCAUUGCUUUGUGGUGAGUGCAUCAAGCUCACCAAGAUGCCUUAAUAUUAUUUCUUCUGCCAUGCUCUGUUUUCUGCCAAGUCUGAAACCUGUUAACGAAACUUGCUGUGUUUACAUGGUUGCCAUCAUAUCUUCUGGUCCUUUUUGGCUUAUGGUCAGUAAGGAAUUUUUGUCAUAUGCAUUUAGUAAAAUACUUCAAUGCCUUGUUUUGCCAUGUUAAGUUCCUUUAGCAUGUUGAUUUCAUGCUCUGAACAUUGCUACCUGAUGCUGUUUCAGGCAUGUCCAGUAAUUUUCACAAGUCUGUGAACCUGUUAUCUUUUGCACUUUUGCCAUACUUGUUUGAACCUGUUAUGUUGUGAUAUAGCCGUAGCUCAUUGUUCAUAUUUUGUCAAGCAUCUUCUGUAAAAUACUGCCAUAUGCUUUGUUGCUAUGUUGGAGUGCUGUAGCUUUGUUACUUGUUGCAUUCUAAGUGCUAUCAUGCUGUUAAUCACAGAUUCGUGUCAUUCUUGUUUUGUUUGCCAUUUGCAAACCGUGCAUCCGUUUCCGGUGAUCUUUAUAUCGAUUUCGACCGAAAUCAUCUCAUAUUUCCAGUGGCAUGCUUGGUUUGCCAAGUUACUGCAUUGUUCAUCAUUUUUCUUCCGGACCACGCAUAUGCAUCACAUAUCAUAUCUUGCAUAUCAUUCAUGUUUUGCAUCAUGUUGCUUGUGCAUUCCCCGUGAUUGAUUGUGGUUCCGUUGCUUGUGUUCUUUUUUUGGGUAGAGCCGGGAGAUGAGUUCGUGUACGAGGAACCUGUUGAGUACGCUUACGAGGAUCAAGCUUUCGACAACUCUGAGAACCUGGCAGGCAAGAUGACCACCCCUCGAAAUCACUUCUAUCUUUGCUUUGCUAGUUGUUCGCUCUAUUUGCCAUGCCGCGCUACCUAUCACUUGCUAUAUCAUGCCUCCCAUAUUGCCAUGACAGCCUCUAACCAUCCUUUCCUAGCAAACCGUUGUUUGGCUAAGUUACCGCUUUUGCUCAGCCCUUCUUAUAGCGUUGCUAGUUGCAGGUGAGGAUAAAGUUGGUUCCAUGUUGGAACAUGGAUAUGUUGGGAUAUCACAAUAUCUCCUAUUUAAUUAAUGCAUCUAUAUAUUUGGGUAAAGGGUGGAAGGCUCGGCCUUAUGCCUGGUGUUUUGUUCCACUCUUGCCGUUCUAGUUUCUGUCAUACCGGUAUUUUGUUCCUUGAGUUUGCGUUCCUUAUGCGGUUGGGUGAUUUAUGGGACCCCCUUGACAGUUUGCCUUGAAUAAAACUCCUACAGCAAGGACCAACCUUGAUUUUACCAUUUGCCACCUAAGCCUUUCUCCCCCGGGUUUUCACGAGCCCGAGGGUCAUCUUUAUUUUAAACCCCCGGACCAGUGCUCCUUCGAGUGCUGGCCCAAACUGGGCGAUGUCCGGCGCCCUCUGGGCAACCUGGCUCUGAUACCAACUUGUAACGCCCACGAUGCGGCUAUAUCUCCCACGUGUCGAGGCACGACUUAGAGGCAUAACCGCAUAGUGGUUUUGUCGCAAGAAGGGUCAUCUUCACACAAUCCCAUGUAAUGAACAAGAAUGGGAUAAUGAGAGUUGGCUUACAAUCGCAACUUCACACAAUACACGGUCCUCGAAGAAUGAAGGUUCUCUGUCAUCAAUGCGAUAGCACUUGUAUUUGGAAAGACCCUUGUCGAUACCACGUUUCACCUUCUUCACCAUGGCAUCAAGCAGUCGUAUUGGUGGAGUCAAACGAAGCGAGAAAUCGCUCAAUUCGUGAAUGAAUGUGAUGUCUGUCGAAGGGUGAAAGCAGAACACCAACGACCAGCUGGUCUGCUCCAACCUCUUGCUAUCCCAGAGUGGAAGUUUGAUCAUAUCGAAAUGGACUUCGUGACUGAGUUUCCAAAGUCAAAGCGUGGAAAUGAUGCUAUCUUCGUUGUCAUCGACAAGCUUUCUAAAGUGGCUCAUUUCCUUCCAAUCAAAGAAUCCAUCACAGCAGCUCAGUUGGCAGAGCUAUACACCUCCAGGAUUGUCUCUUUGCACGGCAUUCCACAAUUGAUUUCUUCAGAUCGUGGAAGCAUCUUCACCUCUAAGUUCUGGGACUCCUUCUAGAAGGCCAUGGGCACCAACAUUCGCUUCAGCACAGCUUUCCAUCCUCAAACUAGUGGCUAAGUCGAGCGAGUCAAUCAAAUUCUUGAAGAUAUGCUCAGGGCUUGUGUCAUUUCCUUUGGCAUGAAAUGGGAAGAUUGUCUUCCAUAUGCCGAAUUCUCCUACAACAACAGCUUCCAAGCGAGUUCGGGCAAGGCCCCAUUCGAGAUUCUCUAUGGCAGAAAGUGCCGUACUCCUCUCAAUUGGUCAAAGACUGGUGAACGCCAACUUCUUGGCAACGACUUAAUCACAGAGGCUGAAGAAAUGUGUAAAGUCAUCCAUGAUAAUCUCAAAGCCGCGCAAUCGCGCCAGAAGAGUUACUAUGAUAGUAAGCACCGUGAUGUGGCUUUCCAGAUCGGAGACCAUGUCUACCCCCGCGUCUCUCCAAUGAAAGGCACUCGUCGCUUCGGUAUCAAAGGGAAGCUUGCCCCUAGAUAUGUGGGUCCUUUCAAGAUCAUUGGCAAAAGAGGCGACCUCGCCUAUCAACUUGAGCUUCCUUCCAACUUCGCGAACGUGCACGAUGUGUUCCACGUGUCACAGCUUCGCAAGUGCUUCAAGACGCCUGAGCGCACCAUCAACUUCGAAGAGAUUGACCUCCAAGAAGAUCUGUCUUAUCAUGAGCACCCCGUUGCUAUUCUUGAAGAAACUGAGUGCAAGACUCGCAACAAGUCAAUCAAAUUCCUGAAAGUGAAGUGGUCGCACCAUUCUGACCGAGAAGCCACCUGGGAACGCGAGGACCACCUCCGUUCCGAAUAUCCGGAGUUCUUUCACUCCUAGAUCUCGGGACGAGAUCCUCUCGUAGUGGUGGAGUGUUGUAACACCCCGGAUGUAACUUUCCAUAUUUGUAACUCCGACUCUUGCCAUUUUCGGCUAUGUGUUAUGAUUUUUCCUUCAUGGUCGGGUUUUGUCUUUCGUUUUGUAUUUUGUUCAUGUCAUGCAUCUCAUAUCAUGUCAUCAUGUGCAUUGCAUUUGCAUACGUGUUCGUCUCACGCAUCCGAGCAUUUUCCCCGUUGUCCGUUUUGCAAUCCGGCACUCCCACCUCCUCCGGCGCACCCCUUUUCGUUUCUUUUCGUGAGCGGGUGUUGAACGUUCUCGGCAUGGACCGAGGCUUGUCAAGUGGCCUUCGUAUACCACCGGUAGACCACCGGUCAAGUUUCGUUCCAUUUAGAGGUCGUUUGAUGCUCCAACGGUUAACCGGGUAACCGCAAAGUCCGUUUGUGUGUUGCAGAAAAACCCAUCUCUAAAGAGCCCAAAACCACUCUAAGUCUCUUCCAUGCUCUAGGUCGUUCGAUCAUGAUCGUGUGGGCGAAAACCGCACCUCAUUUGGACUCUCCUAGCUCCCUCUACCUAUAAAUAUGUGUCUCUCCCGAAUCCUCCCGCAGUCCAAAACCCUAAAAAACGCCCUCCGGCGCCGCCGGACGAAGCCGCCGCCGCCCCGCAACCACUCCGCGUCCGCCACGUGUCCCGCGCCGCCCACCUCCACAGCCGGCCCGCCAGGCACGCGCGGGGCCCGCGCGAGCCCGCGGGAUUCCGCCGUUGCUCGCCCGCUCCUUCUUCCUCCUCCGCCGAAGCCCGGUGCCGCCCCACGCCAAGCCGCCGACGCCGGCCGCNNNNNNNNNNNNNNNNNNNNNNNNNNNNNNNNNNNNNNNNNNNNNNNNNNNNNNNNNNNNNNNNNNNNNNNNNNNNNNNNNNNNNNNNNNNNNNNNNNNNNNNNNNNNNNNNNNNNNNNNNNNNNNNNNNNNNNNNNNNNNNNNNNNNNNNNNNNNNNNNNNNNNNNNNNNNNNNNNNNNNNNNNNNNNNNNNNNNNNNNNNNNNNNNNNNNNNNNNNNNNNNNNNNNNNNNNNNNNNNNNNNNNNNNNNNNNNNNNNNNNNNNNNNNNNNNNNNNNNNNNNNNNNNNNNNNNNNNNNNNNNNNNNNNNNNNNNNNNNNNNNNNNNNNNNNNNNNNNNNNNNNNNNNNNNNNNNNNNNNNNNNNNNNNNNNNNNNNNNNNNNNNNNNNNNNNNNNNNNNNNNNNNNNNNNNNNNNNNNNNNNNNNNNNNNNNCUCCUCCUCCGCGCGCCUCCUCCCCGCCGGCCCUCUCCUCCGUCUUCCCUGGCGAGCGCCCUUGCUCCGGCGAGCUUCGGCCGUCCCCGAGCUCGAGCACCGGCCCGAUCCAGAUUCAGGCGCAGUGGUUGACUUUCUUUCCCUCUCCCGAUUUCUCUCAAGUCCCCGAGUUUUUUACAUGAUAUGCUUCUGUUCAGUGCGUCAUAACUCUCUGCAUACAGCUCUGUUUCAUGCGUGUAAUAUAUCAAAAUGUUCGUCUCGUGAUGCUCUUCAUUUUGUUACAUUGCACCAUGUUCAUUUGAGUCCAUCUUGAUGCCCAAAUCUCUGGUGCAAGAGUGCUAGUUGCUGUUAUCUGCUGUUACUUAUCAGAACUUGAGGUUUUGUUAUUUUUGUUGCAUUUAAUCUGUGCAUCUUAUGGGAAUGAGCUCUACACGUGUCUUGAUGUAUGCCAUGCCAUCUUUAUAGAGGUGUAUGCCAUGUAUUUUUGUGAUCUAUGUGGUGACUAGCACAAGCAUGCAAACUAGGCUCCGUAAUGUUUCUGAUUUCAGGGACGGUGAUUUUAAUGUCUGUGACUGCUGUUAUUUUGUUGCUAUGUAUCCAUGUGUCUACAGAGAGAUAUAUGCUCUAUUUGGAGAUGUUCAGUAAGGAUGUUUUGUAGAUAUUGUUGUAAUUGAUCCAUUUCUGCCCUUGUUUGCAAUUAUGGAGUGCGAUGGCAUGAGUCAAUCUUGCUCUACUUUUGCUAUAAAAUAUUUCUGGCAGAUUCCUAACAUGAUAUUCAAUCUUGCCAAGCUUGUUGUAGUUGUUUCAUACAUGCUAUGUACUUGCUCUUGCCAUGGAUAGCUUUAUAAACAUGCCAUCUUGCUGUAGGUAUGCUUGUUUUGUCGUGCAUUGCUUUGUGGUGAGUGCAUCAAGCUCACUAAGAUGCCUUCAUAUUAUUGCUUCUGCCAUGCUCUAUUUUCUGCCAUGUCUGAAACCUGUUAACGAAACUUGCUGUGUUUACAUGGUUGCCAUCAUAUCUUCUGGUCCUUUUUGGCUUAUGGUCAGUAAGGGAUUUUUGUCAUACGCAUUUAGUACAAUAUUUCCAUGUUUUGUUUUGCCAUGUUAAGUUCCUGUAGCAUGUUCAUUUCGUGCUCUGAACAUUGCUACCUGAUGCUGUUUCAGGCAUGUCCAGUAAUUUCACCAAGUCUGUGAACCUGUUAUCUUUUGCACUUUUGCCAUGCCUGUUUGAACCUGUUAUGUUGUGAUCUAGCCAUAGCUCAUUGUUCAUAUUUUGUCAAGAAUCUCCUGUAGAAUACUGCCAUAUACUUUGUUGCUAUGUUGGAGUGAUGUAGCUUUGUUACUUGUUGCAUUCUAAGUGCUAUCAUGCUGUUAAUCACAGAUUCGUGUCAUUCUUGUUUUGUUUGCCAUUUGCAAACCGUGCAUCCGUUUCCGGUGAUCUUUAUAUCGAUUUCGACCAAAAUCAUCUCAUAUUUCCAGUGGCAUGCUUGGUUUGCCAAGUUACUGCAUUGUUCAUCAUUUUUCUUCCGGAGCACGCAUAUGCAUCGCAUAUCAUAUCUUGCAUAUCAUUCGUGUUUUGCAUCAUGUUGCUUAUGCAUUCCCCGUGAUUGAUUGUGGUUCCGUUGCUUGUGUUCUUGUUUUUGGUAGAUCCGGGAGACGAGUUCGUGUACGAGGAACCUGUUGAGUACGCUUACAAGGAUCAAGCUUUCGACAACUCUAAGAACCUGGCAGGCAAGAUGACCACCCCUCGAAAUCACUUCUAUCUUUGCUUUGCUAGUUGUUCGCUCUAUUUGCCAUGCUGCGCUACCUAUCACUUGCUAUAUCACGCCUCCCAUAUUGCCAUGACAGCCUCUAACCAUCCUUUCCUAGCAAACCGUUGUUUGGCUAAGUUACCACUUUUGCUCAGCCCUUCUUAUAGCGUUGCUAGUUGCAGGUGAGGAUGAAGUUGGUUCCAUGUUGGAACAUGGAUAUGCUGGGAUAUCACAAUAUCUCUUGUUUAAUUAAUGCAUCUAUAUAUUUGGGUAAAGGGUGGAAGGCUCGGCCUUAUGCCUGGUGUUUUGUUCCACUCUUGUCGCUCUAGUUUCUGUCAUACCGGUAUUAUGUUCCUUGAGUUUGCGUUCCUUACGCGGUUGGGUGAUUUAUGGGACCCCCUUGACAGUUCGCCUUGAAUAAAACUCCUCCAGCAAGGCCCAACCUUGGUUUUACCAUUUGCCACCUAAGCCUUUCUCCCCCGGGUUUUCGCGAGCCCGAGGGUCAUCUUUAUUUUAAACCCCCGGACCAGUGCUCCUUCGAGUGCUGGCCCAAACUGGGCGAUGUCCGGCGCCCCCUGGGCAACCAGGGUCUAUGCCAACCCGACGUCUUGCCCAUCCGGUGUGCCCUGAGAACGAGGUAUGUGCAGCUCCUAUCGGGAUUUGUCGGCACAUUCGGGUCGCGUUGCUGGUCUUGUUUUACCAUUGUCGAAAUAUCUUGUAAACCGGGAUUCCGAGACUGAUCGUGUCUUUCCGGGAGAAGGUUUAUCCUUCGUUGACCGUGAGAGCUUAUAAUGGGCUAAGUUGGGACACCCCUGCAGGGUAUUAUCUUUCGAAAGCCGUGCCCGCGGUUAUGAGGCAGAUGGGAACUUGUUAAUGUCCGGUUGUAGAGAACUUGUCACUUGACUUAAUUAAAAUACAUCAACCGCGUGUGUAGCCGUGAUGGUCUCUUCUCGGCGGAGUCCGGGAAGUGAACACGGUUUGAGUUAUGAAUGACGUAAGUAGGAGUUCAGGAUCACUUCUUGAUCACUACUAGAUGACGACCGUUCCGUUGCUUCUCUUCUCGCUCUCUUUCGCGUAUGUUAGCCACCAUAUAUGCUUAGUGCCUGCUGCAGCUCCACCUCAUUACACCAUCCUUUCCUAUAAGCUUAAAUAGUUUUGAUCUCGCGGGUGUGAGAUUGCUGAGUCCUCGUGACUCACAGAUUCUACCAAAACAGUUGCAGGUGCCGACGAUGCCAGUGCAGAUGACGAAAUCGACCUCAAGUGGGAGUUCGACGAGGAACGUGGUCGUUACUAUGUGUCUUUUCCUGAUGAUCAGUAGUGGAGCCCAGUUGGGUCGAUCGGGGAUCUAGCAUUUGGGGUUAUCUUAUUUUCAUAUGGAUUUUGACCAUAGUCGGUCUAUGUGUGUAUUUUGGAUGAUGUAUGAAGUAUAUUUAUGUAUUGUGUGAAGUGGCGAUUGUAAGCCAACUCUCGUUAUCCCAUUCUUGUUCAUUACAUGGGAUUGUGUGAAGAUGACCCUUUUUGCGACAAAACCACUAUGCGGUUAUGCCUCUAAGUCGUGCCUCGACACGUGGGAGAUAUAGCCGCAUCGUGGGCGUUACAGAAGGCCUCCGCUUCCCCCCUCCCAGUGGUCAUGGAUGGUGACUUCAACCUCAUCCGGUCUCCGGAUGAGAAGAAUAACGACCGGAUCAACCGCCCGAGAAUGCAGAUGUUCAACGACUGCAUUGCGGAGCUUAGCCUCCGCGAGCUUGAGCGGACUGGUGCCAGAUUUACCUGGACGAACCGCCAAGCUGACCCGACGCGAUCCGUUCUGGAUCACGUCCUAGUCUCCCCGGAUUGGGAACUCAGAUGCCCCUUGCCUUCGCUCCGGGCGAUUACCCGAAUCGGGUCUGACCAUGUUCCUCUCCUUCUCUCCAUCGCCGACGAAUGACCCACCAUCCCGGCUCGGUUUUGGUUUGAGCUCUUUUGGCUCAACCAGGCGGGUUUCCACGAGGCGGUCGUGGCCCGGUGGGUCACCGCGCGCACUUCCCCCUAGCGUGCCAUGUCGGCCGUGGACUCGUGGCAGUUCUGUGCCAAGCUCGCCCGCCAAUUCAUGAAGGGUUGGGGUGCCAACCUUGGCAGAGACCUCCGCAAGCACAAGAAAGCCCUCCUGACUGCCAUCCAGGCCUUGGACACCCGUGCGGACACUACCGGGAUCUCCCCGGAUGAGUGGAUGCUGCGAUAUGAUCUUGAGGAUCAGCUCUCUACCAUUUAUAGGGACGAAGAAGCUUAUUGGAGGCUCCGCGGUACCCAACGUUGGGUGCUUCGGGGAGAUGCUAAUACGGCGUAUUUCCAGGCGAUCGCGAUGGGCGGCGGCGACGGAAUUCCAUCCAUUGCCUUUGGGAUGGUGAUUCCCAGCUUGUCUGCCCAUCGGACAUUCAUGCGCACGUCGAUGGCUUCUAUAAAGCCCUAUUCUCCCCCACCCUUCGGGGUGGGCCGCCCUGGCCCCCCACAUCUGGUCGGGUGCCCAGCUUGUCUCCAAUGCGGCUAACGCCGCCUUAGUUGCUCCGUUCUCCGAGGACGAGGUCCUUGUGGCAAUUAAGGGUAUGAACCCCUCCUCAGCCCCGGGACCGGAUGGACUGCCCGUGUCCUUCUUUAAAGCGUUUUGGCAGACCAUCAAACCUGAGGUCAUGGCUCUCUUCGACGAAUUCUUCUUGGGGACCAUAGACCUCAGGCGGCUUAACUAUGGGGUCAUCACGCUCAUCCCCAAAGUCCCGGGCGCGGCUGACAUCUGCCAGUUCCGACCUAUCACUGUGAUCAAUGUGACACUACUAGGGAAAACCUUACCAGUAGCGCUGGUUUUUGAGCUACCAGUAGCGCGGCACCAACGCUACUGCUAUGGCGCUACAACUAUUUUGUAGCUGUUGAGGAUAUAGACCUUGGAGUCACCCGCCAGGAGGGCCGGGUUACUCUAAGGGUCAUUGCCAGAAGCCCGGAGCUAAGUUUCAAGAUGAUGGGCCAGAGAUGGGCUGAGACCCGUAUAUGGCUUAAAGCCCGAAGUUACAAUCAUUGUUAUAGUAGGCUUGUAGUGUAAGGCAAGUAUUGUUCAGAGUCCGAGCCGGAUGCUCUUAUGAGCCGGCCGGGACUCUAAGGGCUGCUGGGCGUCAGCCUCCCUAUAUAAAGGGAGGACCCGGCAGCGGUUUAAGGGCGACAAUAAUCUCAUCGAGAGCCGGGAUAGCUGUUUAGCUCCCUGGCGAUCGUAAUCCUAGUCAAUAACACCUCAAACUGGACGUAGGCUUUUACCUUCACUGUAAGGGGCUGAACCAGUAUAAACCCUCGUGUUCCUUGUCCCACAUAACCCCUUCAAGCUUCCUAGCUGCGAUGGCUCCACGACUAAGUCCUAGCUCGAGAACAUCUGCCGUGACAAUUCCACGACAGUUGGCGCCCACCGUGGGGCCGGCGCACUGUGGAUUUGAGUUCUUGAAGGGCAGCUUCGAAGGGCUCAAGGGAUACACUGUGGGCCGGAUGACCAAGAGUCGUCGCGGCAAGCUCUACAUCGACGAUGCGGACUGGGGCCCCGACGCCGGCUCAAUUGAGUACGGGUACCGGGUCCCCUUCGGUGGAAUUCAUGUUUUCAUCGGUAAGAUUGGUGAGCCGGGCCCCGAGCCGGAUCUCCGCGCCGAUCUCAUCAAAAUGGCUCAGCGCGCACAACCCGCCCGGGCCCGGCCUGCCGUAAGGCGCGCUUUUGUGGGAUGCAUCCAUGGAGGGCCCUCUGAUCCUUCCGGGUUCGGUGAUGAGGAGGCUGCCGGCUCUGACGACGAGUCGGCCACUGAUGAGUCAAACUCGUCGUACCAACUCCAAGAUGGCGUGCUCAUGGGUUGUUCCGACGGUGACAGUAUUCCGGACCUUUUUGAGCCACCAAGUCAGGUUGGAGUUUUUAUGGCUGGUGCGCAGCCUGUUCAGAACCCUGCAGCUGGGGCGGGAAACCCGGUGCCUUCUCCGGCUCAAGUGCUAAUGGAUCUCACGGACAAGAUGACGGCCCUGUUAACCGCCACGAUCGACCCGGCAGAUAAAGCGCAGCACGAUGCGGGGGUGGCACAGCUAAAAUUGGAUCUGAUAAAAGCUAAAGAGGAUCUUGCAGCGGAAGGGAUCAGGCUGGCUGCAGAGCGGGCGGCUCUCGACGCCCGGACUCAGCUGAUUCAGGCGCAGUCCUUCCAACUCACGAUGGAUCAGAACGCGGCCAACGAGGUCAUGAGAAGGAGGCAUCAGAAGGCCCAGUCUCGACUCCCGCCGGUUUACGAUCCACGCAAUCUCUUCAACACCCCGGGUGCAGGGUCUAGUAACCCGCCAGGGGUCAUUGCGCCCGGGUCUGGACCCCUGGUUCAGCCGCGAGUGAUGGGGCCUCCCCAGGUGCCCCCUGCCCCGCCUCAGUAUGUGCCAAUACCCCCGGGUCAUUAUGAUAACCCGCUAGAGAACAUGGUAGCUGUGGCAGCAUGGCUGGCGGCUCUCCCCGUUGACGGUGAUUCUCCGACGGCCAUCGAAACCCGCCGGGUCAGGGAACUCCUGCAGACGGCACUAGCACAGCAAGAGGCGUACUCCUAUAGCCGUGACAGGAUCCACUCGACCCCUCGUCCAGGCCAGAGCCCGAGUUACAGCCGGCACAUGGUCUCAGCAACCGGUUCAAGUAAUGUGCGACGCCACGACCCGCCCCCUGGGCAUGGCCCGGCUCAUAAUGGAGCCUUCUACACAACAGACCAAGCGCGGCGAGAGGCGGAGCAGGCGCCUCAAUUGACGGCUUACCAGACCCCCCCGGCGUAUCCAACGACGUCCGUUGAUGUGGGAAUUUCUACUAGGACCGGGGGUGUCCCUUGUUUGGUACCAGCCAUCCGUAAUGAACGUCUACCUAAGGACUUCAAGGGCCCUAGGAAGGUGCCUAACUAUACAGCGGACUUACAGCCUGCAGCCUGGAUUGAGAGUUAUGAGAUGGCCAUGGAAUUGCUGGACGUCAGUGAGGCGGCCAUGGCCAAAUAUUUCACCAUGAUGUUAGAUGGGACUGCCCGCACGUGGUUAAAAGGGCUACCACCGAACUCCAUUGGGUCUUGGGCUGAGCUGAAAGCCCAGUUCAUUCAAAACUUCAAAGAUACCUGCAGGCAAUCUAUGUCAAUUGUGGAUUUGACUAACUGUAAGCAGCAGGAGGGCGAGUCCACGACCCAUUGGGUUCGUCGGGUCAAGGAGAUCAUACAUUCAUCAGAUAAGAUGGAUGCCGGCUCUGCAGUCUUAAUGUUGGAACAGAACUGUCGCUUUGUGCCCCUUAAGAUGAAGCUUGGGCGGCUCAAGCGCGACUGCACCGAUAUGGGUACCCAAAUGGCGGCUCUUGUCAAGUACGCCGAUUCCGAUGGUACCAAGGAUCCCCCUUCAGACGAUGAAAGGGCAGGGAAGGGAAAGAAGAAUGGCAACGACAAGGGUCCUCAGUUUAACCCGGGGAACCAAGGAGGAGGCAAGCGUAAGGCCGAUGGCAGCCUGGAGUUCGUAGCCAACACCAACUCUCAAGGUAAUAACCAGCGACGCAAGGGGAGGCCCCCUCCCCGAGGCGGCGGGUCAGGACCUUCUCUGGAGCAGCUGUUGAAUGAACCUUGCCCGAGACACGGCUCUAGAGAGAAGCCAGCAACUCAUCUGUGGAAGGAUUGUGCUAUCAUGAAGGCCUUUAAAAACUACAAUGGUCCGGGUGGCGGCUCAUGCGCCGGCGGCUUUCAUGGCCCGGGCGGCGGUUCAAAUUCCGGUCCUCAGAACGGUCAAGGGGGCUUUAAUCAACAGUCUGGUCUGGGUCAUCAACAGCAGCAGGGGGUUAUCAGACCAACCCAAAGCAGCUUAGCGGUGGACAGUAUCACGUGUUCACCACUAGUUUGUGCAAACGAGACGAGAAGCUUCACAAGAGGGCUGUUAAUUCUGUUGAGCCGGCGGUUCCACGCUACUUACGGUGGUCUGAGCAGCCCAUAGUGUGGAGUAGGGAGGAUCACCCCCCCGGGUGGAUAACCCGGGCCACCUGGCCUUAGUGGUGGCUCCUCAGGUGGGAGGCUAUAAGUUCACAAAGGUACUCAUGGAUGGAGGCAGCAGCAUCAACAUCCUCUAUUAUGAGACAUUCCGUCGUAUGGGGCUAGUCGAUAAGAACCUCAGCCAGUCAAAUACUAUCUUCCAUGGUGUGGUACCCGGUAAGUCGGCUUAUCCAGUCGGCAAGAUCGAACUGGAAGUGGCUUUUGGUGAUGAGAACAACUACAGGGUGGAGAAGUUGACCUUUGAGGUGGUCAAGAUAAGAAGUCCAUACCACUCUAUAUUCGGACGGCCGGCUUACGCCAAGUUCAUGGCACGGCCUGUUAUGUGUACUUACAGCUCAAGAUGCCGGGUCACAACGGGACCAUUACGGUUCACGGCAGCCGGAAGGUGGCUCUGGAGUGUGAGGAAGGUGACGUAGCUUAUGCAGAGUCUGUUUGCGCUACAGAAGAGUUGAAAUUUUAUAAAGACAAUGUUGACCCAACAAAUAUGACCUCUCUGAAAAAGCCAACCACAGAGAAUGAACCAGCAAUGAAAUUUAAAUCAGCUGAUGAGACUAAACUUGUUGAUUUUGUUCCAGGUGACUCGUCUCAGCAGUUUAGCAUCAGUGCAAAUCUGGACCCGAAAUAGGAAAGUGCGCUCAUCGAGUUCAUCCGUGAGAAUAGGGACAUCUUCGCAUGGAAACCUUCUGACAUGCCAGGUGUACCUAGAGAACUCGCUGAGCAGACUCUCAAUAUUGAUCCAAAAUUUAAGCCGGUCAGACAGUUCCUUCGACGGUUUAACAAAGAGAGGCGGAAAGCUAUUGGUGAAGAAGUGGCCCGGCUCUUGGCAGCCGGGUUCAUUGUUGAGGUUUUUCACCCGGAGUGGUUGGCUAACCCGGUGCUCGUACUCAAGAAGAACGGCACCUGGCGGAUGUGUGUGGACUACACGGACUUGAACAAGGCGUGUCCGGCUGAUCCUUUUGCUCUCCCCCGUAUUGAUCCAAUCAUUGAUGCUACGGCAGGUUGUGCACGCUUAAGUUUCUUGGAUGCUUAUUCCGGGUAUCAUCAGAUUAAGAUGGCAGUUAAGGACCAGGAGAAGACGGCAUUCAUCACUCCCUUUGGAGCCUUCUGCUAUGUGUCUAUGCCUUUUGGACUCAAGUGUGCACAGGCGACUUACCAGCGUUGUGUACAGAAUUGUCUUCAUAAACAGAUCGGGCGCAAUGUUCACGCUUACGUGGAUGAUAUUGUGGUUAAAUCCAUCAAGGAGGAAACCCUGGUAGAUGACUUAAGGGAAACCUUCGAUAAUCUCCGGGUCUACAAGAUGAUGCUUAACCCGGCCAAGUGUGUUUUUGGUGUUCCUGCAGGCAAACUAUUGGGCUUCUUGGUUUCUGACAGAGGCAUUGAGGCUAACCCGGAGAAGAUCAAGGCUAUCACCUCCCUAGCUAAGCCGGCAUGUAUAAAUGACGUUCAGCGUUUGGCGGGUCGCAUCGCUGCUUUAAGCCGGUUUAUCAGCCGUUUGGGUGAGAAGGCUAUGCCUCUAUAUCAGUUGAUGAAGAAGACUGAUAACUUUAUCUGGAAUGAUGCAGCUAAUACCGCUUUUGAGGAUUUGAAAAAGCAACUGGCAGAGCCCCCCGUCCUUGCUGCUCCGAUUGAUAAGGAGCCCUUGCUACUAUAUGUAGCGGCAAAUGCACGAGCUGUCAGCGUGGCUAUUGUUGUGGAGCGCAAGGAGGCAGGUAAGGGGCAUCCGGUUCAGCGGCCGGUUUAUUAUGUCAGCGAGGUGCUCAUUGAGUCCAAGCAGCGGUACCCGCAUUGGCAGAAGCUCGUAUACGGUGUGUUCAUGGCGAGCCGGAAGCUCAAACAUUAUUUUCAGGGUCAUCCCAUCACUGUGGUCAGUUCUGCCCCCCUUGGUGAUAUUAUCCAGAACAGAGAGGCUACAGGGAGAAUUGCUAAGUGGGCUAUAGAACUUGGACCUCAUGGCCUCAAAUAUGUGCCACGCACUGCUGUUAAAUUUCAGGCUUUGGUGGAUUUCAUCAAUGAUUGGACGGAGUCUCAAGUGCCUGAGCAAAAGCCGGAUAACACUUAUUGGACUAUCCACUUCGAUGGGUCCAGACAGUUGGAGGGCUCGGGGGCUGGUGUUGUAUUGACUUCCCCUAAAGGUGACAAGUUCCAUUAUGUGCUCCGGUUGAUGUUUCCUUGCACUAACAAUGCGGCUGAAUACGAAGCUUUUCUCCACGGUCUUCGGGUGGCUAAGGAGAUGAGCUUGAGCCGGGUAAGGUGCUUUGGGGACUCAGAUUUGGUGGCUCAACAAGUAUCAGGCACCUGGGAUUCUAAGGAUCCUCUCAUGGCGGCUUACCGCCGCAAGGUUGAUGCCAUUGCUGGGCACUUUCAGGGAUACCAAGUAGAGCACAUUGAUCGCAGGAAGAACGAGGCGGCUGAUGCUUUAAGCCGGCUAGGCUCUCAGCGUAAGCCGGUGCCGCCUAACACUUUCCUGGAUGUCUUGUAUAACCCCUCGGUUAAGUUGCCUACAGAAGAGGACUUGGCUAUCCCUGACCCGGAGGCACGACUGGUGGCGGCUCUUCAUGUCAUACCAGACUGGACAAUGCCAUAUCUGGCUUAUAUAACCCGGGGAGAGUUGCCUGAGGAUGAAACUCUGGCCAGGCAAGUAACCCGGCGGGCUAAGUCAAUGGUUGUCAUUGAUGGCGAGUUACAUCAUCGCAGUGUUUCAGGGGCGUUUCAGCGUUGUAUCUCCCCUAAGGAAGGUCAAGAGAUCUGAUCUUGCGCGAGAUCCAUGAAGGGGAUUGUGGCCAUCAUGCCGGUUCAAAAUCUCUUGUGGCCAAGGCUUUCCUUCAUGGUUUUUAUUGGCUGACGGCUCACGCUGAUGCAGAGGACUUGGUCAGUAAAUGUGAUGGUUGCCAAAGGUUCUCACGACGGGCUCAUGUGCCGGCUCAGGAGUUGAGGAUGAUCCCAAUCACUUGGCCCUUUGCGGUCUGGGGGCUUGAUAUGGUUGGGCCUUUUAAACGAUCCAAGGAUAAGAAGACCCACCUCUUGGUAGUCGUUGACAAAUUCACGAAGUGGGUGGAGGCUGAGCCAGUUAGCAAGUGCGAUGCAGCCACGGCGGUUUAAUUUAUGAAAAAGGUGAUUUUCCGCUUCGGCUUUCCGCACAGCAUCAUAACUGACAAUGGCACCAAUUUAUCCAAGGGCGCUAUGGAAGACUUUGGUCAACGGGAGCAUAUCCGACUUGAUGUCUCCACAGUGGCUCAUCCCCAAUCCAAUGGUCAAGCUGAGAGAGCUAACGAGGAGAUUCUGAAGGGCAUCAAACCCCGGCCUUUGGUCCCUUUGCAACGGACGCCGGGUUGUUGGGUGUUGGAGCUGCCCUCCGUCUUAUGGAGCAUCAACACUACUCCUAACAGGUCUACUAGCUUCACGCCUUUCUUCAUGGUUUAUGGAGCAGAAGCAGUCCUCCCCAGCGACAUCCGUCACGAUUCGCCUCGUGUGGCGGCUUAUGUUGAGACGGAUAAUGAACAGGCGCGCCAAGAUGCUCUGGACUUGUUGGACGAACAACGUGAUGUGGCGGCAGCCCGUUCAGCGAUUUACCAACAAGACCUGCGCCGUUAUCAUAGCCGCCGGGUCAAAUCCCGGGUCUUCCAGGAAGGCGACCUUGUGCUCCGGCUCAUCCAGGAUCAAACUGAUGCACACAAGUUAUCCCCACCUUGGGAAGGGCCCUUUGUGGUCAGUAAGAACUUGCACAACGGGUCAUAUUAUCUCAUUGAUAUUCGGGAACAUAAGGAUUCACGUAAAUCUGAGGAGGAGACCCGUCGGCCAUGGAAUAUAGCUCAGCUUCGGCCUUACUACACUUGAGCUGCCGGCUCUCGUGGUGUACAUAUUUAUCUCAGACAUGUAUAUAUUAUGAUAAGCAAUAAAGCAGGACCUCUGUCCUUUUUCUCCUCCAAUUAUGUGUGUCAUUUUUUACAUGCUAAUUUGAAAGGAGGAUCCGGCUUAUGCUCGUAUUCGAGUUUAGCCGUAAGCAGUAAGGUCACUUGGGGGCUUCCUGUUCAAACAUGGGUCGUAUUCGAACCAAAGAGAACAUAGUUGUUGAUACCCAUUUGAUUGGCAAAGUGCCGAGCUCAUUGGGAGGUUGCCUUUGGUCAUAUUUGAAUCAUAGUGUAAACCCUCUGAGAACCGACGUGGAUCGUAUUCGAAUCAGCGUCGUUAAACAAUUUUCAGAGUCACUUGGGGGCUUCCUGUUCAAACAUGGGUCGUAUUCGAACCAAAGAGAACAUAGCUGUCGAUACCCUUUUGAUUGGCAUCGCCACACCCACUGGGGGCUAUAUGAUCGCAUCCGAAUCUUAGCUUAACCUCUUUGGACCGGGUUUCUGGUCGUAUUCGAACCGGAAGCCCCAAGUUUUUAUAUUUUGUCACAAGUCUACUCUGAUCAUGUCAAAGUAUGUACUGCCGGGUAUCCCUUGCCGGCUUAAUUUUGGUUUAUCUUGUUAGUUGAACAUCAUGGAUGUCAUCAAGACAGGUAAAUUCGAGUUCAGGUACCAACCAAGCUACCCGGGUUAUUUAAACCGGAAGUAUGCUUACAGGCCGUUAAGUGUGUUAUCACGGCUAUGUUCAGAGUAUAGUUAACGACCAGUCUUUUUUGGUUCGUAUUCCGGGUUAUCCAUUUCAAACACCUGAUUCUCAGGGCGGUAAGCCGCCUUGAGACUUGUGAUUUGCCUUUCUAUGCAGACACUUGAAGGUGCUUUUUAAGGUUGAGAAGGACAAAGGCGUAAUUAUGACCCGGAGGAGCACCAAAAGAAUAACUUCAAGGGGUUUCAGCAUUCAUUACGUACACGAUGGCACGGCAGAGAUAAAUUGUUGCACUUAUUCUAUUACAAAAAUCCUUCAAAGACUCAAGGGUGGAGCGUUGUUCGGUGAACCGCCAGCCGCUUUAUGACGCCUGCUGAGUUGAAGUCCCCGGCUCGUCUUCUGCUCCGGCUGAUCCCAAGACCUCGAAGGUUGACGACUUCCAGUCGAUGCCGCUGAGAGCUUCGAGCUGGGCCUCUUCGUCAAUUAACCCGGCCGGGUCAAUCUCGGGGGCGAAGGUGUGCGGGCGAGCCGGAGGAAUAAGACUGAGAGCUUCAUAGCGAGGGGUUGGAAUCCUCUGAUUCUCCGCGUUGUACCCCGGCUGAUACUUGGAUAAGUCGGUGUCGUUCCCAAUGAUGGUGGCCACCGGGCGUACAGCCUUCACACAUGCCGCGAAGUCCUUCUGGUCGAAGGCGGAGCCGUCUUCCUUCAGGCUUGGGUAACCCAGGGCGAUGUCUGUCGGGUCUAGCUCCGGCAGGAAUGCUUUGGCCCGGCUCAGCGCGGCAAUUGCUCCGGAUCUUGCGGAGGCUCGGCGUAGCUCCUGGAUCCGCUGUGGCAGAACAGCGAGCCGGCGCAGGACUUCGGCCAGAUGGGUUGGCACCUCGUUGGAUAGGGCCACCACAGCUAAGGCGCGCUGUGACCCGGUGUAGAGUUGUUCCACAAGGGUGUACACGGCCUUUAACUUGGUGACCACGCUCUGGUUGAGGUUGGCACUCCUGGGACCCGUUUAAUAAAGGUCAGAUAAGCCGGUGACAAGGAUGAAUCAUAACAUAUACAGACUUGAUGAAAGCCGGCGAGGCGACUUACCGAAGAUAGCGGCCACCAUUUGGGAAACCUGGCGCUUUAGGCCGGAGUGCUCAGCAGUCUUCUCAGUGAGGGCCUUCUCCGCCUGUUCUGCCCGGGUCACCAGUGCGGCUUUCUCCUCAGCCCAGGCCUUCCGCUCAGCAUCGAAUUCGGUCUUCAGUUUCUCCUGAGCGGCGAUGCUGGAGACAAACUUGGCGUUCGCCUUCCGGGUCUCCAUCUCUUGUGUCUUUAGCCGGCUCAUGAGAUCCGCAAGGUCCGACUCAAAUUUCUUGCCAGCAGCCUGCAUAUAUUUCCGGGUUAUUAACAGUCAUUAUAUAAGUCCCAAGCACUUUCCAAACAAAGACACUUGGCACUUGGGGGCUAAUGCAUAUUGAAUGUCUCCAUCUAUGUACUGUCGGUUCAGUUAAGUAAGCCGGAAUCUAAGUCUACAACAUAUUCAAGUACAAGUUAUAGACUUGGGGGCUGACAUGACAAGGAUCACUAUGCAGAAAGUAAGAAGACAGCAGAAGGUUACCUCAGAUUUUUGUUGGAUCUGGUUGACCAUGGCGAUCUCGGCGUCCCGGCUCUUGUGAACUUGGCUGAUGUAGCCUGAGACGAGCUCUCCAAUGCUUAAGUCGGUGUAGCUGGAGAGAUCCAGAUUCACCCGGUGGGUUGCAGCAACUCCCCCUUCAUGGAGCAUUUGGCCAGCGCGGUCGGCCUCCCCGGCUCAACAUACUCCGUCCGGGUAAUUACCACGUCCGGGUCGUUAGCUGGUGGGGCUGAGCCGGAGGCCUCCGGGUUAGCUGACGCUUCGGUCGUUGUCUUGGUGGUCGGGGCAGGGGCUUCAGGCGCCGUGUCCAUGGGAAUGGUGGCUUCGGGGCCGGAGGCGGCUGGCGGCUCUUGAGCCGUCGUCUCCGGCUCAGGCAAGUCUGGCACUCCGGCUGACCUGGUCUUCUUUGCUCUUUUGGUGAGCUUUACCUGGGCACUGAAAAGACAGAAGUGUUAGGUAUACAAAGAGUAAGUACAGAAAGAUAAUGUAAGGAGAUUGUUAUUACCCGGGUGCAGUUUUGAAGGCCGGCAGACUUGACUGCAUGGAGUCACCCGAAGAGGGGGAGGUCUCCUGGUAAUUGGAGUCAGAAGAGUUGAGUGGCUGACGGAUGACACCCGCCAACGGAUGAAAAGGGUACAGGUGAGAAAAAACCUCAGUACGACGCUUCCUUGUUGCGUCGGGUAACCCGGCGGAGAGGUCGGUGUCCUUGCGGGCCCGGGUGUGACGCCGGCUUUCAUGAACCUAUUGCUUCAAAAGAAAUUGAGGGUCUUGAUGAGCUAAUGGAUUAGAAAAGCUUACUUUCCGGGUAACUCUUCGGACUUUCAGCUGUGGCAAAGACUCCGAGUCGGAGGAAAGUGAUGUUACCUCUUCAAUCACCGGGUUACUGGCGCCGGUGUCAUCCUGUCAGUAAGCAAAAUGUUGAUAAGGCGGAUAGCAGCAAACAACAAAUAUGGCAAGAGUUUAAAAGUUUAAGGGUUACCUCUGACUCGGAGCUGUCGCUUAAUUGCAGCAGCUCCGAAGCAGUGGGUCUGCUUCCCUUUUUGCGAGGGGCGGCUUUCUUCGCCUUCCUGGCCUUCUUGGCCGCCUCAUGGUCAUACUUGACCCGCCAGAAUUUAUCAUCAGCCUGAGAAAUACAGUAAUGAACUCUUAAAAUGGUUCAGAGCAAGGUGACAUGUAAAAGAAGUGGAAAGGUUAAAGUCAGCGGCUUACCGCUGGGGCUGGAUUGGUCUUGCAGAACGGGGCUAGCCCGGUUCUUCCACAGUCUGCCAGGCUCUCGUUUAACAGAGCCUUGGUUUCUUCUUCGGCAACGUCUUCUGGAAGAUCAUUGCGACUGUGCCUCUGCGGGUCAUCCUUUCGCCCGGUGUACUCACACAUUAAGCCGGGGCGACGGCUCAAUGGGAUCACCCGCCAUGAGAUCCAGACCCGGACCAGGUCUAUUCCGUUCAGACCGUUGCCUAGCAGAGCCUUGAUCUUAUUGAUCGUUGGAAGCAGAGGCUGGCGUUCCGUGGCAGUCAGCUUGUCGGAUAGCGGAUGAGUCGGCUCUAGGCAUGUUGGGCGAAAACCGGGCAGCGGGCUCUCGUCAGCCGGGGACGUGUCUUGGCAGUAGAACCAAGUCAUAUUCCAGUCCUUGGGGUGACUUGGCGGCUCUGCGUAAGGGAAUAGACAGUCCCUGCGCCGUUGGAUGGAGAUGCCGCCUAAUUCCAGACUUGGACCGUUUGUGCACUCAUUUUGGCGGUUUAAGUAGAACAGUUCUCUGAAAAGCAGUAAACUGGGCUCCUCUCCAAGGUAUACUUCGCAAAAUACUUGGAAGUUGCAGAUGUUGGAUACGGAGUUGGGUCCUAUAUCCUGAGGUCGAAGGUCAAAGAAGUUGAGCACGUCCCGGAAGAAUUUUGAGCCGGGUGGUGCGAAGCCCCAGCUCAUGUGGUCCGCAAAGAUUACUACCUCCCCGUCCCUCGGCUGUGGUCUUUCUUCUGACGGAUCAGGGGCACGGUAGGACAUCACUUCCUUCUUGGGCAGAUAUCCGGACUUAACAAAGUUGGCCAGGGUCUCAUCAGUGACGUUGGAUCUCAUCCAGUUGCAAGUGAUGGGAGCCUUGGGAGGCAUGGUGACGGUUGGUGGUCUAUGAUAAAGAGAAAAGUGUCCGGGUUAAUUAUAAGCCGGAGAUUAUCAUUCAAACUACAAUGACGGCUUAUGAAGGGGACUAAUGAUAUAUAUUGAUACGGUGGGUUAUCUAAGCCGUCGGGGCUUUCAGGAUAAAUUGGUCAUCUACGGCUUACUGCAGUUAAGUCGGAGGAUUCUACAGAGCAUGGCUCUCUUUAAGCCGGAAAGUUCUACGGCGCGUGUUUUCUUUAAGUCGGAAAUAUAAGCCGCCAAGAUUCAAGGGCUGCAGUUUUUACUAAGUGUGGUAAAACAGAUUUCACAUAUUGCAGUAACUUUUUCGGAUCAAAAUGGUCGGGCGAAAUGAAAAUUUUCUAGACCUAAAAAACAGAAGCAGGAGAAGUUCUUAAGUUAGAACAUGGUUCUUAAGCAGUAAAAAGAGGAUUUUUCGCAGGUGGAAUGGAUCUCAAACAUCUACCGCAGGGGUUCUACGAAGAGUUAAGAUUAACGGGGGCAGUGACUACAGGAGCUACUGAAACUUGUGGCUAUGGUGACGAACAUGAAGAACACAGACGAACUCUAUCACAGAUCUAUUCUAGUAAGGCAGAGGGGACUCACUGGAGUUGGGGAAGAGCGGAAGUCGCCGCCGUUAUCUGGUCCGAGUCAGGGUGAUGCAGCGGCCGGGUUGAUGAAGGACGAGGGAGCGACGGCGGCGGCAGUGGCAGAGCUCGGGCAGAAGAGCGAUGGCGCGAGGAGGAAGAAGGGGAGCGUGAGAAGAAAGUACUGGGCCGGCCUAUUUAUAAGGUAGAGUCAUAAGUGGGCGCGGGAUUCAAGGAGGCCACGGCGUGGUUAUCUCCCCCUCAUGGCGCCUCGAUUUUCGGAAAGACAGUAAAAGCAAAGAUCCGUUGCAGAUCUGGCGGAGUAAAAAACGGGCUUAAUGGAGGAUGACGUCACGGUGGAUUAUCCGGAGUCCAGAGGAUGACGUCACUCCGGGUUAUGGCCUUCACAUGAAAGGUAAGCCGGAGAUUUUUUCUGUCUACGGAAUUGAAGAUUGACACGAGCUGGCUCAAGUCAAUCUGGGGCCUAAUGUUGAGGAUAUAGACUUUGGAGUCACCCGCCAGGAGGGCCGGGUUACUCUAAGGGUCAUUGCCAGAAGCCCGGAGCUAAGUUUCAAGAUGAUGGGCCAGAGAUGGGCUGAGGCCCGUAUAUGGCUUAAAGCCCGAAGUUACAAUCAUUGUUAUAGUAGGCUUGUAGUGUAAGGCAAGUAUUGUUCAGAGUCCGAGCCGGAUGCUCUUAUGAGCCGGCCGGGACUCUAAGGGCUGCUGGGCGUCAGCCUCCCUAUAUAAAGGGAGGACCCGACAGCGGUUUAAGGGCGACAAUAAUCUCAUCGAGAGCCGGGAUAGCUGUUUAGCUCCCUGGCGAUCGUAAUCCUAAUCAAUAACACCUCAAACUGGACGUAGGCUUUUACCUUCACUGUAAGGGGCUGAACCAGUAUAAACCCUCGUGUUCCUUGUCCCACAUAACCCCUUCAAGCUUCCUAGCUGCGAUGGCUCCACGACUAAGUCCUAGCUCGAGGACAUCUGCCGUGACAAUUCCACGACAGUAGCAGUAGCGCUUGUUUAGGCCAGUGCUACUGGUAAGUUCAGAUACUAGUAGCGCGGCACUGCAAAGCGCUACUGGUAGAUGAGUGCUGCUGGUAAUAUUUUGUCCCGCGCCACUGCUAAAAUUUAUGUUUUUUCCGCAUUUUGGCGUUGUACAUGUUUAAACAGAUAUAUCUUUUAUACAAUAACAACUCAUCAUGAACUAGUCUGUUUAAAUAGCAUAUUCAUUACCACUUGUCAUCACCAUCAAACAAUGUUCGUCAAUGAGACAUCAUAUAACAAGUUGGUCACUAGUCAUAAUCACAACUCCUCCUCCUCAUCAUCAUCAACUCUAACACAUUGUAGCACAUAAUAACACAUUCUAGCUACGACCUACUCCUCUCAUAGGACCUACUCUACCCUCUCUUAGGUAAAAUAUCAUAAAACAAGAUAGGCAUUGACUCUCCAUUAAGGAAAAUUGACUCUCCAUAUUAAAGAACGGAGAUCAACUUGUCUCCAAGUCUUGGCCUACGCACAAUGUUGCUUCCAAGUGGCUCUCUACGAUGGCCAAAACAUUUUUUGAAAUCAUUUAUUAUCAUGGCUUCCUUGCUUUUAGAAAUCCUGUAUGGGCAGGAGUUAUGUGGAUACUGCGGCUGACCUGGCCAUGGUGGCCGUAAGUUCAUAACAUCAACGCGACCUCUCGGCAACAUCAGAUGAGGCACACAAUCCAUCGGGAUUUUUUGUUCAAAAACAUAGUAAUAACUUUGUAGUUAGCAAUGUAGUUUAGUUUUAGAAGAAUUUAUGCAAAAGAUGCACGGAUGUCGUAAUAGUAGAAAAUCUUACCAUGCUAUCUCCAUUGAUGUUAUCGUAGGUCAACACAUGCACUAGUGGCACGUAUUGACCAUAAUGUGGAGGAGUUUAAUAAUAGCUAUUGUAAUUCUCAAGAUUAGUAAAAAAAUGUGAUAAGACCAUCUUUCUCCUUAUAAGUUAAUUCUGCUUCAUCAUUGUACUAGUAGGUUCUGUCUACCAUUUUCCGUACAUUUUUUGAAGAAUGAAAAUAAGCUGUCAAUGGAAAUAAGCUGUCAAAUAUUUUGAAAUAAACAAUAUAAAUUACUUAAUAAAUAUGUUUGAGAAACUCACACAGCGGUAGAACUGGAAGCGUGUCAACAAGGACCCAAAUGGUCAUAUUCUUUUCGUCGAUGUUAGGAUCACCAAGAUCGAAGGUGAGAAGCAUACCCUCAUGAAAAUCAUACGCCUUGCAAAGGGCUUCCCAAUUCAGGCAACCAAAAUUGGAUGAGUUCACAGAAUUGUAUAGAUUUACAGCAAAAUCAUAACCAUGAUGGGUCCUUAUGUAACACCCCGGAUGUAACUUGCCAUAUUUGUAACUCCGACUCUUGCCAUUUUCGGCUAUGUGUUAUGAUAUUUCCUCGGUGGUCGGGUUUUGUCUUUCGUUUUGUAUUUUGUCAUGUCAUGCAUUUCACAUCAUGUCAUCAUGUGCAUUGCAUUUGCAUACGUGUUCGUCUCAUGCAUCCGAGCAUUUUCCCCGUUGUCCGUUUUCCAAUCCGGCGCUCCUAUCUCCUCCGGUGCACCCCUCUUGUUUCCUUUCAUGUGCGGGUGUCAAACUUUCUCGGAAUGGACCGAGGAUUGUCAAGUGGCCUUAUUAUACCACCCGGAGACCACCGGUCAAGUUUCGUUCCAUUUGGAGGUCGUUUGGUACUCCAACGGUUAACCGGGCAUCCGCAAAGUCCAUUUGAGUGUCCAGCAAAAACCCCCUCCAAAACCAGCCCAAAACCCACCAAACUCUCUUCCAUGCUCUAGGUCGUUCGAUCACGAUCGUGUGGGCGAAAACCGCACCUCAAUUGGAGCCUCCUAGCUCCCUCUACCUAUAUAUUUGCAUCUCCCCCGAAAAACGAAACGCAGUCCAAACCCUAGCAAAAAUCCCCGCCGCCACCGGACGCGUCCAGCCGCCGCCGGACAAAACGCGCCGCCGCGCCCGNNNNNNNNNNNNNNNNNNNNNNNNNNNNNNNNNNNNNNNNNNNNNNNNNNNNNNNNNNNNNNNNNNNNNNNNNNNNNNNNNNNNNNNNNNNNNNNNNNNNNNNNNNNNNNNNNNNNNNNNNNNNNNNNNNNNNNNNNNNNNNNNNNNNNNNNNNNNNNNNNNNNNNNNNNNNNNNNNNNNNNNNNNNNNNNNNNNNNNNNNNNNNNNNNNNNNNNNNNNNNNNNNNNNNNNNNNNNNNNNNNNNNNNNNNNNNNNNNNNNNNNNNNNNNNNNNNNNNNNNNNNNNNNNNNNNNNNNNNNNNNNNNNNNNNNNNNNNNNNNNNNNNNNNNNNNNNNNNNNNNCGCCUCCCAGGGACCCCGACGCCGCCGGCGCCUCGUCCUCUCCCGUCGCCGGUCGCGCGGCCACCUCCUCCCGCAGCUCCGACCGCCGGCGCCCCUCUCCUCUCCUUCCUCUCCGCCGGCGAGCAGCGCCACCGGAGCUCCGGCCGGCCCGAGCACCACGAUCUCGAUCCAGAUCUCGGUAGCCCCGUUGACUUUCUCGUGCCCAUAUAUUUUCUGUCACUGAUUUUCUCAGCAAUAUGCCUCCGUUCGUGAUGCCAAAACUCCUUGCAUGUAGCUCCGAUUCGCGCGUGUAAUAUGUCAAAUUGUUCGUCUCGUGAUGAUCUUCAUUUUGUUAAAUUGCACCAUGUUCAUUAGAGGCCAUCUUGAUGCCCAAAUCUCUGUUGGAAGAGGGCUAUUUGCUGUUAUUCUCUGGUUCUUGACAGAACUUGGAGAUUUGUCAUUUUUGUAUCUUUAAAUCUGUGCAUCUUUUGGGCAUGAGCUCUACAUGUGUUUUGAAGUAUGCUAUUCCAUAUUUCCAAGGGUGUAUGCCAUUUAUUUUUGUGAUCUCUGUGCUGACUAGCACAAGCUUGCAAAGUAGGCCCCGUAAUGUUUCUGAUUUCAGCGACUUAGUGAUUUCUCUAAGUCUUUGUCUGCUGUUAUUUUGUUGCCAUGUAAACUUGACGCUACAGAGAGAUACAUGCAUAUUUUGGAGAUGUUCAGUAAGGAUGUUUUGUAGCUAUAGUUGUAAUUGAUCCAUUCCUGCAAUUUUUUGCAAUUAUGGAGUGCCAUAGCAUGACUCAAUCUUGCUCUACUUUUGCUAUAAAAUAUUUCUAGCAGAUUCUUAACAUGAUAUUCAUUUUUGCGAAGCUUAUUGUAGUUGAUACAUACAUGAUAUGCAAUUGUUCUUGCCAUGAAUAGCUUCAUAAACAUUCCAUCUUGCUGUAGGUGUGCUUGGUUUGUAGUGCAUUGCUCUGUAGUGAGUGCAUCAAGCUCACGAAGAGGCCUACGUAUUAUUAUUUCUGCCAUGCUCUAUUUUCUGCUAAGUCUGAAACCUGAUAACGAAACUUGCUAUGUUUACAUGCUUGCCAUCAUAUCUUAUGGUCCUUUUUGGCUUAUGGUAAGUAAGGGACGUUUGUCAUGUGCAUUUAGUAGAACACUGCCAUGCCUUGUUUUGCUAUGCUAAUUUCCUGUAGCAUAUUGAUUUUGUGCUCCGAACAUUGCUACCUGAUGUUGUUUUCUGCCAUGUCCAGUUUUUCACCAAGUCUGUGAACCUGUUAUCUUUUGCACUUUUGCCAUGCUUGUUUGAGCUUGAUAUGUUGUGAUCUAGCCGUAGCUCAGUGUUCAUCUUUUGUGAAGCAUCUCCUGUAGAUUACUGCCAUGUGCUUUGUUGCUAUGUUGGGUUGCUAUAGCAUUGUUGCUUGUUGCAUUUUAUGUGCUAUCAUGCUGUUAAUCGCAGAUUCGUGUCAUUGUUUUGCUUGUCAUUUGCAAACCGUGCAUCCGUUUCCGGUGAUCUUUAUAUCGAUUUCGACCGGAAUCAUCUCAUCUUUCUAGUGGCAUGCUUGGUUUGCCAAGUUACUGCCUUGUUCAUCAUUUUCCUUCCGGAGCACGCAUAUGCAUCGCAUAUCAUAUCAUGCAUAUCAUACAUGUUUUGCAUCUUGUUGCUUGUGCAUUCCUCGUGAUUGAUUAUGGUUCCGUUGCUUGUGUUCUUGUCUUGGGUAGAGCCGGGAGACGAGUUCGUGAACGAGGAACCUAUUGAGUACGCUUACGAGGAUCAAGCUUUCGACAACUCUGAGAACCUUGCAGGCAAGAUGACCACCCCUCGAAAUCACUUCUAUCUUUGCUUUGCUAGUUGUUCGCUCUAUUGCCAUGCUCCUCUACCUAUCACUUGCUAUAUCUUGUCUCCCAUUUUAGCCAUGUCAGCCCCUAACCAUCCUUUCCUAGCAAACCGUUGUGUGGCUAAGUUACCGCUUUUGCUCAGCCCUUCUUAUAGCGUUGCUAGUUGCAGGUGAAGUUGAAGUUUGUUCCAUGUCGGAACAUGGAUAUGUUGGGAUAUCAUAAUAUCGAUUAUUUAAUUAAUGCAUCUAUAUAUAUUUGGUAAAGGGUGGAAGGCUCGGCCUUAUGCCUGGUGUUUUGUUCCACUCUUGCCACCCUAGUUACUGUUAUACCGGGAUUAUGUUCCUUGAGUUUGCGUUCCUUACGCGGUCGGGUGAUUUAUGGGACCCCCUUGUCAGUUCGCUUUGAAUAAAACUCCUCCAGCAAGGCCCAACUUUGGUUUUACUAUUUGCCGCCUAAGCCUUUUCCCCCGGGUUUUCGCGAGCCCGAGGGUCAUCUUAUUUUAACCCCCCCGGGCCAGUGCUCCUUCGAGUGUUGGUCCGAACCGAGCAGCCUGCGGGUCCACCUCGGGGAAACUCGAGGUCUGGUUUUACUCGUAGCUUGACUUAUCCGGUGUGCCCUGAGAACGAGAUAUGUGCAGCUCCUAUCAGGAUUUGUCGGCACAUUCGGGCGGCUUUGCUGGUCUUGUUUUACCAUUGUCGAAAUGUCUUGUAAACCGGGAUUCCGAGACUAAUCGGGUCUUUCCGGGAGAAGGUUUAUCCUUCGUUGACCGUGAGAGCUUAUGAUGGGCUAAGUUGGGACACCCCUGCAGGGUAUUAUCUUUCGAAAGCCGUGCCCGCGGUUAUGAGGCAGAUGGGAAUUUGUUAAUGUCCGGUUGUAGAGAACUUGUCACUUGACCCAAUUAAAAUACAUCAACUGCGUGUGUAGCCGUGAUGGUCUCUUCUCGGCGGAGUCUGGGAGGUGAACACGGUUUGAGUUAUGAAUGACGUAAGUAGGUGUUCAGGACCACUUCUUGGUCAUUUCUAGAUGACGACCGUUCCGUUGCUUCUCUUCUCGCUCUCAUUUGCGCAAGUUAGCCACCAUAUAUGCUUUUGCCGCUGCAGCUCCACCUCAUUACACCAUCCUUUCCUAUAAGCUUAAAUAGUCUUGAUCUCGCGGGUGUGAGAUUGCUGAGUCCUCGUGACUCCCAGAUUCUACCAAAACAGUUGCAGGUGCCGGCGAUGCCAGUGCAGAUGAUGGGGUCGAUCUCAAGUGGGAGUUCGACAAGGAACGUGGUCGUUACUAUGUGUCUUUUCCUGAUGAUCAGUAGUGGAGCCCAGUUGGGACGAUCGGGGAUCUAGCAUUUGGGGUUGUCUUAUUUUCAUCUAGAUUUUGACCGUAGUCGGUCUAUAUGAUUGUAUUUUUGGAUGAUGUAUGAUUUAUUUAUCUAUUGUGUGAAGUGGCAAUUGUAAGCCAACUCUUUAUCCCUUUCUUGUUCAUUACAUGGGAUUGUGUGAAGAUGACCCUUCUUGCGACAAAACCACUAUGCGGUUAUGCCUCUAAGUCGUGCCUCGACACGUGGGAGAUAUAGCCGCAUCGUGGGCGUUACACCUUAGUUGAAUUAUCUUUGUCUCCAUGCUUUCAUGAUCUUCAAAACCCAUCUUCUCCAAGACAUAGCGUCUUUCAUGGCAUGGGAUAAGCUAGUCGAAUUAUAAAAGACGGAAAUUACACGUUGAAGAAGCAGAGAAGUCGUGCAAAAAUAACAAAAAACACUUGUCAUCGUUGCGUACCGUUUCAACAUCGAAGGUCUCUUGGAGCUUGAUGCUGAAGCGCCGACCUUCUACCAAGUGAGGCUUGUCGCACAGACCGCGCUCAUCUUCACAGUUCUCGCACAUAGCGAAUUCCCUUUCGUCAUCAGACAUUUCCUAAUAGGUAAUUAAUAAUCCAUCAUCGAAUACAUAUAUAGUAGUUUGUAGCAAAGAUCAUCAUAUAACAACUAGAACACCUAAAAUUUGUAGUUUGUAGUAGUUUGUAGCAAAGAUCAUCAUAUAAUCCAUCAUCGAAUACAUAUAUAGUAGUUUGUAGCACAAACCACACUCAUCUUUUGCAUUCAAUAAGAAAAUAACUAAUAGGUAAUUAAUAAUCCAUCAUCGAAUACAUAUAUAGUAGUUUGUAGCAAAGAUCAUCAUAUAAUAUCACUAAUACAUCUCGAAUAAAAGCUCCUCUAGGUUCAGUGGGCCGCGGUGGACACCCAAAGAGAAGGAACCAUCACAGGAUCAUAGCUCCGGUGAGAUCCCCAAAGAAUCCGCCAAGUAUUGGAGAACCUGCCGUUCGCCAACGCAACCAUGUAGCGCUGGACGUGCGUGUUCUCCUCCGUGACACGGUGCUGUACCACCUGCGCGGGGGACUCAAGCCUCUGCACUGAUGCAGGCCCAUGUGACCACCACCAAAGAAGCUCCGGGUCGACGACGGGCUGGCUCCUCACUAAGCUGCGCUCACCAGAAGGUAGCACAACCCAGUACCAGCCCGGCGGAGCCCAGUCCCGGACAUGGCCCCUCGGCUCAAGCAGGAGUCCUCCGCCGAGUCGACGACGAGGAUGCGGGAUAAGCAUCGUCGACGUCGAUAACAAAAAGCUUAAUUAUGAAAACAAAAUUAAUAAACACUUGGCAAAAUUCGGCAUGACCUUUGCUAAAAGUAGGACAUAUCGAGCGCCUGAAAUUUGCCAGAACGUAAAUUAAUCAACAUUUCUGGCAAAACAUAGGCCACUCGGUUAAACAACUAAGAUUGUGACAUGUUCAAAAUAUGACAUAUAUCCACUUCAAAUUUGCAUAUAACAGGAAUAAUUGUUUUUACUAAAAAAAUAACAACAAAUGUGAUAGUUCAAAAUAUGAUCCUAAGAUUAACUAGCUAGGGUUCAUACUACAUUAUCCUAAGAUUAAACAACUAAGAUUAAACACCUAAGAUUAAACAACUAAGGUUAAAAACCUACAUUAUCCUAAGAUUCAUACUACAUUAUCCUAAGAUUAACUAGCUAGGUUUCAUACUACAUUUUCCUAUGAUUAAACAACUAAGAUUAAAAACCUAAAUUUUUCAACUUGCUAGGGUUCAAAAGAAACUAGGGAGGAGGAGGAAGGAGGGAGGAGGAUGUNNNNNNNNNNNNNNNNNNNNNNNNNNNNNNNNNNNNNNNNNNNNNNNNNNNNNNNNNNNNNNNNNNNNNNNNNNNNNNNNNNNNNNNNNNNNNNNNNNNNNNNNNNNNNNNNNNNNNNNNNNNNNNNNNNNNNNNNNNNNNNNNNNNNNNNNNNNNNNNNNNNNNNNNNNNNNNNNNNNNNNNNNNNNNNNNNNNNNNNNNNNNNNNNNNNNNNNNNNNNNNNNNNNNNNNNNNNNNNNNNNNNNNNNNNNNNNNNNNNNNNNNNNNNNNNNNNAUUCCUAACAACAUAUAGCUCAUUGAGCUAAUGCUAUUUCAAGAUAACAGGAAAGCUCAAUGAUUGGCAUGGCAUGGAUGAGAAAAGUGGACCCCUCAAAAUUCUAAGGACAAAGGAUUGGCUCAAGCUCAAAGCUCAGGACUCUACAUUUUUCAUUUUAAGUGAUCCAAGAUCACAUUGAGUCCAUAGGAAAAGCCAAUACUAUCAAGAGGGGGUGAGGUGUUGCUUAAUGAGUUUGUUGCUCAAAGUGCUUAGUGAUAUGCUCCAAAAAACCUCAACUACUUUCUCACAUCCACAUAUGUCCCAAGCCAAAAGUCAAACUCGGCCCCACCGAAACUUUCUAUCCGGCACCGCCGAGUUCAGUUGACAUAGCCACUGCCAGAAACCCUGGUCUUUUCGGUCUCACCGAGAUGGGAUUGUAAUCUCUCUGUUUCCCUUCGUAACGUUUCGGUCAAACCGAGAUGAGCGAUCGGUCCCACCGAGAUUGCAAUGCAAACUCUCUGUUUCCCUUUUGUAACGUUUCGGUCCAACCGAGUUUGCCUGACCAACUCUCUGUUUGUCUAUUCGCAAAAUCGGUCUCACCGAGUUUGUGUAAUCGGUCUUACCGAGAUUACGUUAUGCCCUAACCCUAACGAAAUCGGUCCUACCGAGUUGACAUGUCGGUCCCACCGAAAUGCCUAACGGUCACAUUAUGAACUAAAUCGGUAUGACCGAGUUUCACGAUUCGGUCCCACCGAGUUUGGUAAAUUGUGUGUAACGGUUAGAUUUUGUGUGGAGGCUAUAUAUACCCCUCCACCCACUCUUCAUUCAUGGUGAGAGCCAUCAGAACAUGCCUACACUUCCAACAUACAUUUUCUGAGAGAGAACCACCUACACUUGUGUUGAGGUCAAGAUAUUCCAUUCCAACCACAUAAAUCUUGAUCUCUAGCCUUCCCCAAGUUGCUUUCCACUCAAACCAUCUUUCCACCAAAUCCAAUCCAAUGAGAGAGAGUUGAGUGUUGGGGAGACUAUCAUUUGAAGCACAAGAGCAAGGAGUUCAUCAUCAACACACCAUUUGUUACCUCUUGGAGAGUGGUGUCUCCUAGAUUGGCUAGGUGUCACUUGGGAGCCUCCGUCAAGAUUGUGGAGUUGAACCAAGGAGUUUGUAAGGGCAAGGAGAUCGCCUACUUCAUGAAGAUCUACCCUAGUGAGGCAAGUCCUUCGUGGGAGACGGCCAUGGUGGGAUAGACAAGGUUGCUUUCUUCGUGGACCCGUCGUGGGUGGAGCCCUCCGUGGACUCGUGCAAACGUUACCCUUCGUGGGUUGAAGUCUCCAUCAACGUGGAUGUACGAUAGCACCACCUAUCGGAACCACGGAUAAAAAAUCUCCGUGUCAACAUUGCGUUUGCUCCCUCAAACUCCUCCCUUUAUCUUCAUUUGCAAUUGUUUUACAUUCCGCCGCUAUACUCUUACAAUUGCAUGUGUAGGUUGAUUGCUUGACUUGUGCUAAGUUGCUAAAAUCUGCCAAGAACUAAAAUUGGGAAAAUGCUAGAUUUUUAUUUGGUCAAGUAGUCUAAUCACCCCCCCCCUCUAGACAUACUUUUGAUCCUACACUGGCGUGGGGGCCGGGGCGGCCGGGGGGGAGGCCGACGCGGGGGAGGGCGGCCGGCGGGGAGGAGGGCCAGCGCGGGGGACGGCAGCGUGUGGGGGUCGACGGCGUCGCGCGGGGGAUUGAGAGAGGAGUGUGGAGUGUGUGAGUGAGCUGAGUGAUGAGGCCAGGGGGCGCGCGGGGGAGGGAGUGGGCUUAACAGCAGCGCGGGUAAUGGGCCAGCGCUACUGCUAAGCCCACUAGCUGUAGCGCCGGCACACAUCACAUGCUACAGCUAAGUGGCCUGCCCUUUUGGCCCCGGCGGCCCGCUAAACAUCAGCGCGGCCCGCGCCAACCAACGCUGCUGCUAUUCAGUAGCAGUAGCGCCCGUUUUGGCCGGCGCUACUGGUACACACCAGUAGCGUGGGCGCCCAAACAGGCGCUAUUGCUAAAAUUCUGUGUAUAAGCAUUUUCCUAGUAGUGUGAUAUUCCGGAUCCUGGCCAAAGGGUACGCCAAUAGGGUGACCCUUUUAGCUGACACCAUCACCCAUCCCAAUCAGUCGGCCUUCAUUCAUGGGCGAUUCAUUUUGGAUGGGGUGUUGGUCUUCCACGAGGUCCUUCAUGAAGUCCGCUCCAAACACCAGCGGGCGGUCUUCCUGAAGCUUGACUUUUAUAAAGCCUAUGACACAGUUCAUUGGCCCUUCCUUCGGGAAGUUUUGAUCCGCAAGGGCUUCGAUGACCGCUGGGUGACCCGAGUUAUGCAGCUCGUCUCCUGGGGCCGGACCGCCGUUAACAUUAACGGUGAGAUUGGUCCCUUCUUCCCCACGCUUUGUGGGGUCCGACAAGGCGACCCAUUCUCUCCGUUCUUGUUUAACAUGGUGGUGGACGCCCUUGCGGCCAUCCUGGACAAGGCCAAGUUGGCGGGCCAUAUCCACGGCGUGGUUCCCCACCUAGUAGGAGGGGGAGGGGUUUCCCUCCUUCAAUAUGCCGACGACACCAUAAUAAUGGUUGAGGGCUCCGCGUCCGAUAUUGCCAACCUGAAGUUUCUCCUCCUAUGCUUCCAACAGAUGUCCGGGCUCACUAUCAACUUUGACAAAAGCGAAGUGAUGGUUCUGGGAUACACACCGGACGAGGCCCUGGGCAUUGCUGACCGGCUUAAUUGCCGCCUGGGUACUUUCCCCAUGACAUAUUUGGGGAUACCCAUUAGUGACUCGCGACUCACCAUGGCAGACCUCCGCCCAACUGUGACCUGGAUGCAACACCGGGUUGAGCCCUGGAAGGGGCGGUGGCUCUCGAAGGCGGCGAUGGUAAUCCUCAUCAACUCCUCGCUUGCUAGCCUCCUCUGGUUCCUCAUGAGCUUCUACAGCUUGCAUGAGACGCUCCAUCAGGAGAUCGCCAAGUACCAGUCCAGAUUUUUCUGGGCAGGCGAGGGAGACAAGCAGAAGUACCAUAUGGUGAGCUGGCCGAACAUUUGCAAACCUAAGGACCAGGGCGGUCUUUGGAUCCUUUCUUCUUGGCGCAUGAAGAUCGCUCUCCUGACCCGUUGGCUCUGGCGUAUCGCCAACGAGGAGGGCGGCCUCUGGCUCACUAUCCUCCGAAAUAAGUACCUUCGGGGCCAACCUCUUGCCUUUGCCAGCGCUCGGGUGGAUCCCAGUUCUGGCAGGCGGUGAUCCAUCUUCUCCCCGUGCUCCGUAUUGGCACCUCCAUCUCUGUGGGCUCCGGGCCUCGACCCUGUUUUGGUUCGACCGCUGGCUAGGGGACUCCCCCCUGGCCGCCCGCUUCCCGAGCCUUUUUGCCAUUGCGGCUGACCCUUGGAUCUCCGUCGAGACGGCCCUUAUUGACUUAGGGCGUCUCGCCUUCCGGUGCCCCUUUGGCCACCUUGAGGUGGAUGAGUGGGACUCCCUUCUCCAGGAUAUCGCUCUCCUGCCGAUGGACGUUGAGGGUGCCCCGGACUCCAUCUCUUGGCGUCUGGAGCCCUCUGGCCGCUUCUCCACGAAAUAUCUCUAUGCGGCCAUAGCCCCUUCGUUGGCCCCUGAGCCUUUUAGCCUGAUUUGGGACAUUUGCCUCCCCCUCAAGAUCAGGAUAUUCCUGUGGCAGUGGAUCCGGGGACGCCUUCCCUCUGGAUUUGAAUUCCGCAAGUGCAAUGGCCUCGGCGACGGGAUGUGUCCCCUAUGCGACAUGGUGGAGGAUUCGAACCACAUUUUGUUCUCCUGCUCCACAGCCCAGUUCCUGUGGUCCUGCUUCCGAGAGACGGUCGGUGGACAGUGGUGCAAUACCAACUUCCCCGACUUACUCACUGAGAUCCACACCUCCCCCCCUCGCUACCGCCAUAUUAGAUGGCUGUGCAUCGGGGUCCUCGCCUGGACGCUCUGGACCAUUCGCAACAAACUUGCUAUUCAGAAAGUGCCUCUGCGACGUGCGACUGACGCGAUCUUCAAAAUGUGUGGCUAUUUGCAGCUCUGGCGGCCGCUUAGCCGCCCACAGGACCGGGACGUCAUCAAAAACCUCCUCGCCGACCUUCGAUCGAUGGCCUUCCGCUUGGCGCCUCCGCUUUCGCCACCUCCACCGGAGCCUGACUAGACUUGCUCCCCGUGUUGCAGGAUCUGUGUGUGUUCUUUAUUUCUAGGGCUUGUUGAGUUGUGCCCUCAGCAUUAACCCUCUCACCUUUUAUUUGUGUGUAAGACCUAUGUGUGUGGAUGUUUGAACCUUGUUGGAUGUUUGGCUCGGUGGUUUGCUUUAUAUAUAAAGCGGGGCGAAAGCCUUUUUCGAUAACACGGCAACUCUUUCAAUAGCAGCAACAACAACAUCGUCAUAUCCUUCACUCUCCUUCCUUUUCCGCUGCCUAUGUCCCACAUCCACAGCCUUCCGCAAUGGCACCUGCAUGAUGUUCGAUGAAUGCCUACUGCUGGCCCAACCUAGCAGGUUGCUGGCGCCCACGCGUGGUGCUAAGCAUCCGCUACCAUCGUUCCAAUGAUGCGUGUUGGCGCCCUAUGGACCUUGUCUCGCCACUCGUCAUGUUGUUCCGGCGGUGCCAUCCACCAGGUGAAUUGUGACGAUCUUUCCGACGUAUAUCUAAAGCAACAUGUUACUACCUCCGUCCCUAUUGUAUUUGGGGUCAUACUUUGACUGUAUAUUUUACUAGCAAAAUAUAAGUGAUAUGUCACAAAAAUUAUAUUUUUAGAUUCAUAUUUUGAAACUACAUUCUGAUAAUACUAUUUUUGCUAAAAAUAACUUAUGUUCAUCAGUAAAAUUAUGUUCAAACUUCGACCCAAAAUAUGAAGGGGACCAAUGAAGCAGGACGGAGUUAGUAUGUGCCCGGGAUACCCGAUUGAUCUAGCAAGUGCUCUUUUCCAUGCACACUCACACCAACAACCUGCACUGGCAUAUCAGACUCGCCGUCUCGCUCAGUACCAGCGCCGAGUUUGUUCCAAUGCCUCGGUCGCAUGAUCCUUGCGCCAUGGAGUCCUUCACGUGGAAUCCAUCUAUCCGCAUCGCAGGAAGUGGGUGUGCAAGUGGUCUUGCAUCAUCAUGCUAGCGAACACUAGUAGAAAAAGAGGCUUCCAUACGCCCCCAUUAGUCCCCAAAACAAUCGAACCGCGACAAAAGGGGCCUUUAGUCGCGGGUCGGGAGGAGACCCGCGACCAACUAUCUGGGCCCAGCGCGCUCGGUCGACAGCUGGCGGACGGGAGGGGCUUUAGUCCCGGUUGGCCUGGCCAACCGCGACUAAAGGUCCCCGAAGGCCUUUAGUNNNNNNNNNNNNNNNNNNNNNNNNNNNNNNNNNNNNNNNNNNNNNNNNNNNNNNNNNNNNNNNNNNNNNNNNNNNNNNNNNNNNNNNNNNNNNNNNNNNNNNNNNNNNNNNNNNNNNNNNNNNNNNNNNNNNNNNNNNNNNNNNNNNNNNNNNNNNNNNNNNNNNNNNNNNNNNNNNNNNNNNNNNNNNNNNNNNNNNNNNNNNNNNNNNNNNNNNNNNNNNNNNNNNNNNNNNNNNNNNNNNNNNNNNNNNNNNNNNNNNNNNNNNNNNNNNNNNNNNNNNNNNNNNNNNNNNNNNNNNNNNNNNNNNNNNNNNNNNNNNNNNNNNNNNNNNNNNNNNNNNNNNNNNNNNNNNNNNNNNNNNNNNNNNNNNNNNNNNNNNNNNNNNNNNNNNNNNNNNNNNNNNNNNNNNNNNNNNNNNNNNNNNNNNNNNNNNNNNNNNNNNNNNNNNNNNNNNNNNNNNNNNNNNNNNNNNNNNNNNNNNNNNNNNNNNNNNNNNNNNNNNNNNNNNNNNNNNNNNNNNNNNNNNNNNNNNNNNNNNNNNNNNNNNNNNNNNNNNNNNNNNNNNNNNNNNNNNNNNNNNNNNNNNNNNNNNNNNNNNNNNNNNNNNNUGUAUUAUUUCUAGCUAGUUAGUUUAACAAAUGCAUGAUGGUUAAUUAUAUACUUUAUAUAAUAAUAAUGCAGAUGAAUCGGCAAUGGAUGUACGGUCCCCGACUCUCCGGCGAGUUCACUACGGGUUUGAAAGAUUUCCUCGUAGUGGCAAAUGCGAACAAGCAGCAAGGUUUUAUUAUCUGUCCAUGUGCUGUCUGUAAGAAUCAGAAGGGUUACUCCUCCUCAAGAGACGUUCACAUGCACCUGCUUCGGCACGGUUUCAUGCCAAGCUAUAAUUGUUGGACCAAGCAUGGAGAAAGAGGGGUUAGAAUGGAAGAAGAUGAAGAAGGGGAUGAUAUCGAUGACAACUAUCAUGAUCAUUUCGGUGAUACUUUCAUGGAGGAUGAUGCUAAAGGUGGGGAAGGGUUAGGUGAAGGUGAAGAAGAGGCACAUGAUGAGCCCGCUGAUGAUCUUGGUCGGACCAUUGCUGAUGCACGGAGACGCUGCGAAACUGACAAGGAUAGGGAGAAUUUGGAUCGCAUGUUAGAGGAUCACAAAAAGUCGUUGUAUCCAGGAUGCGAUAAUAGUCUGAAAAAGCUGGGCUGCACACUGGAUUUGCUAAAAUGGAAGGCACAGGAAGGUGUAGGUGACUCAUCAUUUGAAAAUUUGCUGAAAAUGUUGAAGAAUAUGUUUUCGAAGAAUAACGAGUUGCCCGCCAGUACGUACGAAGCAAAGAAGGUUGUCUGCCCUCUAGGUUUAGAGGUUCUGAAGAUACAUGCAUGCAUUAACGACUGCAUCCUCUACCGCGGUGAAUACGAGAAUUUGAAUGAAUGCCCUGUAUGCACUGCAUUGCGUUAUAAGAUCAAAGGCGAUGACCCUGGUGACGAUGUUGAGGGCGAGAAACCCAGGAAGAGGGUUCCCGCCAAGGUGAUGUGGUAUGCUCCUAUAAUAGCACGGUUGAAACGUCUGUGCAUGAACAAAAAGCAUGCCAAGUUGUUGCGAUGGCACAAAGAGGACCGUAAGUCCGACGGGGAGUUGAGACACCCCGCUGAUGGAACGCAAUGGAGAAAGAUCGACAGAGUGUUCAAAGAUUUUGCAGCUGACGCAAGGAACAUAAGAUUUGGUCUAAGUACUGAUGGCAUGAAUCCUUUUGGCGAGCAGAGCUCCAGCCAUAGCACCUGGCCCGUGACUCUAUGCAUCUACAACCUUCCUCCUUGGUUGUGCAUGAAGCGGAAGUUCAUUAUGAUGCCAGUGCUCAUCCAAGGUCCAAAGCAACCCGGGAACGACAUCGAUGUGUACCUAAGGCCAUUAGUUGAUGAAAUUUUACAGUUGUGGGCCAGACCUGGUGUACGUGUCUGGGAUGAGCACAAAGGAGAGGAAUUUGACCUACGAGCGUUGCUUUUUGUAACCAUCAAUGAUUGGCCUGCUCUCAGUAACCUUUCGGGACAGACAAAUAAGGGAUACAAUGCAUGCACGCACUGCUUACAUGAGAUUGAAAGUGUACGUUUGGUUAAUUGUAAGAAUAACGUGUACCUGGGUCAUCGUCGAUUUCUUCCCCGAAAUCAUAACGUAAGAAAGAAAGGCAAGCAUUUCAACGGCAAGGCAGAUCACAUGCCGAAGCCUGCGGAACGUACUGGUGCUGAGAUAUUUGAUAUGGUCAAGGAUUUGAAAGUCAUCUUUGGAAAGGGUCCUGGCGGACAAUCAAUUCCGCGGGGAGUUGACGGGCACGCACCCAUGUGGAAGAAGAAAUCUAUAUUUUGGGAGCUAAAAUAUUGGAAAGUCCUAGAUGUCCGCUCUACAAUCGACGUGAUGCAUGUUACGAAGAAUAUUUGCGUGAACCUGCUAAGCUUCUUGGGCGUGUAUGGGAAGACAAAUGAUACAAAGGAAGCACGGCAGGACCAGCAACUUUUGAAAGACCCAGAUGACCGGCAUCCGGAAUGGUUUCAAGGUCGUGCCAGCUACGCUCUUACCAAAGAAGAGAAGGUCAUUUUUUUUGAAUGCCUGAGCAGUAUGAAGGUCCCGUCUGGCUUCUCAUCGAAUAUAAAGGGAAUAAUAAACAUGGCAGAGAAAAAGUUCCAAAACCUGAAGUCUCACGACUGCCACGUGAUUAUGACGCAAUUGCUUCUGAUUGCUUUGAGGGGGCUCCUACCGGAAAAUGUUCGAGUAGCCAUUGUGAAGCUAUGUGCAUUCCUCAAUGCAAUCUCUCAGAAGGUAAUCAAUCCAGAAGAUCUACCACGGUUACAGAACGAUGUGGUCCAAUGCCUUGUCAGUUUCGAGUUGGUGUUCCCACCAUCCUUCUUCGAUAUUAUGACGCACCUCCUGCUCCACCUAGUCGAAGAGAUUUCCAUUCUCGGUCCUGUAUUUCUACACAAUAUGUUCCCCUUUGAGAGGUUCAUGGGAGUAUUAAAGAAAUAUGUUCGUAACCGUGCUAGGCCAGAAGGAAGCAUCGUCAAGGGCUAUGGAAAUGAGGAGGUAAUUGAGUUCUGUAUUGACUAUGUUCCUGACCUUAAGCCGAUUGGUAUUCCUCAAUCGCGGCACGAGGGGAGACUAAGUGGAAAAGGCAAGAUCGGAAGGAAAUCCACGAUAUGUAUGGACGGUCAUUCUAUGACUGAAGCACACCACACAGUUCUGCAAAAUUCCAGCUUUGUGGCUCCGUACUUCGAGCAACACAAGAAUAUUUUACGCUCGGACAACCCGGGGAAGCCUGAAUCCUGGAUUAGAAAGGCCCACAUGGAGACUUUCGGCAGUUGGUUGCGAAAACAUUUAAUGAAUGACAAUGAUGUUGGAGAUCAGUUGUACAUGUUGGCCAAGAAACCAUCUUCGACUAUAACGAUUUUCCAAGGGUACGAGAUAAAUGGGAAUACAUUUUACACCAUCGCCCAAGAUAAAAAGAACACCAACCAAAACAGUGGUGUCCGCUUUGAUGCAGCAACCGAGAAUGGGCGAAAGGUCACAUAUUAUGGUUACAUAGAGGAGAUAUGGGAACUUGACUAUGGACCCUCCUUUAAGGUCCCUUUGUUCCGGUGCAAAUGGUUCAAGCUAACAGGAGGUGGGGUAAAGGUGGACGAGCAAUACGGAAUGACAAUGGUGGAUUUCAACAAUCUUGGUUACCUUGACGAACCAUUCGUCCUUGCCAAAGAUGUCGCUCAGGUUUUUUAUUUGAAGAACAUGAGUAGCAAACCGAGGAAACGGAAAGAUAAGAAAACGAUCAGUACAUCAUGCGAUGAUCCAAAGCGCCACAUUGUUUUUUCAGGGAAAAGAAACAUCGUGGGAGUGGAGGACAAGACAGACAUGUCAGAAGAUUAUAAUAUGUUUGGUGAAAUUCCGCCCUUCAAAGUGAACACUGACCCAAGCAUUAAGUUAAAUGAUGAGGAUGCUCCAUGGAUACGGCACAAUCAUAAGCAAGCAGGGACAUAAGGGAAGAAUUGAUGUGUAAUAAUUUAUUGUAGCAAACUUUGUAUUUGGUCGAUGAACUAAAUGAUGUAUCAAACCUUUUGUCAAACCUUCAAGGGAUCGAUGAACUGAAUUUUUUGAUAUAUUAUUUGUAUUUUUAAGAUUUUAAAAUGAAUUAGUUUUAUUUUUCUGAUUUUUUUGAUAUAUAAUUGUAUUUUUAAGAUUUUAAAAUGAAUUAGUUUUAUUUUAUAUGAAAAAGGACCUUUAGUCCCGGUUCGGGAGGCGGACCGCGACUAAAGGGUACCCUUUAGUCGCGGUUGUUGUCCCCAACCGCGACAAAAGGGUCUUUCUGCGCGGGAACGAAAGCGGCGCCAAAACCCUUUAGUCCCGGUUGGGGAGGCGGACCGCGACUAAAGGUACCCUUUAGUNNNNNNNNNNNNNNNNNNNNNNNNNNNNNNNNNNNNNNNNNNNNNNNNNNNNNNNNNNNNNNNNNNNNNNNNNNNNNNNNNNNNNNNNNNNNNNNNNNNNNNNNNNNNNNNNNNNNNNNNNNNNNNNNNNNNNNNNNNNNNNNNNNNNNNNNNNNNNNNNNNNNNNNNNNNNNNNNNNNNNNNNNNNNNNNNNNNNNNNNNNNNNNNNNNNNNNNNNNNNNNNNNNNNNNNNNNNNNNNNNNNNNNNNNNNNNNNNNNNNNNNNNNNNNNNNNNNNNNNNNNNNNNNNNNNNNNNNNNNNNNNNNNNNNNNNNNNNNNNNNNNNNNNNNNNNNNNNNNNNNNNNNNNNNNNNNNNNNNNNNNNNNNNNNNNNNNNNNNNNNNNNNNNNNNNNNNNNNNNNNNNNNNNNNNNNNNNNNNNNNNNNNNNNNNNNNNNNNNNNNNNNNNNNNNNNNNNNNNNNNNNNNNNNNNNNNNNNNNNNNNNNNNNNNNNNNNNNNNNNNNNNNNNNNNNNNNNNNNNNNNNNNNNNNNNNNNNNNNNNNNNNNNNNNNNNNNNNNNNNNNNNNNNNNNNNNNNNNNNNNNNNNNNNNNNNNNNNNNNNNNNNNNNNNNNNNNNNNNNNNNNNNNNNNNNNNNNNNNNNNNNNNNNNNNNNNNNNNNNNNNNNNNNNNNNNNNNNNNNNNNNNNNNNNNNNNNNNNNNNNNNNNNNNNNNNNNNNNNNNNNNNNNNNNNNNNNNNNNNNNNNNNNNNNNNNNNNNNNNNNNNNNNNNNNNNNNNNNNNNNNNNNNNNNNNNNNNNNNNNNNNNNNNNNNNNNNNNNNNNNNNNNNNNNNNNNNNNNNNNNNNNNNNNNNNNNNNNNNNNNNNNNNNNNNNNNNNNNNNNNNNNNNNNNNNNNNNNNNNNNNNNNNNNNNNNNNNNNNNNNNNNNNNNNNNNNNNNNNNNNNNNNNNNNNNNNNNNNNNNNNNNNNNNNNNNNNNNNNNNNNNNNNNNNNNNNNNNNNNNNNNNNNNNNNNNNNNNNNNNNNNNNNNNNNNNNNNNNNNNNNNNNNNNNNNNNNNNNNNNNNNNNNNNNNNNNNNNNNNNNNNNNNNNNNNNNNNNNNNNNNNNNNNNNNNNNNNNNNNNNNNNNNNNNNNNNNNNNNNNNNNNNNNNNNNNNNNNNNNNNNNNNNNNNNNNNNNNNNNNNNNNNNNNNNNNNNNNNNNNNNNNNNNNNNNNNNNNNNNNNNNNNNNNNNNNNNNNNNNNNNNNNNNNNNNNNNNNNNNNNNNNNNNNNNNNNNNNNNNNNNNNNNNNNNNNNNNNNNNNNNNNNNNNNNNNNNNNNNNNNNNNNNNNNNNNNNNNNNNNNNNNNNNNNNNNNNNNNNNNNNNNNNNNNNNNNNNNNNNNNNNNNNNNNNNNNNNNNNNNNNNNNNNNNNNNNNNNNNNNNNNNNNNNNNNNNNNNNNNNNNNNNNNNNNNNNNNNNNNNNNNNNNNNNNNNNNNNNNNNNNNNNNNNNNNNNNNNNNNNNNNNNNNNNNNNNNNNNNNNNNNNNNNNNNNNNNNNNNNNNNNNNNNNNNNNNNNNNNNNNNNNNNNNNNNNNNNNNNNNNNNNNNNNNNNNNNNNNNNNNNNNNNNNNNNNNNNNNNNNNNNNNNNNNNNNNNNNNNNNNNNNNNNNNNNNNNNNNNNNNNNNNNNNNNNNNNNNNNNNNNNNNNNNNNNNNNNNNNNNNNNNNNNNNNNNNNNNNNNNNNNNNNNNNNNNNNNNNNNNNNNNNNNNNNNNNNNNNNNNNNNNNNNNNNNNNNNNNNNNNNNNNNNNNNNNNNNNNNNNNNNNNNNNNNNNNNNNNNNNNNNNNNNNNNNNNNNNNNNNNNNNNNNNNNNNNNNNNNNNAGAAAAAGGAAGAAGAAAAAAAGAAGAAGAAAGGAAGAAGAAAGGAAGAAGAAGAAAGAAAGAAGAAAGAAAAAGGAAGAAGAAGAAGGAAAGAAGAAAGAGGAAGAAUAAAGGAAGAAGAAGAAAAAAAGAAGAAAAAAGGAAGAAGAAGAAAAAAAGAAGAAAAAAGGAAGAAGAAAGAAACCAAAUGAAAACCAAAAAUAAAAACAAAGAAAACAAAACAAAAUACUUGGCAGUGCUCAAUAAUCUUAUUUUUUAAUUCCUCCUCCUCUAUGUCCCCUUAAUCUUAUUUUUUAAUUCCUUUAUACUUAAAGAAUUUUUACUACAUGCAGGAGUGACAUAUGGCGGACGAUAGAGCCGAGCCGCUUAGGGAUCCGGAGGCUGAACGUUAUUUAAUGGGCAUCAUCAAAACGAGAUUCCUUAUGUGCCGGGCUCAGAAUAUGAGCAAGAAGAGGAUGUAGUCUCUUCUUUUCUGAACCUUGACGGUGGAACAGAGAUUGUCGAUGAUCAAGAAGGUGAAGGAACGGACAUUGUCGACGGAGGUCAACCGUCAACAAACGACAAUCUCGAAUUGCAAGUAGCAACCACCUCCGGCGAGGUAUAUAUAUACAUUGAGCCUCUCGUGAUACAAACUUACUGAAAUGUGAAUACAUAUGUAUUAACGCGCGUGACUCUCUUUCUUUUUUUAGCCCUCCAGAUCGAGUACGACAAAGCGUGGCAAAUCCAAGGCGAUGAAAACAGGAGAAACAUAUGUCAUUGAGUUUGUCAGUGAAACCGGCAAGCCCCUACAGCACACCUCAAAGUUUAUCAACCAAUGCGGAGUCGUUGUUAGAGACAACGUCCCGAUCACCGUCCAGGAAUGGAAGGAGCUAAAGAAGGCACGUCUUGGUUUCAGUUUUGUCGACAAGAGAAAGAAAAAGGAUUGCUGGAGAAAGCUUAUGGAACAUUUCAUUCUACCUCCGGAAUACAACAAAGUCGAUGAAUUCGGUAACGAGGUUCCGGGUGGACGUCAGAGGAGGAGGAUAGUUAAAGAGUUCGCUCUUCAGAAGAUGGGCGAAGCAUUCCGGAACUUCAAGAAAAAUUUAACCCGUGACUAUGUCAACAAGGGCAAGACUCCGGAUUUCAAUGGACAACAUGAGAAACUGAAAGAUGAUUGGCCAGAAUUUGUGAGGCAAAAGCAAUCGGAGCAUUUCAAGGAAAUAUCGAAAAAAAUAAGGAUAAUGCGAGUAAGAAAAAGUUCCAUCAUAUUAUGGGGCCAGGAGGAUACCGCCUUUCGGAGCCUAGGUGGCAGAAGAUGGAGGAGGACCUGAGGGUGCGAGGAAUCCCUCUAGGUACAGAGGGAUGGGACCCAAGGGCCAAAAGCUGGUGGUACGGGCAUGGGGGAUCGCUAGACCCGGAUACAGGGGUGUGUGUUCACCGGCAGAGACAGUUUGCUCCCACCCAAGCCCUUAUUGACGCAAUGACCCAAGCUCAAGAGGGCUUGAUCAAGUUCAACAGAGAGAAAAACGCACUGACAACAGCCCUCAGGAAUGAUGAACACGGAGGACGUGUACGAGGCAAAGGCAAAGUUCCGUGGAAAGUAGGGUUUUCCCAGGACAAUGACCCGUACUGUUACAGAAGCCGUAAGAGAAAGACGGACCGGGAUGCAGAUCUUAUGAUGAAGUUUGCAUCGGAACUCCAUGAGUUGAAGCAGACCGUGCAUGAACUAGUAAAAGAAAAAUCGGCUGCAGGGCCGCAUGAAGAUCAUGAAGCGGAUCGCGGAAGCCAGCAGCGGAGAAGCAGCGUGGCUUCCACGGAUGCCCCGCCUGGUGCUAGUGCACCGAUGAUCGAGAUUCGUGCACCGGAGCCUCACUACCCCGUGGAUGAUGUAAAGGAGAUGAAAGAAUGUGAUCUGCAUUAUCCCGUGGGGAACGUUUCCAUGAAGGUAGCUAGCGGCAGUGCUUUACCCUGUACACCUAGAGCACUCCACCACAACAACCCCAUUGCAUAUGGCUAUGCUCGUGUCACGGUGGAAGACAUAGUCCAAGGGUUUGAGGACCUGGAGAUUGACAAACCUACACCCGAAGGGGAGAGAAGACUUGGAGAUGUCAAGCGCCAGUUCAUUCUAUGGAAAAAGAAGUACAUAGUGUUUGCAGGCGAGGCGCCAAGGCUAGCAAGUUCACCCCCCUCCGAUGGUGGUGGUGGUGGCGGUGGCGGUGGUGGCGGUGGUGGUGGUCGUGGUGGUUCACCUACACCUCCUUCACGCCAUUCGACGUCGUCCCCCGAUCCACAACCUCCGGCGGGUACGACGCCCCCCAAUCCUCCUCCGGCGGGUACGACGCCCCCCAAUCCACCUCCGGCGAAGAAGCAGAAGCAGGCGGACAGCAAGGAAACCCGCUCCUGGACUAUUAACCCGGACCCUUAUGUACCUAAGACCACAAGGGUACCGGAGCCAUCACUGAAGCCUCUCCUCCCAAGGCCUUGGGAACUUAGUGAAGCUGAAACCAAAUUGGUCGCGUCUGCUGAUUAUGAGAAAUGGAAGGCGGAUAUGAAGGCGAUAAAAGAGCCUGAGCCCAAGCAAGUAUUCACUGAGAAGCAAAAGAAGUGGGCUAAGGAUUUUUUGACGACACCGUCCCAAGCCGAGCUGAAUAUGCCUGACGACUAUGGACAUGAACUUCGUAGGGAAGCAAAAAUAUUGAAGGAGGAGAAAGAAGAAAGUAAAAAAAGCGGGAAACAAGUUGACCAGCUCGGGAUGCAGAAGAAACAAUCGAUCCCCCCGCUCAUAGUGAAAGUCGGUCCGGAAGAGGACCCCGAGAUCAUAGCAGCUGCGGCAGCACUUGGAUUGACUGUAGCGAGUGCCAUGAAACAAGCGUCCGAGAUGGGUUUGACUCUUCGUGCCUUCUUAGGCCUUGAGGAUGCGCCAGUAUGUGAGAUAGCAUUACAAUAUGUGCGGAAUGGGCCUCUCGUCGAGCCUGCGCGGGAAAAGAGUCUACCACCACAAAUGCGAAAUCUGCUACGUUGGUACAAGCAAUUCAUAACAUGGGCCGACAAAGAAUAUGUUUAUGCGGAUGUUACAGAUGAGCAUCACACCAAACGGUACUCUGUACAAGUUCAUAUGAGUGAAUUGUUCCAGCUGUUCAAUCUGCGCGACCUCGAAAAAUCUAUGCUGAGUUGCUACAUUCUGAAAGUGAUUUAUUUCUACCUCAUCUCGUUCUUCAUUGCCUGCACUAUAUAUAUAUAUAUAUGGUCCUAACUAUAUUGUUGUGUACGCUAUUAUGCAGAUUGAAGAUUUGGGAAUGCAAAAUAAGAAACAUCCAUGAUGUUGGGUUCAUUGACCCACAUAUCGUUAAUGGACAUGUGUUACAACAUCACCCCGAAGACGUGGAGAAAGACUUGUACAAGUUUCUUAGAAAGCAUCAACUCAAAAGUCAUAUUCUAUUUCCUUACCAUUUUGGGUGAGUGUUUCUCUCUUGUGCCCAUUCUCUUUUGUUUACUCCAUGCAUGGUAUGUCUAAUCGAUGAGUUAUGCAUGACUGUGCAUGUAACGUGUCCGCAGGUUCCACUGGAUUCUACUAAAUAUUGAACUUCACACCUCCAGAGUUCUAAUCAUGGACUCUAUGGAUUCGGAUCCAAAGCGUUGGGCCGACAUGAGAAAAAUGCUGCAAAAGUAAUUAUUUUCAAUCAUUUGAGCUCUAUAUCGAUCGGUCUCUUUCGUUCAUUUCCUAAUAUCAAGUAACUAAUAACUCCCUUGUUCAUUUAAUUUUCUUUGCCCUGUAGGGUUUCGAGACGGUUCUUAGAAGAAAUUGUCGGUGAAUUCAAACAUGAGCUAGAUUUCAGAAGGUUAGUUAAUGUGGAUAAGCAGCCACCGGGGACCAAUCUAUGUGGAUACUAUGUUUGUGAGAACAUCCGGAGACACACCUCUGAGCGGAAGGCAUCGGAUAGCGUGCGGAACGCGACGCAUAACUUGCGGAGGAGGCUUAGUCCAGAAGCUCGCUUCCGACCAAUUCAAGAAGAAUUAGCAGGAUUUUUCAUGAGGGAAGUCAUCAAUCCUAAAGGAGAAUACUAUACCGAGGACGAAGAAAUUUAUAUGCAUACCCGAGAUUGAAACUUGUUCGAAGUUGUAUAUGGUCAUCCAUCCUAAUUGUGUAUGGAAACUUGUUCGAAGUUGUAUAUGGUCACCCGAGAUUGAAUAUAUAUUAUAUAUUCCUCUUGAAUUCUUCUUGUUUGAAAUUUCAUAUGCAUGUAUAUAGUAGCGUAGAAUAUGUGUACUGAAACUUCAUCAAAAUUAAAAUAAAACACAAAAUAAAAUAUAAAAGAAAUAAAACACUACAAAUUAAAAAGAAACCAGGUUUAGGGGGGCUAAAACCCUAAACCUGCGGAGGAGGCCUUUAGUCCCGGUUAGCCACAAGAACCGGGACUAAAGGUCCUCCGCCCUGACGGACCACUGGCGCCCACGUGGACGAGCCUUUAGUCCCGGUCAGCCACGCGAACCGGGACUAAAGCCUUUAGUCGCGGUCCGUAAGAGGCGCGACUAAAGGGGGGUCUUUAGUCGCGCAUAUUUAGUCCCGGUUGCACAGCCGGGACUAAAGGCUGUUGCGAACCGGGACUAAAGGGCUUUUUUCUACCAGUGGAAGCCUCUCAACACGGAGCCUCGACAUCGUACUCGGUGUGCUACCAAAAAUGCGGGGACAUCGUUGGCGCUGAGGACUUCAACUUCAGCAAGUGCUUGAAAAAACAUCCACAUCAGAGAUAUUGCCACAUGGAUAAGAUUGGGCAAAUAUCACACUCACUUUGCAUGGAUAUCUCGUCAGAUAGAGUGAGAGAUGAAUUUUAUCUUAUGUCAGAAGUUGAGCGGGCAAUUAUGUCAAGUGUUGUAGUUGACAGACUAAAUCUACAUUAACUAAUCAGUUUAGGAACGAGAUAUGUCCUUAUCUAAAAAAAACAGCAAGCAAAAAGAUAGCACACAACCAAAAAACUUCCAUAGAAAUUGAGGCUACUAAACCCCUACGCUAAGACCUUGUUCGGCUUAAACCCCUCACAAGAGGAUCGGAGACGAAUGGAGGGGGUUUGGGGGAUUUUGACGUGUAGUUAAUUUAACCCCUUCAAUUCCUUUCAGCUCCCUUCAAUCCCAUCUAAACCGAACAGGCCCCAACAGACUGUGUGGUACAGCAAUUGUGACAAUGAUUCAAACGUAUUUUACCGGCAAAAAUAAGAACUAAACAUAUUCCUAAGUAACCAUGCCAACCUUAAACUACAAAUUAAACACGCCUUAGAUACUCAUAGUCGUUGUACUAACUACAUAUGAACAACGUAGCUAUGAAUACAAGUAUGCUUCAGUUAGACGGGGAUCUCUGUCAGCUUUUGGACUAUUCCGGAAGGACUCAAUACGCUGCAGGAUUCUCCUUGUGCCUCUCAGAACAUAACAAGAAUAUAAGAUGAACCAACUACAGCGCCGGUGUACCGAUAUAAAACUUUUUUUUUGCGAGAGUACCGGUAUAAAACUUGUAUAUCCGCUGUACACGCAAUCUGGAAAUCUUGCAUGCCGCGUACGAUAGAGUGCGUCAUUGUUUUUUGUCGCCAGUCGCCAUACUCGCCCAAUAGUUCCCUUGUUUGGUACCAGACUAUCAUCAUCGAUGGUAUUCUAUUUUCUAACUGCUGCAUGCUAUUAGGAGCCGACCGAGUCAUGGUUAUAGUCCUAGUCUGAACUUUGAACUAGCUUACAGCUAAUCUUACAGAUCAACCUUCUUUAAAACCUAAUCAUGGCGAAUAAGAGCAGUAUAAUAAAUGCAAACAGUUGCCGUCCCAAAAGUGACAAGUUGUACGUAGCUCCAUUUUAAAGUUCAAAAUAACGCAAGACCACAUACGUCACUUUUUUAACUAUCACGUUUGUGAACUUAAUUUGACAAUGUAAUGAUAUUGAAUUUAGUAAAUAUACGACGCAGAGAGCGGGAGCAAUGAAACUCUUUCACUGUACAAAAAAAAAGACUGACCGAGGUGCACAACCAGCUCAAUGAAAUUUUAGACCUAGGGACAUCUUUUGGUUGGUGCCAGACUAACCCCACCAAAUAUUUGUAAGACUUGGCUUGCUAAUUUUUUUAUGAAGAAAUUUCUCGCCUCAUUUGGCCAAUUAUUUCGCAAACAAUUCUCUCUGAGAAGAAAGGGUGGAUACCAAUUAGCAAUCAGAAUUUUGGCUACAAACCAGACAAUAACCAAAACUUGAUUGGUAGACAAUUUAUUGGCAGGCCAGUUUGGUAAGAACUGUAUUUACUUUGUUUAAAUAGUAAAAAUUCUCUGACAAUUUUUUUGCUCCCCUCCAUCCCCUCCCUCGUCGCACCUGUAGGCGACAGGGAGGGCUCCCUGUCGCACCCGCCGGCCUCCCUCACCGCCGCUAGAGGGGCGACCGGGCAACGCCCGGCUGGCGUCGGCAGCGGCGGGGCUCAUCUCCUACUUGCUCUGGGGUGCUGCGGCGGGCCGGCUUCCUUGGGCUAGGACAGCGCGCCGGCAUGGGGCGCCUCGAGGUGACGGCAACGCUCAGUGUCCCUGCACCGGCGGGGAGUGGGUGAGCGGCGGCCUGGAGAACCUCGCGAUGGAGGGGCGUGCUUGCAGCGCUGUGGCCCGAUCUGGAUUGGGAUCUGGCCUGAUCUGGAUCUAGGUGGUUGCGGACGACGCGGCUGUGCUCGCUGUGGGCGGAAGGCCUUUGCUGCGUCCUUUGCAGUGGUGGCUGAGGGCGGCUGGUGGAUCCGGUCGCCCACGCUCGGUGUUCUUUCCUCCAUAAGGACAUGGGUCACCUUGUGUGGCUUGCCAAGAUGGUGGCUUGAGGAUUUAUGAUGUAUUACUUUGUAAGGUCUUUGUGAAUAAUUAAUAAAAUGGCUUGCACGCAUCGCCAGAUGCAGAGGCCAGGGUAAUCCUCCUUUUCUAAUAAAAAAUAAAAAAAUCAAUUUUGUAUUUUGAAAAUUUAUGAAAAUUAUAUGUUAAGUAUUUUCUGAACCUUUGUUUAAUAUGAGCAUUUGUAUUAUGUGUGAACUCAGAAACUCCACACUAUAAUUUUGCACAAGUCACAAAUGAUCACAUUCUUUUGCCUAGUUUGCAAGGGAGAGUUUGCACAUGUUACCUACAUGCAUUGCUUUUUUAUUUGCCAUUUAAUGGUUGACUAUUUUUCAAAUGGCCAACAAUCAUGUUUUUCUUACCAACUUUUUUUCUCACGUUCAUUCUACUACCAAUUGGCUCUUGCAUGUAAAAAUAAAGAAUUUACAAUAUUAUAUACUUGUCAUUUUCAUAUUUGGGGAUUUUAGUUUAUUGGUAUAUGAGUUGGGUUCCUUGAAACAGUUGUGAUGUGUACCUAUUACUUGUUUAUUUUGACGUCACUGUAUUACUAUUUUGGGUAAUACUACUUCCUCCCCUCUCUCUUUCUUUGGUGGACGACUAAAUUAUUUAUUUUUUAGUUUUUUUAUGGUAAUGCCGCUUACUUCUGGAUGAAUUCUAUUACUUGAUGGGUUGUGGAAUUUACUUCGUUUGUGGUCACUGUUUUGUUUUAUUUGUGUAAUACUAGUAUCCCACUCAUGGACUAUACACUUCUAAAUUGCAUAUUCCUUCUGGAUCAUAAAAAACAAUGUGGUGAUGUUUAAGUUGCACUAUACAACGGCCAACGGUAUUUUAGCAUUUUGGAAGUAUUCUCUCAAGAUAGAUAUAUGCGCAUGAUUUUGUAGUUUCCAACUGAAGUAUUUUAAUUAAUGAUGGUAGUCAAAUUUCCAAAGUUUCACAAGUUUUUGUGAACAGGAAGAGUGUCAAACGACAGACAUAGUUUUUCAUUUUAUUAUACCACAAGUGCUAAAGGCAUGCAUUGGUCUUGACAAACUCAUCACUUCUAAGAGUUGAUUACUACCCAACUAAAAUAAAGAGUAAGUUGAUUCUUUUGUGUGGACAUACGUGUUGGUUUCUCAAUGGUUAUAGAUUCGGUUGUGCCAAGUUAAAAUUAAAUUUAGUGUAAUAGCAGACUUCCAAAUUUUUUCAUGCUUCAUAUGAAUAUGUUUACAUCUUCAUAAUUUAGAAUAAUACAUUCAUGUCAUUUUCAUAUUUGGGAUUAUAGUUCUUUUUUACAUAGAUUUGCUUUUAUGUUGGGUUCUUUGAAAUAAUUUUGAUGUGUACAUAUUUUAUCGCUUUUUAUUUUGUUGUCACUAGAUAACUAUCUUGGGUAAUACUUCUUCCUCUCCUUUUUUGCGGAUGAUCUCCUUAUUCUUUCGGAUGUAUUCUAUUACUUGAUGGGUUGUUGCAUUUUUUUGUUUUGUUUUGUCCUCGCCAUUUUAUUUUAUUUGUGUAAUACUUGUUUCCCACUCAUGCACUGUAUGCUUCUAAGUUAUACGUAUUCUUUCUUGUUCACAAAAAAGCAAUAUGGCGAUGUUUUAGCUGUAAUGUAACGGCCAACAUUAUUAUAACAUUUUGGAAGUAUUUCCCCAAGAAAAUUAUAUGCAUAUUACUUUGAAAUUUCCAACCUAAGUUUUUAGUUAAUAACCAUAGCCAAGUUUCCAAAGUUUCACGACCUAAACAGUCAUUUUUUGUGAACCGGAGGAGAAUCAAAGGGAGACACAUUGUUCUUUUUUCUUUAUUAUACCACAUGUGCUACAUGACAUGC